CAUGGGGCAGCCGGUAACUUUCCCAGCUGUAAUCUAAUAUUUUGCAUAGAUUUGCGCAACAAUCACACAACUGUUUAAUUGUCAGGCACCGCGCGACCACUUAUCACAACAUGGUUGUCGGAAGGGUUGAGUUCAUCCACGAAGGUAGGCAGUCCAACGUUAAUGCACACAGAAUAGCUAGAAGUGCAGUUUUAUGUUCCUUAGUAAGACAUGUGUGGUUUUAUCCCCACCCGAUUGGGUUUGUAACUCUUAUUCAGUUUAAUAAAGGGUGAAGCUCCUUAAAAAAAAGAAAGUAAACUCUCUAUCUGGAGUGUAAACUGUCUUCCAAAUAAAAGUCAAGUGGUGUAUAUGUUUCUCCAAAGGAAAAAUCAAUUGAGGAUGAGGAAGCUAGCCACAAGAUGUGCACACUUCUUGUUCCUGCCGUUGAAUUUCUGGUAGCUCGUACCACCUAGCAGCAAGUACUCUAUGAUCUAGUUGCGCACACAAGAGGACACGAAAAAGCAUUGACUAGUAUCAUCAUGCGGCGGAAACACGUGUAAAUACCUUGCACGGUCGAUAGCUUGAAGGUACUGUCCAUCGAGAGAGUGAUAAUUAAGCUUGAGCAUAGACAACCGCAGCUCAGAAAUAUCACAGGCGUGCACGCACAGGCUACAUAGCCUGUGUGUGUUUCUUUAGCUUAAGGCCCGGUUUGUUUUCCACCUUAGAUUACAUAAUCUAGCCUACAGUGAUCUAUAAGCUAAAACAAAUAAGCCCUGUAUGAUAAUCUGAUUAUAUAUAUAACAAUGCACAUUUGAAUAAAUUAAUAACCCUAGUUCAGGCUCUGAAAUUCCGUGGCUGAUAAAUUAUGCUUCGAUGCUGGUAUGGAAGGAAUAAGUCCCUUUGUAUGUGGCCGCACAACUCUUCCAUUUCUUUGGGUUCUAUCCAUUCCAACACCUUUUAAACCUAACACCACAACUACCUGCAUCAUCAUUCACCUUUUCACCAUUAGCUCAUUUUAGUGGUUUUAGUACAUGCUAUUUACGGGUGUUUUUCCCUCCAAGUUGGCAUUUUCCUUGCCAACAAGGUCAUGGCGUGGCCCAGGCCUGCCGGUCCUUUCUUUCUUCAUGAAUUCUUACCUCGUUCCCUUGUCCAUCACCGAUUAAAGGCGAACCCCCACGACCUUUCACCGUGAGCCUCAUGUGUUGAUAGAACUACUGGUGAAUAUACAGAAAAAUAAUAUUUACUUUUGCUAAUAAUGAUGGACGGAUGGUUUUGGCUGAAUCAUCAUAUUUUCUUUGAACAUAUGAGAACAUGGGGCCGGCCGGUGGCUUUCCAGCUGUAAUCUAAUAUUUUGCAUAGAUCUGCACAACAAUCACACAACUGUUUAAUUGUCAGGCACCACGCGACCACUUAUCUCAACAUGGUUGUCGACAACGCAUCCAAUGAUGAUGCGACAUCAUGACAGGCAUGUUGGGUGAAGUAUUUCCACCCACGUCGUGUUAGAUCCCACUAGCGUGUAGAGGCCAAUACGGCCACGAAGACCUGGCUAGAAGACCGUGAGCGCGGUAAAGCCCUUUCGAUCUUUUAUCAUAUUCCAUCUAGUAAUACACUAAUCUUUUUGACUGGCGUGUCUGUUAUCACUACUAGAGAACUGACUUUAGAUACCACCCCCUUUAGUCUUGGUUUAAUUUUGGCUCGGGAGAAAAAGGGGUGCGUCACGGUAGGCUGGAAUGGGGCGCACCUUUACUCUCGAUUCUUUUUUUUGCAACCGGUAUUACAGGCCACCCUUUAGUCUCGGUUAAAACGGCUAGCUUCCGUGCACCGACGGUUGCCACCCUUUACCCCCGGUAGGAGCCACCAACCGAACCUUUUGUCCCGGAUGGAAUUACCAACCGGGAUAAAUGUUUUACCCCUGGUUGGUAAUUCCAACCAGGACAAAAGGUUGGAGCUUUUAUCCCCAUUGGCUUUACCAACCGGGAGUAAACACCAACCGGGACAAAAGCUCUAAUCUUUUGUCCCGGUUGGAUUUACCAACCGAGAUAAAAUCUUAUCUACAAGAGGCCUUUGUUCCUCCUCCACUCCUCCACUCCGAGCCACUCCACUCCACAAAGACAGAGAAGCUCAUCCUCUCCAUGGCGCCGAAGCAAGCCUAGGGGAGGUGCUGCUGAAAUUUUUUUCCUCAUUUUCUUGGGGAUUUCACCCAUCCAAAGUGUUGUGAACGUUAGCUACUUCAUGCUCUGUUCAUUUAUUGUUGUUAAGCUUUGUUUUAUACUUUAGAGAGGGAGAAAAAUGAGUUUGUUUGUUGUUAAGCAUGUACAGGAUUUGUAUUUAUACAUGUUUUUGAGCUACAAUGUGAUGGAUAGUUUGAAUGUGAGGGAGAAUGGACAGUAAAUGUGAGGUAGAAUUGAGAUUAUUUCAAUUUUAUGUAUUAAGGAAAAAUUAGAGUAAAUGUGUUUUUAAUAUUUAUAAAUUAGCCAGGUGUAAUUUCAUACUUUAAUACUUUUCAGAUAGAGGUAUGGAAUUAGCCAUUUUUAGAAUAAGUAAAUUAUGUGGGAAAUAUUGAAUUUUUUAAUAGUUUAGUUAUUUGUAAAUUAAAUAUGAGCUAAAUAAUUUGUAGUACAUAGAGAUGGCUUUCUAUGCUGGAUGUAGUGGCGAUGGUGGGGGAGAUCGUCGUUCCUCUCGUGGCAAGGGGAAAACCAUAGUUAGCCCUCACGAUAAGCCGAAGAAAAUGAGUGCGUGGGAGAAAGCAAUGCUUCGUUAUUUGCAAAGAUGUCAUGAAGAUGCUGUUGCGGUGGGUCAGGAACCUCCUUUUGGUGGUCGUUAUGCUCCACCGCCAAUCCCAGGUGUUUUAGGUCCACUUAUAAGUACUACCAUUGCAGGAGGUACAAAUAAACCACAUGAUGAGGCUGCGUCAGCGAAAACUUCAUCUUCGCUUCCCAAGGAUGCUUGAAUAUCUUCGAGAUAGUACUUAGUGGAUGGUUUCUCGUAGUGUAUCAUGUUGUUGUUGCUCUCAAGUUUAAAUUUGUGUAUUUCUAUAUAAUCUUUCAGCAAUAUUUAAGUUUGUCGUAGUGUAUCAUGUUGUUUGCUUCUGAAAUUUUAAUUUGUGUAUUUCUAUCUAAAAUUUUAGCAAUGUGAUGGAUAGUUUUAUUGUAAUCCAUGCGCCCAAUGCAGUAACCAGAAGUGGUAUUCGAAGGCUUCCUGGGAGACCAUUCACAGUCACUUGUUUAGAUACGGUUUCACGCCUAACUAUUUGGUUUGGACCCGUCACGGCGAAAGAGGGGUUGUAAUGGAAGACGGUGAAGGGGAGGAGGAGGAUGAUAGGAAAUUGCUAUACCCAGAUUGCUAAGGAGGCCAUAAAAAGCUAGGUACCACACUAGAAUUUAUGCAAUGAAAGGCCAAAAAUGGUGUGUCCGAUAAGGCAUUAAUGAUUGUUUGCCCUCUGGGAUUAAUGAUAGAUGAUAGUGAUGCAGUAAAAUAAUUAUUUAAGAAGGUAAUAUAACUAGUGUAGAAUUAAUGAGUCAUUCAAACUUAUUGUAAAUAUAAUUUCUAAUUAAAUAUAUUUUUGCAUGUUUGAAAUCUGUAAAGUUGGGAAACCCGGCGAGAUCCGAUGCCUAGAAGUUCCAACCGGCGAGAAUAAAUUUCCAAAUAGAAGUAAAAAGAAGUAGUAUAGAAUUUAUGUCUAGUUAAAACUUAUUGUAAUUAAACAUGCUAAUUUAAUAUAUUUUUGCAUGUUUGAAAUAUGUAAAUAUCUUAUUUUUUGCUUCCUGAAAUCUAGUGAAAACACAAAUCGAAUAAAUUUCCAAAAACCAGUCUGGAGAUGAAAAACAGGAGAAGGCCCCCAUUUAUCCCGGUUAUAAAGUAGAACCGGGAUAAAAGGGACUUUUCGAUUCCCACCUGGAAGUACCCAUUUAUCCCGGUUGAUCAUAAACCGAGAUAAAAGAGGGGUGCCUUUUAUCGCGGGUGAUCAUAAACUGAGAUAAAAGCCCCCCCUUUCAUCUCGGUUUGUAUUAAAAACCAGGGUUAAAUGUCUUUUAAUUCUUGUUUUAGUUACAAACUGGGAUAAAAAGAGGGGCCUGUAUAAAAGUUAUAGCGUCUUCUACACUUCCCCUACCCAACACUUAGCGAAAGUUUCACUCGUCGUCCUCGUCCUGCCCGUCGCCUGCCUCCGCCGUCGCCGCUCCCCGUCGCCGCCGGCGACCCAUCCUAUUCGACGGCCUCCUCCGUGUCCAUCACCACCUCCGUCAUCUUCGCCCGCAAUCAUCGUCGGCCUCCUCCUCCGUCCCCGUCGCCGCCGCCGGCGCGUCCAUCCCUGUCGCCACGACCUCCGCGUGUGCCCCUCAUCGCGCACCGGCGCCACCUCCUCCCCGUCGUCGUAGCCGUCCCCGUCGCCGCGACCGCCGUCCCCGUUGCCAGCCGGCCGGCUGCCUCCCCCGUCAUCGCCACGCGUCCUCAUCGCCGACACGCCGACCUCCAACUCCGGUUGUCCCCCUGGCCUGAAUUAAUUUGAGAAAUUUGGUAGAUUACUUCUAAUUGUUUGUGGAAUAUAGUUGUAUACUGCUAAUUAAUGCUUAGAAAUUAAUUGAACUUUGGUACACAUGUUUACAAAUUUUUGUUGAAAUGCUUAGAAAUUAGUUGAAAUUUAGUACAUUUGUAUAUUACAUUUUGUAUGUUACAUUUUUUAUAUUACAUUUUGCAUAGUACAUUUUGUAUAUUACAUUUUGUAUGUUACAUUUUUUAUAUUACAUUUUGCAUAGUACAUUUUGUAUAUUACAUUUUGUAUACUACAUUUUUUAUAUUACAUUUUUUAUAUUACAUUUUUUAUAUUUUAAAAAUGUAGUACAUUUUGUAUAUAUCAAAAAAAUUUGUUGAAAUGAAUUUUUUUUCAUGGUUGUUCUAUAUAUGAUUUCAUGUACAAAGUAGUUGAGAUAGAUGGCAGACGACGAGGCCAGAAGGUAUCUAAUGGAGCGGAUUAUUACUGGUGCUAGUAGUUCCAACCUUCCCAUAGCGUACACCGAUGAAGAGGGUAGCCAGGCAGACAUGUUUCUCAACCUGUCUGCCGAAGGCAAUGAAGAGCCCGAGCCCCAGAAAAAGGUUACCGUGGCAGAAGGUUCCGACGAGGUAUAGAUCAUAUUUUUACCUUCUGUAUAUAUAAUAUACGAUGUUAUUCAUUAUUACUAUGUACUAAUUAAUUAAUGAAUCUUGAACUGUUAUCCCUCUAGAUCGACGAACCAUUGUCCGAAGCCCCGAGGUCCUUCCAAGGUGAAGACAGGAACAAAAAAGGCUAUCAUCACGGAAGUCACAAAAGAGGGCGGGCCGGUUGCUCCCCAAAAACUGGCAACACAGUACGUGAGUCAGAUCGGGGCAAUCGUAAGGGAGAACGUGCCCAUCAGCAUAAGGGAAUGGAAGGGCAAAACGACUAAUCCAUACGCGCUCUAGGAACCAGAAAAGAAUAUACUGUGGGAAGAAGUUAAGAAACAUUUCACAUUUCCCAACGGAUAUAUUCAAAAUGAUGUGAAAGCGUGGACACUAAAAAAGAUGGCCACACAAUUCCAGACAUUCAAGAAGAUGUUGGAUACCACCUACAUUAAGAAGGGCCGAACUCCAGAUUUUACUGUGUAUCCACAGUGUAAGGACCACUGGGAGGCAUUUGUACAAUACAAGAGCACCGAAGACAAUAAGAAUAAGGUCGCCCAGAACACAGGCAAUGCUGGGGGAAGGAGUACCAUCAUAAGCUAGGGCGAGGUGGUUACGCCAAAGCAAUUCCCAAAUGGAAUCAGAUGGAAAAAGACUUGAUUGAGCGGGGUAUCGUACCAGGAACAAUUGAUUGGCCCGAACCAUCGAAAAAUUGGUAUUACGCUCAUGGAGGUGAGAUAAACCCAGAUGAUGGGACGAUGGUCUUCAAUGACCUGUUACGUGAAGCGGCCACAAAGCUUGACAAGAUUAUUAAAGAUGUUAAGGAUGGGACGUUGAUGGUGUGCCGAGAGAAUGAUGAGCUAACAAUGGCCCUCGGAAAUCCCGAACACCCAGGACGUACCCGAGGGUUCAGGCUUGUUCCAUGGAAGUUCGCAUUCCGAGGCGACUUGGACAAGUACACAAGCCAGAACCGAAGAAAGGAGCAAGAGGAUGAGAGGUGGCGGCGCAUGAUAGAAUCCAAAUUGCAAUCUGUAGAAGUAAGAAUGCAGGAGGGAGGCAGUAGACGAAUGGCCGACGCAGUUGGCAGCCCUUCUCAACACCUCGGGAGCAGCUGUGCGUCCACAGGGCUCCCUGAGCCACAUACGCCAGGAUUACCUGUGGAAGAGCAACUAUUCCCUGUGGAUGCCAUCACGCAACGCACCACAUGUGAGCUGCAUAUACCGAUCGGCAACCUCAGCAUUAAGGUACGUAUAUAUACAUAAUAUUUAUGCACCGGAGCUUCGGGAGUGCUUUGGCAAUUUGAAGUUUAAGAACUUCAUUUCUUUUAUAUAUCCAGGUGGCGUACGGAAGUGCAUUGCCAAUCCUGCCAAAUCAUACAUGCCAUGGCAUGGAGCUUCCACCUGGCUAUGCCAGUGUUGGCGUAGAGAGAAUCCCUAAUAGCCAAUUUGAAGGCCUGGAGCUCGACUUCCUAGCAGGCGACGGGUCAACAACACUAGGAGAAGUGGUUCACGGGAUCAUUCUAUGGCGCAAACGCUACAUCAUCAUCCCCGGUGUGGAGGCACCUCCUCAGAGCUCAAGACCACUCUCCGCAAAUCCACAGCAGCGACCAUCUCCUGAAACAUCCAGACCAUCAUCUCCACCACAACCUGCUCCACGAUCAAGGUCUCCAUCUCCACCACAUCCUGGUGGUUGUAGCGACGACGACGACGACAACACCCUUCCACAAUCACCUUCGUCGGGACUAAGAGCACCAUUUAAGAAGUUGCGACUACUGCCUCCCAAGCUAAGAUAACGUAAGAAGAAAACAAAGGAGCCUGAGGUGACUCCUGAGGAACGCUGGGAGGCAAUGACUCAUGAGGAACGCUGGACCGAAAUCCAAGUGCAAGCUAGUGAGUGGUUGAGGGAACAGAGGGAAUUAAGAAAAGCAAGGGAGAUGGAGCCACCGCCAGUAGAUCGAAGAGAAUUAUACAAAUUCACCAAGACGCAAGAACAAGCCAAGAAGAGUCAACCACUACUACCGAACUAUGAACGAGCAUUAGUAAAGGUUGAUGAGAAGAAAAAAAAGGAAAAAAGUCGAGCUGCCAGCUGCACCGCCAAGUGAACCGAAAUGGACCUUUGAGCUAGGCAAGCCUAUGGUUGGCCCUGAUUCGCUAAAGGAGCUAUCAACGAAGAUGUACGAAUUCCAUCAAUGGUACAUGAAGUUGUCUGCCGAUGAGAGGGAGAUGUUGGGCCUUAAGAUAAAAUCGAUAGAUUUUCACAGCGAAGGCGAGGCAGUCCUGUGGCUACGAUUCAAGGAUAUAUACGAAGUGUACCAUCAUGGUGCCCUAGACGUCUCUCUGAUGAGCACCUGGACUCUGUAAGUGUCCGUUUACAUGUACAUGUAAAUAUUGGCUCAUAUCAUUUUUUGUGUGCAUGUGUCGCCGUACUAAUUAACUUCGUCUUCCAUUUUAUGUAGGAUGCUAAUUCGGACGUGCUGACAUGAAGCGUACCUCCAUAUUGGCUUCAUGGAUCCAUCCAUAGUGAACCAAGCCCAGAUACGAGAUUUUCCAGACAAAACGUUGCUGGCAGUAUACAAUUCUUUAGAUAGACAAAAAUUAAAGGAUCACAUACUACUUCCAUACAACUUCAAGUAAGUGUGUGUAUACCGUCUAUAUUCGUUUUCUUUUUCCUUACCUGAUUAAUGUUAGUUAUCUCUAAUAUAUAUGAACAUUUACGUACGCAGCUCCCACUGGAUCCUCAUUAUUAUUAACAUUGAUCGAAGUCACGUCACUGUCUUCGAUUCGUUGAGGAGAGAUCCGAAGGAGUACCAAGACGUUCAACACACGCUAGACAUGUUAUAAUUCUGGACCUCUAUCUCUAUACAAAAUUUUGUUUCCUAAAUUUUCACCUAACACUAAUCAUUCAUUAUUUUAAUCCGCAGAGCAUGGAGAGAAUUCAUCAGGGCAGACAGAUCAGGUCAAUUCAAAGAAAAACUUACAUGGAGAACAGACUUCCCGGUACGUAUGAAGUCUGCACAUUUUGUACAUUCUAUAGCAUGAAUAUUUAAUAACUUAAGGCUUCGUUUGGAUGUAGAUAUUGGAGGGCUUGGUAUUGAAUUGGGAACAAUACCAAAUUAGCCUAGGCAUUGAAAUGGAUCCAAUACCAAAGCAACUGUUUGGAUGUAAAUGAAAUUGACAGAUGGAAUUCAACCGAAAACGAAUACCAAUUCGUGUUUGGAUAUCCUUAACAUCAAAUUAGAAAUUCACUCCUCAUCCUCAUGCACUUCUCAUCUCAUCUUCUUCCGCCCGCACAGAGGUCGAGAGGUGGAGCUUGGGGUUGGACUGGAGGGAGGCCACGGUGGAGCAGAUGGCGCGGCGGAGGAGGGGAGGAGGGGAGGAGGAGAGCGGCGCGCAACUCGGCGAGGGACGGGAGGAGAGCGGAGCGACGGCGGAGGGGAAGAAGGAAGCGGGGCGCAGCUCCGCGAGGGAGGGAAGGAGAGCGGCGCGGUGGCGGAGGGGGAGAAGGGAGCGGUAGAGGACGGGAAAAAGGGAGCGGAGGCCAGAGAGGAGGCGAGCGGCCGGCCGCGAGGAUGACGAGGAGGGGCGGCGGCUGCGAGGAAGACGAGGAGAGGGGCGGCGGCCGCGAGGAAGACGAGGAGGGGCGCCCAGUCGCGAGGAAGAUGAGGAGGGGUGCUAGCCGCGAGGAAGACGAGGAGGCGGAGGGGGGCUCGAGUGACGGGCUGUUUUGAUGAAGGCUGAUUCAUCUCAAUACCGAGGGGGAAGACUCGGUUUUGAGGGAGCGUUGUUUUAGCUCCCGUUGAAUUCCACGGUAUUGGCUCCCAAUACCAAUUCUCAAUUCCAGGGACAUCCAAACAAUGGUAUUCGUGAGAUCCAAUUCCAAUUCUCAAUUCCGAGGUCGAAUACCAACAUCCAAACGAGGCCUAAUUUUUUUUUCCCCACAACAGUGCUUAAGACAGGAACCUGGAAAUGAUAAUCUAUGUGGCUACUAUGUCUGUGAGCACAUGCACAAUUUAUUGGGACCCAAGACCAGCAAGGCCAUGGAGCACGAAUUUAAAGUAUGUAAAAUAAAACUAUUAAUAAUUAUUUAUUUUCUACAAUUGUUCGUGUAAAAUUCACAUAUAUGUAUCCAAUUACAGAUGUGGAAUAUUCAAUUGGGACUCUUGAAGAAGGAAAGAGUAGCGGCAAUAUGUGAAGGUCUCAUUGGAUUCCUGGUGGACGAGGUGGUAAAUCCAAAAGGAGACUUUCAUUACGAUGGACAAAAAUUAGACGCUCCCAGCACCUCGACGGGAAGAUCCUCGUAUAUAUAUAUAUAGUUUGAUUUAGUUUGUAUAUAUAUAUAUGUAAUACGUACGCUAAUUAGAUUUGUAUAUAUAUAUAUAUAUGUAGUACGCUAAGAAUUGUAUAGUAUUUGUAAAUACUUGUUUGAUUCGUUUAAAUACUAGUUUGAUUGAUUUCAUUAUAAAAAAAAGUUCUCAACUACUAAAGGUUAACUAAAGGGGUACGUGAGAUAUGCACGAAAUUAUAGGCGCCAUGCAGGCGCCUGCAUGGUGCUGUACGCACGCACUUUAUUCCCGGUUUGUAAAACAAACCGUGAUAGUCCCGGUUGGUUUUACAAACCGGGACUAAAUGAGGGUUUUAUAUCCCGGUUGAGGGACCCGUGAUAAAAGACCUCCCCUUUUAUCUCGACGGAUUAAUCCCGGUUGCAUUUUCGGGAGAUAUGCAGUCUACGAACCGGUACUAAUACCGAGUUCUGUAGUAGUGUAUGAAAACCAAUACGGCCACGAAGAUCUGGCUAGAAGACCACGAGCGCGGGGGUAAAGCACUUUUGAUCUUUUAUUAUAUUCCAUCUAGUAAUACGCUAAUCUUUUUGAGUGGCGUGUCUGUUAUGAAAACCAUUGUUCCAGAUGUCCACGAGUGAGUGUGCGUUGCUUCGCCGGCUGAAUUAGCGCUUGCUCCGUACAGCCUGAUGAGCAAGUACGGUUUGAUUUACUUGCGCACCCAAAUGGACAAUCGAGCACCAAAGAAGCUAAUUAUUUGUGCAUUUUCUCGGAAAGCCUCCUGAUGUCAACGAGCCCACGUUCUGCUCUUGAAUUUAGACUGGUCCGGUACGGCCUGGCGAGCAAGGACUCUUGGAGUUACAUGGUGCUGGUGACCCGUCGAUCCAGCACUAAAACAAACGUUGACAAGCAUCGAUCAUGAGGGUUAGUGCCUAUAAAUACCCAGCAUACACGGGCCAUCGAGAGUGAUUAUAUUAGAGCAUACACCUAAAACUAGCAAUGGCCACCACCAGAUCGUCCGCUGCUGCCCUGUUCCUCGCCACGGUUCUCCUGCUCGCGGUGGCUUCUGCCUUGGCCCAAGCGCCGGCACCGGGACCAUCCAGCAGCCAAUGCCCCCUCGGCCUUGAAAAACCGCUCAGGGCAAUAGGUUCACUGUCGCGUCUUCAGCGCAUUGAGAUCGCUCGUCAACUCUUGAGCCUGAGCGUGAGUGGUGCUGUCCGGUGCGUCUGCUCUAUUGCCGGAGGGUCCACUUCUUCUGCCCUUGGUAUCCUCGGGCCCCUCGGGCUGGGAGGUCUGCUCAACGUCGGCCUGACGUGCAGCACAGUCUAGGCCUAAUACAUAAUUGUCGCAUUAAGCAUGCAUGCACACUCGCAACAUACCCAGCAUGUGUGUUGCUUAGCGGCUUAAAUAAGUGCUUGCUGCCUAAUUCUUACCUAAAUGCAUACACUAUAUGGAACCCACGUAGUAGCUAGCUAUGCAGCAGCCGGCUAGCUAAUGUGAUGGUCCCAUACUACAUAUAUGAUAUGAAUAAAUUAAAUUGACGCAUGCACACAUGCAUCAUGGAUCCUGUUCCGCGUGUGUUGUACUACACCAUCCUAAACGGCACUUGACAUACUUAUGUGCAAUGUGACAUGAUGCUUGCAUUUGUUGUGCGGUGUGUGAUGAAUAUAUAAUACUACUUGGCGACAUAUACGCAUUUGGAAAGAAUGUGAACUGUUCUAAUGCUGUCAUCAGGUAUAUCCACCAUAUAUAUACUCGCUUAAUCACGUUGUGAGCUUACAAUUAAUCAUGACAUAGGUCAGCAAUGUAAUUCAACCUGGCCAUCAAUCCAACCAUAGUUCUACCGUUCCAGCAAGCUCUUAUCAGCUAGUCUCAAUGAACAUGAGCUGCGGAGGCAAAGAAAGGCCGGUGUGCCAAGCCACAGUUACCUCAACUCUCUUCCGGCUAAUCCUCACGGUGGAACCGGAACCGAUUUCCUUUUAUCGACCGAGCAUUCUCAUAGCCGUAUUCUCCUUUUGCCUUCCAUUUCCCCUCCUUUCCUUUUACGUUAUCUUACCGUACUCCCUCCGUUCCUGCACACGCAUAUCAAGAUUCAAACUUUACAAUUUUUGACCAAUAAAUUGGCCAACAAUUUUUUUAUUUUUUAAUGUAAACUUGACAUGGUUCGAUUUGUAAUCAAAUGUACUCUACAAUGAUUAUAAGUUUAUAACCAUAAACAAUAUAAUAUAAGAUAAAUAAACGGUUAAAGUCUAAUAUGGGAGACCUUUCAUGUCAUAUCACAUCUUAUAAACAUGAACGGAGUGAGUAUGAUAUCAGUUUUUCUUUGUUUAGAUACGUCUCAGCUAUUCACGCUUGGAAGGGAACGUGGGCCAGGAUGACCCUAGAUAUUAUAUGGUUCCAGAGUGCAAUAACUUCUAUUGCUCUUGGUUUCACAAAUGACGAACAACCACAUUCUAAUAUUAUCUUUUGGAACUUACGUGUCUUGUUCAGCAUAUUCCUUCUGACGAUUAAUGUGGAGCCUUUAGUUAGUAAUUUUUCCGUAUAAUAUUAUAAUUUGUAUACUUUCCUAGAACGCCUAAUCGAAUCUAAGGAUUAUUACCUAAUGAAGUUUCAUAAAAUCCUUCAACUAGUAGUACUUGUAAAAUAAAAGUUCCGUUCUAUCAUAUGAGGAGAUACCGGAACGUUUAUGCGUGGUACGGCGUAUGUCUACAUUUCACACUGUUUGAUAAUUCUCCUUUGAGGAGCAAUUCCACGGAGGUUUAAUUUAAACGUAUCCACAACUAUUUGAGUAAAAAAGUUAGGCAACAUCUAUAGCAGUACAAAGCCCCGUUAUCCUUAAUUAGGUAUGCGCGCAUCCUGCAAAGCCUAAGUCAACUAAUAUUUGGAAUAUGAACUGGCUACCUAGGGAUGGUCUUAUGAGACCUGUGUGCUGCAUAGAGGAGAAUGCCCCGCAGAAAGCCAGCGAGUUGAUUGAUCAAUCAUCGAGAGCGUGGAACAAGAAAAUGGUGCAGGAAUUCUUUAUUCCUAUGGACAGUGAGGUGAUAGGGAGUAUUCCUCUUGCUACAUCGACGCAAGAAGAUUUCUGAGCAUGGCAUUAUGAAGAGUCGGGUGUCCUCUCACUUCGAUCUGCAUACACGAUGCUGGUGCAUAAUCGUGAGAAAAGAACAGCUUGGCUAGAUCGCUCGGCUGGAAGAUCGGACACUAAGUCAGAAGAAAAAGAAUGAUCAGAGCUAUGGAAGGUGAGGGUGCCAUCGAAGGUGCGGGUGUUCUUGUGGAGGCUUUCACGUCAAUCUAUCCCGAGUGGAGAUGUGCGCCACCGGAGGAACAUGUCGCCUAAUAGUUCUUGUUCAAUCUGCGGCGAUAUGGAUUCGUGGAAACAUUCGCUACUAGACUGCUUUAUGGUAAAAGGAGUAUGGACAUUGGAAAAAGAAGAAAUCACAGAGUUCUUAUGCCAAGGCCAAGUACAGGAGAUAGACGCACGAGCGUGGCUUGCGGCGGUUACGAAGCACCUUGCACAUGACGAUUUAACCCGGAUUGUGGUGCGACUCUAGGCAAUACGGCAUGCCAAGCGCAAAGCGAUUCACGAGAAUAGGUUCCAGAGUCCGCUGUCGACUCACUGCUUUGUGGAAAGGUUCGUUGAUGAGCUAGAGCUGGUUAAACCAGUAGGGAAUGUUCGGCAAAUGGGCAAGGUUACAGUACCAAAGUGGAUUCCGCCUCCACAAGGGGUCACGAAGAUAAAUGUGCAUGCUGCAACAUCGAAGAACUCCAAUGUCUCUGUAGCGGCAGCUGUGGCGCGUGACGGAGCUGGCAACUUCCUUGGCGCCUCACCUCUAGUGUUGGAAGGUAUUGUCGAUGCCGAAACGGUGGAAGCGAUUGCCUGUCAGGAAGGCCUUGCAUUGGCAAGUGAUCUCUCGUUGCAGAAUCUUAGAGUCGCAAGCGAUGGCACCAAUGUAGCAAGAAGCAUUCUGGGAAAGGGGAUGGGACCAUAUGGUCCUCUAAUGCAGGAGAUUAACUCUAGAAGAAGAUGCUUCGGAAGGGUUGAGUUCAUCCACGAAGGUAGGCAGUCCAACAUUGAUGCACACAGAAUAGCUAGAAGUGCAGUUUUAUGUUCUUUAGGAAGACAUGUGUGGUCUUUAUCCCCAUCCGAUGGGGUUGGUAAAUCUUAUUCAGUUUAAUAAAGGGUGAAGUUCCUACAAGAAAAAGAAAGUAAACUUUCUAUCUGGAGCGUAAACUGUCUUCCAAAUUAAAAGUCAAGUGGUGUAUAUGUUUCUCCGAAGGAAAAAUCAAAUGAGGAUGAGGAAGCUAGCCACAAGAUGUGCACAGUUCUUGUUCCUGCCGUUGAAUUUCUGGUAGCUCGUACCACCUAGCAGCAAGUACUCUAUGAUCUAGUUGCGCACACAAGAGGACCACCAAAAAAGCAUUGACUAGUAUCAUCAUGCGGCGCAACACAUCUAAAUACCUUGCACGGUCGAUAGCUUCAAGGUACUGUCCAUCGAGAGAGUGAUAAUUAAGCUUGAGCAUAGACAACCGCAGCUCAGAAAUAUCACAGGCGUGCACGCACAGGCUACAUAGCCUGUGUGUAUUUCUAUAGCUUAAGGUCCGGUUUGUUUUCCACCUUAGAUUACAUAAUCUAGCCUAUAGUGAUCUGUAAGCUAAAACAAAUAAGCCCUGUAUGAUAAUCUGAUUAUGCUUCGAUGUUGGUAUGGAAGGAAUAAGUCCAUCUGUAUGUGUAACGACCUAGCCUAUUUAAGCCAUGUUUAAUCUUAAAUAAGGUUAUUAGAGCAUAAAGAAGAACUUUUGGCGGUUGUGAAGGCAAGUAAAAAGACACUUUUGCCCUCACAAGCUAAACCGCUGUUUAAAACGUAACUCAAAUUUUUCCUUAAGAACUUAAAAAUCUGUCCAACUAAGAGUUGUAGAACUCAACUUUCCCAACAACUUUUAUUUUUGGUGUUUGUCUUGAUUCUGAGCGGAGGACCUUCAAAAACUCGAAAUACGACGUGUACUGAAGUAUACCAAACAAGACAAAGUCUCAAAUUAGAGGCUCUUUAUUUUGAAAUUUCUAAUAUAAACUCAAGCUGAACUCUAUGCCAAAGUUUAAGAGCUUCAAUCUCUUAACAACUUUGACUAAGGGAGCAAGGUCGAAAUCUGCACAGAAAGCUUCCAAAACCCAGGUCAAAGUCAGUUAGUUUGGUCAACUCGACCCAAGACUUACAAAUCUGGGCUUAAGUCUGGAAUGGAAUCAGUUCAACCAGGCAUAUUGUCGUGAGCUUAUCUUUCAAAAGUUGAACAGAACAUCAGAAAAUUCCUUUAUAAGAGUUUGAGAACUAACUUUAUAAAUAACUUUGUCAAUUGGACUCCGGUAAAAUUCACAUCAGAAGCUUUUCAAAAUUUAGGAUCAAGUCAGCCAAAAACCCCAAAAGCGACCAAACCGCCGUUUUUGCGUAAGUCUGAAAUCCGGCGUUCCUCCAAUCUUUGAAGCUUUGUAUCUUCAAAUCUGCUGUGAUUUCGAACUUGAUCCAAUUACAAAAGUUGAUGCGUCCCGGCAAAGCCGCUAUUGCCGCGCACGCUCACUUCACCCGCGCCUACACGCCUCGCCUACCGCGCCACUCUCCCUCCUCUGUCCGUCAAUGGCGCCGCCACCAUUAAUGGCCACCGCAGCGCCCCGACACCCUCUGGUCCCAUCCGCUAGCACCGCUGCCUCCGCCUCGGCCCUAUAAAGAGAGGCCUGGCGUCGCCUGUGCCCUUUCCCCGCUCGCCCUCGAACCGCCUCAAAUCGGUCGCAGGUGAGCCACCGCUCCUCCCCAGCUCUUUCCGCCCCAAGCCCGCCGGCGCUUCACCGGGAUUUUGCCCGCCCGCCGCUGUGCGCCGCCCCGGGACCCGAUUGCAUUUGAGAAAAUCGAUUCAGGGGCUUUAGUGCAAAAACCAGGGACCCCUACGCAAAUAAAGUAUAGACGCGAGGGCUAGAUCGCAAGUUUACCUCGGAUUUUGGUUUUGUUUUCUGCAGAAAUUGAAUAAACUUUGUAAAUGCACUAAAAAUCGUAGAACGAUCAGAAAAAUAUCAAAUCAAUUUUGCCAGACUCCUUAUAUAGUAUAGUUUAUGAUAAAAAUACUUUUGGCACAUGUCUCUUCUAAGAUUAAUGUUAUAUGUUUUAAUCCUUGUUUAAGACUUUUAAAUCAUAUUGAAUUGCAGAAAAAUGCUAAAAUGGUAAAUCUAACUCUCAAAUGUUUGUUUCAAAGAAUGGAAGCUUAUAAAAAUGAUGUGGAGCCUAGCUCAGAUGUUUAAAUCUCUGUUUUAGUUUUAUCAUGGAAAUCUAAAGUUGCUUUUGUCUUUUUGCCCAAUAAUUAAACCAGAGAUGAUAAAAGUGUGAAACCAAUUGGAAUAAGUCAGUGGUAUAGUGUAGUUUGUAGGAAAAUAUGGAACGUGAUCAGAAACUGAAAGAAAAACCACUUUCCUUUUUAGGGAAGAAUAAAUAGGGUAAAUGUAUGGAAAAAGAUGCUCUUCACUAAAAAUUAUGAAAAAUUCACCAAAAUCUCUGUAUCACCCCUAUAACGCACUGUUAAAAUUUCAUGACCAUUUUCAUUAUGGUUUAUGUUUUAAAAAUGUUUAAGUGUAUGCUACCUUAGGGUAAAAAAGUAAUUCUAAUUCUUUUUAUGCACCUCCAAUGGACCUCAAAUUUAUACAGUAGCUUAUCCAUAAUAAAGUUAAGUUUCUGUUAAAUUUGUGGCUUCAUAGCUUGCUGUUUGAGGAUAGAAAUAAAAUUUGGAAGACGAGCCUAGCUAAAUGAAAGAAAGAAACCUUAAAUAAUGAUAAAGGUAAUUUUUGGAAGAGGUAAAAAAAACAUUCAGAAUAGGAUAACUUUCCGAUCUAAAGUUUAAUAAAGUUAAGUUGUAAUAUGUACACAAUCACCAUCAAGUCACUCCAGGUUUAUACCGUAACACACCUUACCUGAUGCAAAUAAAGAAGGUUUAGAACCUUGUUUAGGUGAAUGUGGUCGUCAUGUAACUUACACUUUAGUGCUAAUUCGUGUUUUGAAUCCUAUGAGAAAGCUUGGAAAAUGAACUUGAUGCAUUUGCAUUUCGUGUAGAGCUGAACCUCGCUGACGGGACAUACGAGCUUCACCCGGUGCCAGAAGAAGGAGCCGUAGCUGAUCUGCAUCAAGUCGGAGCCGAGCCCGUACCGGAUCAAGCCAAGGACCAGUUCGCUAACUCCCCGUGUGAAGGCAAGCUCCGGAGCAUGAUUUCCUAUCUUUAAAUACUUGCAAUACAAUUGAUUGCUUUGAUUGCGCAUUUACGUUCUAGGAGUUGACUGAAACCAUAGAUGCAUGAAUAUAGUACCCUGAAUCUGAACACUAGUAUGUUAAGUCGAGUAGUUGCCAUGCUUAAUAGGACUCGGUAAAAGUCGAGUGAUUUCCUGUCACUCGCGAGUUAUAGGAGUCGAUUGCUUACUUAGGUUGAAACUAUAAGGACGAUGGACGGGGCCGAGCUUAUGUUCGGUACUCGGUGGUUUGCCCCGUCUAUCUACAUGAAAUUGGACUAAGGUUGAGAUGUGAUAGUGUUCGUGAUCAAGUGUUUGAAAGUACUAAUCUCAUACCUAGUAUGGAAUGGGGAAGCCUAGUACCUGGUUGAACCGGAACGUGAGCGGAUCGUUCCACUGUCUUUGGAACGGAGUUCCCUUGCGGCCGCAUGUGGUGACAAGUGUGGUCAUAGAACAACAGAGGCCAGGUCUAUGGAGCCUUGUACCAAGGGAAGUGGGCCCGACGCGGGUUUGGGAAUUGAUGGGGACGACUGACAAGUGAAGCGACCCUUCACGGUGUGUGGAUGUCGUGGGAUUAGGUUCGCCAUGCAUGGUUAAGAAAUUCAAAUCGAUUCGUCUGCCUCUCACAGUUUGGGACUACUUGAUUGCUAUGCUACACUGAGUAAGAAUCGAACUUGAUGAUGAUCUUAAUGUUGAUGCUUGUCAUAAAUUGCUUGGAAACUAUGUUUGUUUAGUAUAGCUGCUAACUUAGACGGGUAAAUGAAUUUAGAACUGGUGGCUAAAAUAUUGAAAGUAAGGAGCUACACUAGUUGCUUUUGGCAAAAACAAACCCCUCAGCCAAAAAGCCUUGCAUGUCUAGGUGUUGGUGGAGUAGUCACCACCUGUCGGUUAAGUCUUGUUGAGCAUAGUUGCUCAGCCUUGCUUGUGGCACAUCUUUUUAGGUGAUGUUGAUACCCUGAGCUCGCAGCAAGUGGCACUUGGCCACCCCAACAUCCUCCUGGUUGGACGGUUGAGUAGGAUCCCUCCUUGGACGGCGAGGACCGGGAUCAUUGAUGUCAUGAUCGGCUUCGUCAUGAUAUUCUGCAACGACGUUUAGCUUCCGCUCAGUUAUUUCUGUUAUUUGAGAACUCUACAAACUUUGAUGGAAUUUCGAACUUGAGGUUGUAAUAAUUUGAUGCACUUGUUUAAUUGAGAUGGACUGUUGUAAUGUCUGUAACCACUCGCCUUUGUGCGAGUCUUGCUUUCCCGAUCCUGAGUGAAGUGGUUUAUCGGAUGAAAUCCGAUGGACGACCAAGUUGAUUUGUUUAAAGUACAUGAUUGCGUGUUAAGUGGCUUAAGUGUGCUAAGGCAAGUCAAUUUGGGCGGUUCCGCCACAGUAUAUGGCCGCACAACUCUUCCAUUUCCUUGAGUUCUAUCCACUCCAACACCUUUUAAACCUAACACCACAACUACCUGCAACAUCAUUCACCUUUUCACCAUUAGCUCAUUUUAGUGGUUUUAGUACAUGCUAUUUACGGGUGUUUUUCCCUCCAAGUUGGCAUUUUCCUUGCCAACAAGGCCAUGGCCUGGCCCAGGCCUGCCGUCCUUUCUUUCUUCAUGAAUUCUUACCUCGUUCUCUUGUCCAUCACCGAUUAAAGGCGAACCCCCACGACCUUUCACCGUGAGCCUCAUGUGUUAAUGGAACUAGUGGUGAAUAUACAGAAAAAGAAUGUUUACUUUUGGUAAUAAUGAUGGAUGGAUGGUUUUCGCUGAAUCAUCAAAUUUUUCUUUGAACAUACGAGAACAUGGGGCCAGCCGGUAACUUUCCAGCUGUAAUCUAAUAUUUUGCAUAGAUUUGCGCAACAAUCACACAACUGUUUAAUUGUCAGGCACCGCGCGACCACUUAUCACAACAUGGUUGUCGGAAGGGUUGAGUUCAUCCACGAAGGUAGGCAGUCCAACGUUAAUGCACACAGAAUAGCUAGAAGUGCAGUUUUAUGUUCCUUAGUAAGACAUGUGUGGUUUUUAUCCCCACCCGAUUGGGUUUGUAACUCUUAUUCAGUUUAAUAAAGGGUGAAGCUCCUUAAAAAAAAAGAAAGUAAACUCUCUAUCUGGAGUGUAAACUGUCUUCCAAAUUAAAAGUCAAGUGGUGUAUAUGUUUCUCCAAAGGAAAAAUCAAUUGAGGAUGAGGAAGCUAGCCACAAGAUGUGCACACUUCUUGUUCCUGCCGUUGAAUUUCUGGUAGCUCGUACCACCUAGCAGCAAGUACUCUAUGAUCUAGUUGCGCACACAAGAGGACCACCGAAAAAGCAUUGACUAGUAUCAUCAUGCGGCGGAACACGUGUAAAUACCUUGCACGGUCGAUAGCUUGAAGGUACUGUCCAUCGAGAGAGUGAUAAUUAAGCUUGAGCAUAGACAACCGCAGCUCAGAAAUAUCACAGGCGUGCACGCACAGGCUACAUAGCCUGUGUGUGUUUCUUUAGCUUAAGGCCCGGUUUGUUUUCCACCUUAGAUUACAUAAUCUAGCCUACAGUGAUCUAUAAGCUAAAACAAAUAAGCCCUGUAUGAUAAUCUGAUUAUAUAUAUAACAAUGCACAUUUGAAUAAAUUAAUAACCCUAGUUCAGGCUCUGAAAUUCCGUGGCUGAUAAAUUAUGCUUCGAUGCUGGUAUGGAAGGAAUAAGUCCCUUUGUAUGUGGCCGCACAACUCUUCCAUUUCUUUGGGUUCUAUCCAUUCCAACACCUUUUAAACCUAACACCACAACUACCUGCAUCAUCAUUCACCUUUUCACCAUUAGCUCAUUUUAGUGGUUUUAGUACAUGCUAUUUACGGGUGUUUUUCCCUCCAAGUUGGCAUUUUCCUUGCCAACAAGGUCAUGGCGUGGCCCAGGCCUGCCGGUCCUUUCUUUCUUCAUGAAUUCUUACCUCGUUCCCUUGUCCAUCACCGAUUAAAGGCGAACCCCCACGACCUUUCACCGUGAGCCUCAUGUGUUGAUAGAACUACUGGUGAAUAUACAGAAAAAUAAUAUUUACUUUUGCUAAUAAUGAUGGACGGAUGGUUUUGGCUGAAUCAUCAUAUUUUUCUUUGAACAUAUGAGAACAUGGGGCCGGCCGGUGGCUUUCCAGCUGUAAUCUAAUAUUUUGCAUAGAUCUGCACAACAAUCACACAACUGUUUAAUUGUCAGGCACCACGCGACCACUUAUCUCAACAUGGUUGUCGACAACGCAUCCAAUGAUGAUGCGACAUCAUGACAGGCAUGUUGGGUGAAGUAUUUCCACCCACGUCGUGUUAGAUCCCACUAGCGUGUAGAGGCCAAUACGGCCACGAAGACCUGGCUAGAAGACCGUGAGCGCGGUAAAGCCCUUUCGAUCUUUUAUCAUAUUCCAUCUAGUAAUACACUAAUCUUUUUGACUGGCGUGUCUGUUAUCACUACUAGAGAACUGACUUUAGAUACCACCCCCUUUAGUCUUGGUUUAAUUUUGGCUCGGGAGAAAAAGGGGUGCGUCACGGUAGGCUGGAAUGGGGCGCACCUUUACUCUCGAUUCUUUUUUUUGCAACCGGUAUUACAGGCCACCCUUUAGUCUCGGUUAAAACGGCUAGCUUCCGUGCACCGACGGUGCCACCCUUUACCCCCGGUAGGAGCCACCAACCGAACCUUUUGUCCCGGAUGGAAUUACCAACCGGGAUAAAUGUUUUACCCCUGGUUGGUAAUUCCAACCAGGACAAAAGGUUGGAGCUUUUAUCCCCAUUGGCUUUACCAACCGGGAGUAAACACCAACCGGGACAAAAGCUCUAAUCUUUUGUCCCGGUUGGAUUUACCAACCGAGAUAAAAUCUUAUCUACAAGAGGCCUUUGUUCCUCCUCCACUCCUCCACUCCGAGCCACUCCACUCCACAAAGACAGAGAAGCUCAUCCUCUCCAUGGCGCCGAAGCAAGCCUAGGGGAGGUGCUGCUGAAAUUUUUUUCCUCAUUUUCUUGGGGAUUUCACCCAUCCAAAGUGUUGUGAACGUUAGCUACUUCAUGCUCUGUUCAUUUAUUGUUGUUAAGCUUUGUUUUAUACUUUAGAGAGGGAGAAAAAUGAGUUUGUUUGUUGUUAAGCAUGUACAGGAUUUGUAUUUAUACAUGUUUUUGAGCUACAAUGUGAUGGAUAGUUUGAAUGUGAGGGAGAAUGGACAGUAAAUGUGAGGUAGAAUUGAGAUUAUUUCAAUUUUAUGUAUUAAGGAAAAAUUAGAGUAAAUGUGUUUUUAAUAUUUAUAAAUUAGCCAGGUGUAAUUUCAUACUUUAAUACUUUUCAGAUAGAGGUAUGGAAUUAGCCAUUUUUAGAAUAAGUAAAUUAUGUGGGAAAUAUUGAAUUUUUUAAUAGUUUAGUUAUUUGUAAAUUAAAUAUGAGCUAAAUAAUUUGUAGUACAUAGAGAUGGCUUUCUAUGCUGGAUGUAGUGGCGAUGGUGGGGGAGAUCGUCGUUCCUCUCGUGGCAAGGGGAAAACCAUAGUUAGCCCUCACGAUAAGCCGAAGAAAAUGAGUGCGUGGGAGAAAGCAAUGCUUCGUUAUUUGCAAAGAUGUCAUGAAGAUGCUGUUGCGGUGGGUCAGGAACCUCCUUUUGGUGGUCGUUAUGCUCCACCGCCAAUCCCAGGUGUUUUAGGUCCACUUAUAAGUACUACCAUUGCAGGAGGUACAAAUAAACCACAUGAUGAGGCUGCGUCAGCGAAAACUUCAUCUUCGCUUCCCAAGGAUGCUUGAAUAUCUUCGAGAUAGUACUUAGUGGAUGGUUUCUCGUAGUGUAUCAUGUUGUUGUUGCUCUCAAGUUUAAAUUUGUGUAUUUCUAUAUAAUCUUUCAGCAAUAUUUAAGUUUGUCGUAGUGUAUCAUGUUGUUUGCUUCUGAAAUUUUAAUUUGUGUAUUUCUAUCUAAAAUUUUAGCAAUGUGAUGGAUAGUUUUAUUGUAAUCCAUGCGCCCAAUGCAGUAACCAGAAGUGGUAUUCGAAGGCUUCCUGGGAGACCAUUCACAGUCACUUGUUUAGAUACGGUUUCACGCCUAACUAUUUGGUUUGGACCCGUCACGGCGAAAGAGGGGUUGUAAUGGAAGACGGUGAAGGGGAGGAGGAGGAUGAUAGGAAAUUGCUAUACCCAGAUUGCUAAGGAGGCCAUAAAAAGCUAGGUACCACACUAGAAUUUAUGCAAUGAAAGGCCAAAAAUGGUGUGUCCGAUAAGGCAUUAAUGAUUGUUUGCCCUCUGGGAUUAAUGAUAGAUGAUAGUGAUGCAGUAAAAUAAUUAUUUAAGAAGGUAAUAUAACUAGUGUAGAAUUAAUGAGUCAUUCAAACUUAUUGUAAAUAUAAUUUCUAAUUAAAUAUAUUUUUGCAUGUUUGAAAUCUGUAAAGUUGGGAAACCCGGCGAGAUCCGAUGCCUAGAAGUUCCAACCGGCGAGAAUAAAUUUCCAAAUAGAAGUAAAAAGAAGUAGUAUAGAAUUUAUGUCUAGUUAAAACUUAUUGUAAUUAAACAUGCUAAUUUAAUAUAUUUUUGCAUGUUUGAAAUAUGUAAAUAUCUUAUUUUUUGCUUCCUGAAAUCUAGUGAAAACACAAAUCGAAUAAAUUUCCAAAAACCAGUCUGGAGAUGAAAAACAGGAGAAGGCCCCCAUUUAUCCCGGUUAUAAAGUAGAACCGGGAUAAAAGGGACUUUUCGAUUCCCACCUGGAAGUACCCAUUUAUCCCGGUUGAUCAUAAACCGAGAUAAAAGAGGGGUGCCUUUUAUCGCGGGUGAUCAUAAACUGAGAUAAAAGCCCCCCCUUUCAUCUCGGUUUGUAUUAAAAACCAGGGUUAAAUGUCUUUUAAUUCUUGUUUUAGUUACAAACUGGGAUAAAAAGAGGGGCCUGUAUAAAAGUUAUAGCGUCUUCUACACUUCCCCUACCCAACACUUAGCGAAAGUUUCACUCGUCGUCCUCGUCCUGCCCGUCGCCUGCCUCCGCCGUCGCCGCUCCCCGUCGCCGCCGGCGACCCAUCCUAUUCGACGGCCUCCUCCGUGUCCAUCACCACCUCCGUCAUCUUCGCCCGCAAUCAUCGUCGGCCUCCUCCUCCGUCCCCGUCGCCGCCGCCGGCGCGUCCAUCCCUGUCGCCACGACCUCCGCGUGUGCCCCUCAUCGCGCACCGGCGCCACCUCCUCCCCGUCGUCGUAGCCGUCCCCGUCGCCGCGACCGCCGUCCCCGUUGCCAGCCGGCCGGCUGCCUCCCCCGUCAUCGCCACGCGUCCUCAUCGCCGACACGCCGACCUCCAACUCCGGUUGUCCCCCUGGCCUGAAUUAAUUUGAGAAAUUUGGUAGAUUACUUCUAAUUGUUUGUGGAAUAUAGUUGUAUACUGCUAAUUAAUGCUUAGAAAUUAAUUGAACUUUGGUACACAUGUUUACAAAUUUUUGUUGAAAUGCUUAGAAAUUAGUUGAAAUUUAGUACAUUUGUAUAUUACAUUUUGUAUGUUACAUUUUUUAUAUUACAUUUUGCAUAGUACAUUUUGUAUAUUACAUUUUGUAUGUUACAUUUUUUAUAUUACAUUUUGCAUAGUACAUUUUGUAUAUUACAUUUUGUAUACUACAUUUUUUAUAUUACAUUUUUUAUAUUACAUUUUUUAUAUUUUAAAAAUGUAGUACAUUUUGUAUAUAUCAAAAAAAUUUGUUGAAAUGAAUUUUUUUUCAUGGUUGUUCUAUAUAUGAUUUCAUGUACAAAGUAGUUGAGAUAGAUGGCAGACGACGAGGCCAGAAGGUAUCUAAUGGAGCGGAUUAUUACUGGUGCUAGUAGUUCCAACCUUCCCAUAGCGUACACCGAUGAAGAGGGUAGCCAGGCAGACAUGUUUCUCAACCUGUCUGCCGAAGGCAAUGAAGAGCCCGAGCCCCAGAAAAAGGUUACCGUGGCAGAAGGUUCCGACGAGGUAUAGAUCAUAUUUUUACCUUCUGUAUAUAUAAUAUACGAUGUUAUUCAUUAUUACUAUGUACUAAUUAAUUAAUGAAUCUUGAACUGUUAUCCCUCUAGAUCGACGAACCAUUGUCCGAAGCCCCGAGGUCCUUCCAAGGUGAAGACAGGAACAAAAAAGGCUAUCAUCACGGAAGUCACAAAAGAGGGCGGGCCGGUUGCUCCCCAAAAACUGGCAACACAGUACGUGAGUCAGAUCGGGGCAAUCGUAAGGGAGAACGUGCCCAUCAGCAUAAGGGAAUGGAAGGGCAAAACGACUAAUCCAUACGCGCUCUAGGAACCAGAAAAGAAUAUACUGUGGGAAGAAGUUAAGAAACAUUUCACAUUUCCCAACGGAUAUAUUCAAAAUGAUGUGAAAGCGUGGACACUAAAAAAGAUGGCCACACAAUUCCAGACAUUCAAGAAGAUGUUGGAUACCACCUACAUUAAGAAGGGCCGAACUCCAGAUUUUACUGUGUAUCCACAGUGUAAGGACCACUGGGAGGCAUUUGUACAAUACAAGAGCACCGAAGACAAUAAGAAUAAGGUCGCCCAGAACACAGGCAAUGCUGGGGGAAGGAGUACCAUCAUAAGCUAGGGCGAGGUGGUUACGCCAAAGCAAUUCCCAAAUGGAAUCAGAUGGAAAAAGACUUGAUUGAGCGGGGUAUCGUACCAGGAACAAUUGAUUGGCCCGAACCGUCGAAAAAUUGGUAUUACGCUCAUGGAGGUGAGAUAAACCCAGAUGAUGGGACGAUGGUCUUCAAUGACCUGUUACGUGAAGCGGCCACAAAGCUUGACAAGAUUAUUAAAGAUGUUAAGGAUGGGACGUUGAUGGUGUGCCGAGAGAAUGAUGAGCUAACAAUGGCCCUCGGAAAUCCCGAACACCCAGGACGUACCCGAGGGUUCAGGCUUGUUCCAUGGAAGUUCGCAUUCCGAGGCGACUUGGACAAGUACACAAGCCAGAACCGAAGAAAGGAGCAAGAGGAUGAGAGGUGGCGGCGCAUGAUAGAAUCCAAAUUGCAAUCUGUAGAAGUAAGAAUGCAGGAGGGAGGCAGUAGACGAAUGGCCGACGCAGUUGGCAGCCCUUCUCAACACCUCGGGAGCAGCUGUGCGUCCACAGGGCUCCCUGAGCCACAUACGCCAGGAUUACCUGUGGAAGAGCAACUAUUCCCUGUGGAUGCCAUCACGCAACGCACCACAUGUGAGCUGCAUAUACCGAUCGGCAACCUCAGCAUUAAGGUACGUAUAUAUACAUAAUAUUUAUGCACCGGAGCUUCGGGAGUGCUUUGGCAAUUUGAAGUUUAAGAACUUCAUUUCUUUUAUAUAUCCAGGUGGCGUACGGAAGUGCAUUGCCAAUCCUGCCAAAUCAUACAUGCCAUGGCAUGGAGCUUCCACCUGGCUAUGCCAGUGUUGGCGUAGAGAGAAUCCCUAAUAGCCAAUUUGAAGGCCUGGAGCUCGACUUCCUAGCAGGCGACGGGUCAACAACACUAGGAGAAGUGGUUCACGGGAUCAUUCUAUGGCGCAAACGCUACAUCAUCAUCCCCGGUGUGGAGGCACCUCCUCAGAGCUCAAGACCACUCUCCGCAAAUCCACAGCAGCGACCAUCUCCUGAAACAUCCAGACCAUCAUCUCCACCACAACCUGCUCCACGAUCAAGGUCUCCAUCUCCACCACAUCCUGGUGGUUGUAGCGACGACGACGACGACAACACCCUUCCACAAUCACCUUCGUCGGGACUAAGAGCACCAUUUAAGAAGUUGCGACUACUGCCUCCCAAGCUAAGAUAACGUAAGAAGAAAACAAAGGAGCCUGAGGUGACUCCUGAGGAACGCUGGGAGGCAAUGACUCAUGAGGAACGCUGGACCGAAAUCCAAGUGCAAGCUAGUGAGUGGUUGAGGGAACAGAGGGAAUUAAGAAAAGCAAGGGAGAUGGAGCCACCGCCAGUAGAUCGAAGAGAAUUAUACAAAUUCACCAAGACGCAAGAACAAGCCAAGAAGAGUCAACCACUACUACCGAACUAUGAACGAGCAUUAGUAAAGGUUGAUGAGAAGAAAAAAAAGGAAAAAAGUCGAGCUGCCAGCUGCACCGCCAAGUGAACCGAAAUGGACCUUUGAGCUAGGCAAGCCUAUGGUUGGCCCUGAUUCGCUAAAGGAGCUAUCAACGAAGAUGUACGAAUUCCAUCAAUGGUACAUGAAGUUGUCUGCCGAUGAGAGGGAGAUGUUGGGCCUUAAGAUAAAAUCGAUAGAUUUUCACAGCGAAGGCGAGGCAGUCCUGUGGCUACGAUUCAAGGAUAUAUACGAAGUGUACCAUCAUGGUGCCCUAGACGUCUCUCUGAUGAGCACCUGGACUCUGUAAGUGUCCGUUUACAUGUACAUGUAAAUAUUGGCUCAUAUCAUUUUUUGUGUGCAUGUGUCGCCGUACUAAUUAACUUCGUCUUCCAUUUUAUGUAGGAUGCUAAUUCGGACGUGCUGACAUGAAGCGUACCUCCAUAUUGGCUUCAUGGAUCCAUCCAUAGUGAACCAAGCCCAGAUACGAGAUUUUCCAGACAAAACGUUGCUGGCAGUAUACAAUUCUUUAGAUAGACAAAAAUUAAAGGAUCACAUACUACUUCCAUACAACUUCAAGUAAGUGUGUGUAUACCGUCUAUAUUCGUUUUCUUUUUCCUUACCUGAUUAAUGUUAGUUAUCUCUAAUAUAUAUGAACAUUUACGUACGCAGCUCCCACUGGAUCCUCAUUAUUAUUAACAUUGAUCGAAGUCACGUCACUGUCUUCGAUUCGUUGAGGAGAGAUCCGAAGGAGUACCAAGACGUUCAACACACGCUAGACAUGUUAUAAUUCUGGACCUCUAUCUCUAUACAAAAUUUUGUUUCCUAAAUUUUCACCUAACACUAAUCAUUCAUUAUUUUAAUCCGCAGAGCAUGGAGAGAAUUCAUCAGGGCAGACAGAUCAGGUCAAUUCAAAGAAAAACUUACAUGGAGAACAGACUUCCCGGUACGUAUGAAGUCUGCACAUUUUGUACAUUCUAUAGCAUGAAUAUUUAAUAACUUAAGGCUUCGUUUGGAUGUAGAUAUUGGAGGGCUUGGUAUUGAAUUGGGAACAAUACCAAAUUAGCCUAGGCAUUGAAAUGGAUCCAAUACCAAAGCAACUGUUUGGAUGUAAAUGAAAUUGACAGAUGGAAUUCAACCGAAAACGAAUACCAAUUCGUGUUUGGAUAUCCUUAACAUCAAAUUAGAAAUUCACUCCUCAUCCUCAUGCACUUCUCAUCUCAUCUUCUUCCGCCCGCACAGAGGUCGAGAGGUGGAGCUUGGGGUUGGACUGGAGGGAGGCCACGGUGGAGCAGAUGGCGCGGCGGAGGAGGGGAGGAGGGGAGGAGGAGAGCGGCGCGCAACUCGGCGAGGGACGGGAGGAGAGCGGAGCGACGGCGGAGGGGAAGAAGGAAGCGGGGCGCAGCUCCGCGAGGGAGGGAAGGAGAGCGGCGCGGUGGCGGAGGGGGAGAAGGGAGCGGUAGAGGACGGGAAAAAGGGAGCGGAGGCCAGAGAGGAGGCGAGCGGCCGGCCGCGAGGAUGACGAGGAGGGGCGGCGGCUGCGAGGAAGACGAGGAGAGGGGCGGCGGCCGCGAGGAAGACGAGGAGGGGCGCCCAGUCGCGAGGAAGAUGAGGAGGGGUGCUAGCCGCGAGGAAGACGAGGAGGCGGAGGGGGGCUCGAGUGACGGGCUGUUUUGAUGAAGGCUGAUUCAUCUCAAUACCGAGGGGGAAGACUCGGUUUUGAGGGAGCGUUGUUUUAGCUCCCGUUGAAUUCCACGGUAUUGGCUCCCAAUACCAAUUCUCAAUUCCAGGGACAUCCAAACAAUGGUAUUCGUGAGAUCCAAUUCCAAUUCUCAAUUCCGAGGUCGAAUACCAACAUCCAAACGAGGCCUAAUUUUUUUUUCCCCACAACAGUGCUUAAGACAGGAACCUGGAAAUGAUAAUCUAUGUGGCUACUAUGUCUGUGAGCACAUGCACAAUUUAUUGGGACCCAAGACCAGCAAGGCCAUGGAGCACGAAUUUAAAGUAUGUAAAAUAAAACUAUUAAUAAUUAUUUAUUUUCUACAAUUGUUCGUGUAAAAUUCACAUAUAUGUAUCCAAUUACAGAUGUGGAAUAUUCAAUUGGGACUCUUGAAGAAGGAAAGAGUAGCGGCAAUAUGUGAAGGUCUCAUUGGAUUCCUGGUGGACGAGGUGGUAAAUCCAAAAGGAGACUUUCAUUACGAUGGACAAAAAUUAGACGCUCCCAGCACCUCGACGGGAAGAUCCUCGUAUAUAUAUAUAUAGUUUGAUUUAGUUUGUAUAUAUAUAUAUGUAAUACGUACGCUAAUUAGAUUUGUAUAUAUAUAUAUAUAUGUAGUACGCUAAGAAUUGUAUAGUAUUUGUAAAUACUUGUUUGAUUCGUUUAAAUACUAGUUUGAUUGAUUUCAUUAUAAAAAAAAGUUCUCAACUACUAAAGGUUAACUAAAGGGGUACGUGAGAUAUGCACGAAAUUAUAGGCGCCAUGCAGGCGCCUGCAUGGUGCUGUACGCACGCACUUUAUUCCCGGUUUGUAAAACAAACCGUGAUAGUCCCGGUUGGUUUUACAAACCGGGACUAAAUGAGGGUUUUAUAUCCCGGUUGAGGGACCCGUGAUAAAAGACCUCCCCUUUUAUCUCGACGGAUUAAUCCCGGUUGCAUUUUCGGGAGAUAUGCAGUCUACGAACCGGUACUAAUACCGAGUUCUGUAGUAGUGUAUGAAAACCAAUACGGCCACGAAGAUCUGGCUAGAAGACCACGAGCGCGGGGUAAAGCACUUUUGAUCUUUUAUUAUAUUCCAUCUAGUAAUACGCUAAUCUUUUUGAGUGGCGUGUCUGUUAUGAAAACCAUUGUUCCAGAUGUCCACGAGUGAGUGUGCGUUGCUUCGCCGGCUGAAUUAGCGCUUGCUCCGUACAGCCUGAUGAGCAAGUACGGUUUGAUUUACUUGCGCACCCAAAUGGACAAUCGAGCACCAAAGAAGCUAAUUAUUUGUGCAUUUUCUCGGAAAGCCUCCUGAUGUCAACGAGCCCACGUUCUGCUCUUGAAUUUAGACUGGUCCGGUACGGCCUGGCGAGCAAGGACUCUUGGAGUUACAUGGUGCUGGUGACCCGUCGAUCCAGCACUAAAACAAACGUUGACAAGCAUCGAUCAUGAGGGUUAGUGCCUAUAAAUACCCAGCAUACACGGGCCAUCGAGAGUGAUUAUAUUAGAGCAUACACCUAAAACUAGCAAUGGCCACCACCAGAUCGUCCGCUGCUGCCCUGUUCCUCGCCACGGUUCUCCUGCUCGCGGUGGCUUCUGCCUUGGCCCAAGCGCCGGCACCGGGACCAUCCAGCAGCCAAUGCCCCCUCGGCCUUGAAAAACCGCUCAGGGCAAUAGGUUCACUGUCGCGUCUUCAGCGCAUUGAGAUCGCUCGUCAACUCUUGAGCCUGAGCGUGAGUGGUGCUGUCCGGUGCGUCUGCUCUAUUGCCGGAGGGUCCACUUCUUCUGCCCUUGGUAUCCUCGGGCCCCUCGGGCUGGGAGGUCUGCUCAACGUCGGCCUGACGUGCAGCACAGUCUAGGCCUAAUACAUAAUUGUCGCAUUAAGCAUGCAUGCACACUCGCAACAUACCCAGCAUGUGUGUUGCUUAGCGGCUUAAAUAAGUGCUUGCUGCCUAAUUCUUACCUAAAUGCAUACACUAUAUGGAACCCACGUAGUAGCUAGCUAUGCAGCAGCCGGCUAGCUAAUGUGAUGGUCCCAUACUACAUAUAUGAUAUGAAUAAAUUAAAUUGACGCAUGCACACAUGCAUCAUGGAUCCUGUUCCGCGUGUGUUGUACUACACCAUCCUAAACGGCACUUGACAUACUUAUGUGCAAUGUGACAUGAUGCUUGCAUUUGUUGUGCGGUGUGUGAUGAAUAUAUAAUACUACUUGGCGACAUAUACGCAUUUGGAAAGAAUGUGAACUGUUCUAAUGCUGUCAUCAGGUAUAUCCACCAUAUAUAUACUCGCUUAAUCACGUUGUGAGCUUACAAUUAAUCAUGACAUAGGUCAGCAAUGUAAUUCAACCUGGCCAUCAAUCCAACCAUAGUUCUACCGUUCCAGCAAGCUCUUAUCAGCUAGUCUCAAUGAACAUGAGCUGCGGAGGCAAAGAAAGGCCGGUGUGCCAAGCCACAGUUACCUCAACUCUCUUCCGGCUAAUCCUCACGGUGGAACCGGAACCGAUUUCCUUUUAUCGACCGAGCAUUCUCAUAGCCGUAUUCUCCUUUUGCCUUCCAUUUCCCCUCCUUUCCUUUUACGUUAUCUUACCGUACUCCCUCCGUUCCUGCACACGCAUAUCAAGAUUCAAACUUUACAAUUUUUGACCAAUAAAUUGGCCAACAAUUUUUUUAUUUUUUAAUGUAAACUUGACAUGGUUCGAUUUGUAAUCAAAUGUACUCUACAAUGAUUAUAAGUUUAUAACCAUAAACAAUAUAAUAUAAGAUAAAUAAACGGUUAAAGUCUAAUAUGGGAGACCUUUCAUGUCAUAUCACAUCUUAUAAACAUGAACGGAGUGAGUAUGAUAUCAGUUUUUCUUUGUUUAGAUACGUCUCAGCUAUUCACGCUUGGAAGGGAACGUGGGCCAGGAUGACCCUAGAUAUUAUAUGGUUCCAGAGUGCAAUAACUUCUAUUGCUCUUGGUUUCACAAAUGACGAACAACCACAUUCUAAUAUUAUCUUUUGGAACUUACGUGUCUUGUUCAGCAUAUUCCUUCUGACGAUUAAUGUGGAGCCUUUAGUUAGUAAUUUUUCCGUAUAAUAUUAUAAUUUGUAUACUUUCCUAGAACGCCUAAUCGAAUCUAAGGAUUAUUACCUAAUGAAGUUUCAUAAAAUCCUUCAACUAGUAGUACUUGUAAAAUAAAAGUUCCGUUCUAUCAUAUGAGGAGAUACCGGAACGUUUAUGCGUGGUACGGCGUAUGUCUACAUUUCACACUGUUUGAUAAUUCUCCUUUGAGGAGCAAUUCCACGGAGGUUUAAUUUAAACGUAUCCACAACUAUUUGAGUAAAAAAGUUAGGCAACAUCUAUAGCAGUACAAAGCCCCGUUAUCCUUAAUUAGGUAUGCGCGCAUCCUGCAAAGCCUAAGUCAACUAAUAUUUGGAAUAUGAACUGGCUACCUAGGGAUGGUCUUAUGAGACCUGUGUGCUGCAUAGAGGAGAAUGCCCCGCAGAAAGCCAGCGAGUUGAUUGAUCAAUCAUCGAGAGCGUGGAACAAGAAAAUGGUGCAGGAAUUCUUUAUUCCUAUGGACAGUGAGGUGAUAGGGAGUAUUCCUCUUGCUACAUCGACGCAAGAAGAUUUCUGAGCAUGGCAUUAUGAAGAGUCGGGUGUCCUCUCACUUCGAUCUGCAUACACGAUGCUGGUGCAUAAUCGUGAGAAAAGAACAGCUUGGCUAGAUCGCUCGGCUGGAAGAUCGGACACUAAGUCAGAAGAAAAAGAAUGAUCAGAGCUAUGGAAGGUGAGGGUGCCAUCGAAGGUGCGGGUGUUCUUGUGGAGGCUUUCACGUCAAUCUAUCCCGAGUGGAGAUGUGCGCCACCGGAGGAACAUGUCGCCUAAUAGUUCUUGUUCAAUCUGCGGCGAUAUGGAUUCGUGGAAACAUUCGCUACUAGACUGCUUUAUGGUAAAAGGAGUAUGGACAUUGGAAAAAGAAGAAAUCACAGAGUUCUUAUGCCAAGGCCAAGUACAGGAGAUAGACGCACGAGCGUGGCUUGCGGCGGUUACGAAGCACCUUGCACAUGACGAUUUAACCCGGAUUGUGGUGCGACUCUAGGCAAUACGGCAUGCCAAGCGCAAAGCGAUUCACGAGAAUAGGUUCCAGAGUCCGCUGUCGACUCACUGCUUUGUGGAAAGGUUCGUUGAUGAGCUAGAGCUGGUUAAACCAGUAGGGAAUGUUCGGCAAAUGGGCAAGGUUACAGUACCAAAGUGGAUUCCGCCUCCACAAGGGGUCACGAAGAUAAAUGUGCAUGCUGCAACAUCGAAGAACUCCAAUGUCUCUGUAGCGGCAGCUGUGGCGCGUGACGGAGCUGGCAACUUCCUUGGCGCCUCACCUCUAGUGUUGGAAGGUAUUGUCGAUGCCGAAACGGUGGAAGCGAUUGCCUGUCAGGAAGGCCUUGCAUUGGCAAGUGAUCUCUCGUUGCAGAAUCUUAGAGUCGCAAGCGAUGGCACCAAUGUAGCAAGAAGCAUUCUGGGAAAGGGGAUGGGACCAUAUGGUCCUCUAAUGCAGGAGAUUAACUCUAGAAGAAGAUGCUUCGGAAGGGUUGAGUUCAUCCACGAAGGUAGGCAGUCCAACAUUGAUGCACACAGAAUAGCUAGAAGUGCAGUUUUAUGUUCUUUAGGAAGACAUGUGUGGUCUUUAUCCCCAUCCGAUGGGGUUGGUAAAUCUUAUUCAGUUUAAUAAAGGGUGAAGUUCCUACAAGAAAAAGAAAGUAAACUUUCUAUCUGGAGCGUAAACUGUCUUCCAAAUUAAAAGUCAAGUGGUGUAUAUGUUUCUCCGAAGGAAAAAUCAAAUGAGGAUGAGGAAGCUAGCCACAAGAUGUGCACAGUUCUUGUUCCUGCCGUUGAAUUUCUGGUAGCUCGUACCACCUAGCAGCAAGUACUCUAUGAUCUAGUUGCGCACACAAGAGGACCACCAAAAAAGCAUUGACUAGUAUCAUCAUGCGGCGCAACACAUCUAAAUACCUUGCACGGUCGAUAGCUUCAAGGUACUGUCCAUCGAGAGAGUGAUAAUUAAGCUUGAGCAUAGACAACCGCAGCUCAGAAAUAUCACAGGCGUGCACGCACAGGCUACAUAGCCUGUGUGUAUUUCUAUAGCUUAAGGUCCGGUUUGUUUUCCACCUUAGAUUACAUAAUCUAGCCUAUAGUGAUCUGUAAGCUAAAACAAAUAAGCCCUGUAUGAUAAUCUGAUUAUGCUUCGAUGUUGGUAUGGAAGGAAUAAGUCCAUCUGUAUGUGUAACGACCUAGCCUAUUUAAGCCAUGUUUAAUCUUAAAUAAGGUUAUUAGAGCAUAAAGAAGAACUUUUGGCGGUUGUGAAGGCAAGUAAAAAGACACUUUUGCCCUCACAAGCUAAACCGCUGUUUAAAACGUAACUCAAAUUUUUCCUUAAGAACUUAAAAAUCUGUCCAACUAAGAGUUGUAGAACUCAACUUUCCCAACAACUUUUAUUUUUGGUGUUUGUCUUGAUUCUGAGCGGAGGACCUUCAAAAACUCGAAAUACGACGUGUACUGAAGUAUACCAAACAAGACAAAGUCUCAAAUUAGGGGCUCUUUAUUUUGAAAUUUCUAAUAUAAACUCAAGCUGAACUCUAUGCCAAAGUUUAAGAGCUUCAAUCUCUUAACAACUUUGACUAAGGGAGCAAGGUCGAAAUCUGCACAGAAAGCUUCCAAAACCCAGGUCAAAGUCAGUUAGUUUGGUCAACUCGACCCAAGACUUGCAAAUCUGGGCUUAAGUCUGGAAUGGAAUCAGUUCAACCAGGCAUAUUGGCGUGAGCUUAUCUUUCAAAAGUUGAACAGAACAUCAGAAAAUUCCUUUAUAAGAGUUUGAGAACUAACUUUAUAAAUAACUUUGUCAAUUGGACUCCGGUAAAAUUCACAUCAGAAGCUUUUCAAAAUUUGGGAUCAAGUCAGCCAAAAACCCAAAAAGCGACCAAACCGCCGUUUUUGCGUAAGUCUGAAAUCCGGCGUUCCUCCAAUCUUUGAAGCUUUGUAUCUUCAAAUCUGCUGUGAUUUCGAACUUGAUCCAAUUACAAAAGUUGAUGCGUCCCGGCAAAGCCGCUAUUGCCGCGCACGCUCACUUCGCCCGCGCCUACACGCCUCGCCUACCGCGCCACUCUCCCUCCUCUGUCCGUCAAUGGCGCCGCCACCAUUAAUGGCCGCCGCAGCGCCCCGACACCCUCUGGUCCCAUCCGCUAGCACCGCUGCCUCCGCCUCGCUCGCCGCUCCGCCUCGGCCCUAUAAAGAGAGGCCUGGCGUCGCCUGUGCCCCUUUCCCCGCUCGCCCUCGAACCGCCUCAAAUCGGUCGCAGGUGAGCCACCGCUCCUCCCCAGCUCUUUCCGCCCCAAGCCCGCCAGCGCUUCACCGGGAUUUUGCCCGCCCGCCGCCGUGCGCCUGCCCCGGGACCCGAUUGCAUUUGAGAAAAUCGAUUCAGGGGCUUUAGUGCAAAAACCAGGGACCCCUACGCAAAUAAAGUAUAGACGCGAGGGCUAGAUCGCAAGUUUACCUCGGAUUUUGGUUUUGUUUUCUGCAGAAAUUGAAUAAACUUUGUAAAUGCACUAAAAAUCGUAGAACGAUCAGAAAAAUAUCAAAUCAAUUUUGCCAGACUCCUUAUAUAGUAUAGUUUAUGAUAAAAAUACUUUUGGCACAUGUCUCUUCUAAGAUUAAUGUUAUAUGUUUUAAUCCUUGUUUAAGACUUUUAAAUCAUAUUGAAUUGCAGAAAAAUGCUAAAAUGGUAAAUCUAACUCUCAAAUGUUUGUUUCAAAGAAUGGAAGCUUAUAAAAAUGAUGUGGAGCCUAGCUCAGAUGUUUAAAUCUCUGUUUUAGUUUUAUCAUGGAAAUCUAAAGUUGCUUUUGUCUUUUUGCCCAAUAAUUAAACCAGAGAUGAUAAAAGUGUGAAACCAAUUGGAAUAAGUCAGUGGUAUAGUGUAGUUUGUAGGAAAAUAUGGAACGUGAUCAGAAACUGAAAGAAAAACCACUUUCCUUUUUAGGGAAGAAUAAAUAGGGUAAAUGUAUGGAAAAAGAUGCUCUUCACUAAAAAUUAUGAAAAAUUCACCAAAAUCUCUGUAUCACCCCUAUAACGCACUGUUAAAAUUUCAUGACCAUUUUCAUUAUGGUUUAUGUUUUAAAAAUGUUUAAGUGUAUGCUACCUUAGGGUAAAAAAGUAAUUCUAAUUCUUUUUAUGCACCUCCAAUGGACCUCAAAUUUAUACAGUAGCUUAUCCAUAAUAAAGUUAAGUUUCUGUUAAAUUUGUGGCUUCAUAGCUUGCUGUUUGAGGAUAGAAAUAAAAUUUGGAAGAUGAGCCUAGCUAAAUGAAAGAAAGAAACCUUAAAUAAUGAUAAAGGUAAUUUUUGGAAGAGGUAAAAAAAACAUUCAGAAUAGGAUAACUUUCCGAUCUAAAGUUUAAUAAAGUUAAGUUGUAAUAUGUACACAAUCACCAUCAAGUCACUCCAGGUUUAUACCGUAACACACCUUACCUGAUGCAAAUAAAGAAGGUUUAGAACCUUGUUUAGGUGAAUGUGGUCGUCAUGUAACUUACACUUUAGUGCUAAUUCGUGUUUUGAAUCCUAUGAGAAAGCUUGGAAAAUGAACUUGAUGCAUUUGCAUUUCGUGUAGAGCUGAACCUCGCUGACGGGACAUACGAGCUUCACCCGGCGCCAGAAGAAGGAGCCGUAGCUGAUCUGCAUCAAGUCGGAGCCAAGCCCGUACCGGAUCAAGCCAAGGACCAGUUCGCUAACUCCCCGUGUGAAGGCAAGCUCCGGAGCAUGAUUUCCUAUCUUUAAAUACUUGCAAUACAAUUGAUUGCUUUGAUUGCGCAUUUACGUUCUAGGAGUUGACUGAAACCAUAGAUGCAUGAAUAUAGUACCCUGAAUCUGAACACUAGUAUGUUAAGUCGAGUAGUUGCCAUGCUUAAUAGGACUCGGUAAAAGUCGAGUGAUUUCCUGUCACUCGCGAGUUAUAGGAGUCGAUUGCUUACUUAGGUUGAAACUAUAAGGACGAUGGACGGGGCCGAGCUUAUGUUCGGUACUCGGUGGUUUGCCCCGUCUAUCUACAUGAAAUUGGACUAAGGUUGAGAUGUGAUAGUGUUCGUGAUCAAGUGUUUGAAAGUACUAAUCUCAUACCUAGUAUGGAAUGGGGAAGCCUAGUACCUGGUUGAACCGGAACGUGAGGGGAUCGUUCCACUGUCUUUGGAACGGAGUUCCCUUGCGGCCGCAUGUGGUGACAAGUGUGGUCAUAGAACGACAGAGGCCAGGUCUAUGGAGCCUUGUACCAAGGGAAGUGGGCCCGACGCGGGUUUGGGAAUUGAUGGGGACGACUGACAAGUGAAGCGACCCUUCACGGUGCGUGGAUGUCGUGGGAUUAGGUUCGCCAUGCAUGGUUAAGAAAUUCAAAUCGAUUCGUCUGCCUCUCACAGUUUGGGACUACUUGAUUGCUAUGCUACACUGAGUAAGAAUCGAACUUGAUGAUGAUCUUAAUGUUGAUGCUUGUCAUAAAUUGCUUGGAAACUAUGUUUGUUUAGUAUAGCUGCUAACUUAGACGGGUAAAUGAAUUUAGAACUGGUGGCUAAAAUAUUGAAAGUAAGGAGCUACACUAGUUGCUUUUGGCAAAAACAAACCCCUCAGCCAAAAAGCCUUGCAUGUCUAGGUGUUGGUGGAGUAGUCACCACCUGUCGGUUAAGUCUUGUUGAGCAUAGUUGCUCAGCCUUGCUUGUGGCACAUCUUUUUAGGUGAUGUUGAUACCCUGAGCUCGCAGCAAGUGGCACUUGGCCACCCCAACAUCCUCCUGGUUGGACGGUUGAGUAGGAUCCCUCCUUGGACGGCGAGGACCGGGAUCAUUGAUGUCAUGAUCGGCUUCGUCAUGAUAUUCUGCAACGACGUUUAGCUUCCGCUCAGUUAUUUCUGUUAUUUGAGAACUCUACAAACUUUGAUGGAAUUUCGAACUUGAGGUUGUAAUAAUUUGAUGCACUUGUUUAAUUGAGAUGGACUGUUGUAAUGUCUGUAACCACUCGCCUUUGUGCGAGUCUUGCUUUCCCGAUCCUGAGUGAAGUGGUUUAUCGAAUGAAAUCCGACGGACGACCAAGUUGAUUUGUUUAAAGUACAUGAUUGCGUGUUAAGUGGCUUAAGUGUGCUAAGGCAAGUCAAUUUGGGCGGUUCCGCCACAGUAUAUGGCCGCACAACUCUUCCAUUUCCUUGAGUUCUAUCCACUCCAACACCUUUUAAACCUAACACCACAACUACCUGCAACAUCAUUCACCUUUUCACCAUUAGCUCAUUUUAGUGGUUUUAGUACAUGCUAUUUACGGGUGUUUUUCCCUCCAAGUUGGCAUUUUCCUUGCCAACAAGGCCAUGGCCUGGCCCAGGCCUGCCGUCCUUUCUUUCUUCAUGAAUUCUUACCUCGUUCCCUUGUCCAUCACCGAUUAAAGGCGAACCCCCACGACCUUUCACCGUGAGCCUCAUGUGUUAAUGGAACUAGUGGUGAAUAUACAGAAAAAGAAUGUUUACUUUUGGUAAUAAUGAUGGAUGGAUGGUUUUCGCUGAAUCAUCAAAUUUUUCUUUGAACAUACGAGAACAUGGGGCCAGCCGGUAACUUUCCAGCUGUAAUCUAAUAUUUUGCAUAGAUUUGCGCAACAAUCACACAACUGUUUAAUUGUCAGGCACCGCGCGACCACUUAUCACAACAUGGUUGUCGGAAGGGUUGAGUUCAUCCACGAAGGUAGGCAGUCCAACGUUAAUGCACACAGAAUAGCUAGAAGUGCAGUUUUAUGUUCCUUAGUAAGACAUGUGUGGUUUUUAUCCCCACCCGAUUGGGUUUGUAACUCUUAUUCAGUUUAAUAAAGGGUGAAGCUCCUUAAAAAAAAAGAAAGUAAACUCUCUAUCUGGAGUGUAAACUGUCUUCCAAAUUAAAAGUCAAGUGGUGUAUAUGUUUCUCCAAAGGAAAAAUCAAUUGAGGAUGAGGAAGCUAGCCACAAGAUGUGCACACUUCUUGUUCCUGCCGUUGAAUUUCUGGUAGCUCGUACCACCUAGCAGCAAGUACUCUAUGAUCUAGUUGCGCACACAAGAGGACCACCGAAAAAGCAUUGACUAGUAUCAUCAUGCGGCGGAACACGUGUAAAUACCUUGCACGGUCGAUAGCUUGAAGGUACUGUCCAUCGAGAGAGUGAUAAUUAAGCUUGAGCAUAGACAACCGCAGCUCAGAAAUAUCACAGGCGUGCACGCACAGGCUACAUAGCCUGUGUGUGUUUCUUUAGCUUAAGGCCCGGUUUGUUUUCCACCUUAGAUUACAUAAUCUAGCCUACAGUGAUCUAUAAGCUAAAACAAAUAAGCCCUGUAUGAUAAUCUGAUUAUAUAUAUAACAAUGCACAUUUGAAUAAAUUAAUAACCCUAGUUCAGGCUCUGAAAUUCCGUGGCUGAUAAAUUAUGCUUCGAUGCUGGUAUGGAAGGAAUAAGUCCCUUUGUAUGUGGCCGCACAACUCUUCCAUUUCUUUGGGUUCUAUCCAUUCCAACACCUUUUAAACCUAACACCACAACUACCUGCAUCAUCAUUCACCUUUUCACCAUUAGCUCAUUUUAGUGGUUUUAGUACAUGCUAUUUACGGGUGUUUUUCCCUCCAAGUUGGCAUUUUCCUUGCCAACAAGGUCAUGGCGUGGCCCAGGCCUGCCGGUCCUUUCUUUCUUCAUGAAUUCUUACCUCGUUCCCUUGUCCAUCACCGAUUAAAGGCGAACCCCCACGACCUUUCACCGUGAGCCUCAUGUGUUGAUAGAACUACUGGUGAAUAUACAGAAAAAUAAUAUUUACUUUUGCUAAUAAUGAUGGACGGAUGGUUUUGGCUGAAUCAUCAUAUUUUUCUUUGAACAUAUGAGAACAUGGGGCCGGCCGGUGGCUUUCCAGCUGUAAUCUAAUAUUUUGCAUAGAUCUGCACAACAAUCACACAACUGUUUAAUUGUCAGGCACCACGCGACCACUUAUCUCAACAUGGUUGUCGACAACGCAUCCAAUGAUGAUGCGACAUCAUGACAGGCAUGUUGGGUGAAGUAUUUCCACCCACGUCGUGUUAGAUCCCACUAGCGUGUAGAGGCCAAUACGGCCACGAAGACCUGGCUAGAAGACCGUGAGCGCGGUAAAGCCCUUUCGAUCUUUUAUCAUAUUCCAUCUAGUAAUACACUAAUCUUUUUGACUGGCGUGUCUGUUAUCACUACUAGAGAACUGACUUUAGAUACCACCCCCUUUAGUCUUGGUUUAAUUUUGGCUCGGGAGAAAAAGGGGUGCGUCACGGUAGGCUGGAAUGGGGCGCACCUUUACUCUCGAUUCUUUUUUUUUGCAACCGGUAUUACAGGCCACCCUUUAGUCUCGGUUAAAACGGCUAGCUUCCGUGCACCGACGGUGCCACCCUUUACCCCCGGUAGGAGCCACCAACCGAACCUUUUGUCCCGGAUGGAAUUACCAACCGGGAUAAAUGUUUUACCCCUGGUUGGUAAUUCCAACCAGGACAAAAGGUUGGAGCUUUUAUCCCAGUUGGCUUUACCAACCGGGAGUAAACACCAACCGGGACAAAAGCUCUAAUCUUUUGUCCCGGUUGGAUUUACCAACCGAGAUAAAAUCUUAUCUACAAGAGGCCUUUGUUCCUCCUCCACUCCUCAACUCCGAGCCACUCCACUCCACAAAGACAGAGAAGCUCAUCCUCUCCAUGGCGCCGAAGCAAGCCUAGGGGAGGUGCUGCUGAAAUUUUUUUCCUCAUUUUCUUGGGGAUUUCACCCAUCCAAAGUGUUGUGAACGUUAGCUACUUCAUGCUCUGUUCAUUUAUUGUUGUUAAGCUUUGUUUUAUACUUUAGAGAGGGAGAAAAAUGAGUUUGUUUGUUGUUAAGCAUGUACAGGAUUUGUAUUUAUACAUGUUCUUGAGCUACAAUGUGAUGGAUAGUUUGAAUGUGAGGGAGAAUGGACAGUAAAUGUGAGGUAGAAUUGAGAUUAUUUCAAUUUUAUGUAUUAGGGAAAAAUUAGAGUAAAUGUGUUUUUAAUAUUUAUAAAUUAGCCAGGUGUAAUUUCAUACUUUAAUACUUUUCAGAUAGAGGUAUGGAAUUAGCCAUUUUUAGAAUAAGUAAAUUAUGUGGGAAAUAUUGAAUUUUUUAAUAGUUUAGUUAUUUGUAAAUUAAAUAUGAGCUAAAUAAUUUGUAGUACAUAGAGAUGGCUUUCUAUGCUGGAUGUAGUGGCGAUGGUGGGGGAGAUCGUCGUUCCUCUCGUGGCAAGGGGAAAACCAUAGUUAGCCCUCACGAUAAGCCGAAGAAAAUGAGUGCGUGGGAGAAAGCAAUGCUUCGUUAUUUGCAAAGAUGUCAUGAAGAUGCUGUUGCGGUGGGUCAGGAACCUCCUUUUGGUGGUCGUUAUGCUCCACCGCCAAUCCCAGGUGUUUUAGGUCCACUUAUAAGUACUACCAUUGCAGGAGGUACAAAUAAACCACAUGAUGAGGCUGCGUCAGCGAAACCUUCAUCUUCGCUUCCCAAGGAUGCUUGAAGUCCUUCUAGAUAGUACUUAGUGGAUGGUUUGUCGUAGUGUAUCAUGUUGUUGUUGCUCUCAAGUUUAAAUUUGUGUAUUUCUAUGUAAUCUUUCAGCAAUAUUUAAGUUUGUCGUAAUGUAUCAUGUUGUUUGCUUCUGAAAUUUUAAUUUGUGUAUUUCUAUCUAAAAUUUUAGCAAUGUGAUGGAUAGUUUUAUUGUAAUCCAUGCGCCCAAUGCAGUAACCAGAAGUGGUAUUCGAAGGCUUCCUGGGAGACCAUUCACAGUCACUUGUUUAGAUACGGUUUCACGCCUAACUAUUUGGUUUGGACCCGUCACGGUGAAAGAGGGGUUGUAAUGGAAGACGGUGAAGAGGAGGAGGAGGAUGAUAGGAAAUUGCUAUACCCAGAUUGCUAAGGAGGCCAUAAAAAGCUGGGUACCACACUAGAAUUUAUGCAAUGGAAAGCCAAAAAUGGUGUGUCCGAUAAGGCAUUAAUGAUUGUUUGCCCUCUGGGAUUAAUGAUAGAUGAUAGUGAUGCAGUAAAAUAAUUAUUUAAGAAGGUAAUAUAACUAGUGUAGAAUUAAUGAGUCAUUCAAACUUAUUGUAAAUAUAAUUUCUAAUUAAAUAUAUUUUUGCAUGUUUGAAAUCUGUAAAGUUGGGAAACCCGGCGAGAUCCGAUGCCUAGAAGUUCCAACCGGCGAGAAUAAAUUUCCAAAUAGAAGUAAAAAGAAGUAGUAUAGAAUUUAUGUCUAGUUAAAACUUAUUGUAAAUUAAACAUGCUAAUUUAAUAUAUUUUUGCAUGUUUGAAAUAUGUAAAUAUCUUAUUUUUUGCUUCCUGAAAUCUAGUGAAAACACAAAUCGAAUAAAUUUCAAAAACCAGUCUGGAGAUGAAAAACAGGAGAAGGCCCCCAUUUAUCCCGGUUAUAAAGUAGAACCAGGAUAAAAGGGACUUUUCGAUUCCCACCUGGAAGUACCCAUUUAUCCCGGUUGAUCAUAAACCGAGAUAAAAGAGGGGUGCCUUUUAUCGCGGGUGAUCAUAAACUGAGAUAAAAGCCCCCCCUUUUAUCUCGGUUUGUAUUAAAAACCAGGGUUAAAUGUCUUUUAAUUCUUGUUUUAGUUACAAACUGGGAUAAAAAGAGGGGCCUGUAUAAAAGUUAUAGCGUCUUCUACACUUCCCCUACCCAACACUUAGCGAAAGUUUCACUCGUCGUCCUCGUCCUGCCCGUCGCCUGCCUCCGCCGUCGCCACUCCCCGUCGCCGCCGGCGACCCAUCCUAUUCGCCGGCCUCCUCCGUGUCCAUCACCACCUCCAUCAUCUUCGCCCGCAAUCAUCGCCGGCCUCCUCCUCCGUCCCCGUCGCCGCCGCCGGCGCGUCCAUCCCUGUCGCCACGACCUCCGCGUGUGCCCCUCAUCACGCACCGGCGCCACCUCCUCCCCGUCGUCGUAGCCGUCCCCGUCGCCGCGACCGCCGUCCCCGUUGCCAGCCGGCCGGCCGCCUCCCCCGUCAUCGCCACGCGUCCUCAUCGCCGACACGCCCACCUCCAACUCCGGUUGUCCCCCUAGCGUGAAUUAAUUUGAGAAAUUUGGUAGAUUACUUCUAAUUGUUUGUGGAAUAUAGUUGUAUACUGCUAAUUAAUGCUUAGAAAUUAAUUGAACUUUGGUACACAUGUUUACAAAUUUUUGUUGAAAUGCUUAGAAAUUAGUUGAAAUUUAGUACAUUUGUAUAUUACAUUUUGUAUGUUACAUUUUUUAUAUUACAUUUUGCAUAGUACAUUUUGUAUAUUACAUUUUGUAUGUUACAUUUUUUAUAUUACAUUUUGCAUAGUACAUUUUGUAUAUUACAUUUUGUAUACUACAUUUUUUAUAUUACAUUUUUUAUAUUACAUUUUUUAUAUUUUAAAAAUGUAGUACAUUUUGUAUAUAUCAAAAAAAUUGUUGAAAUGAAUUUUUUUUCAUGGUUGUUCUAUAUAUGAUUUCAUGUACAAAGUAGUUGAGAUAGAUGGCAGAUGACGAGGCCAGAAGGUAUCUAAUGGAGCAGAUUAUUACUGGUGCUAGUAGUUCCAACCUUCCCAUAGCGUACACCGAUGAAGAGGGUAGCCAGGCAGACAUGUUUCUCAACCUGUCUGCCGAAGGCAAUGAAGAGCCUGAGCCCCAGAAAAAGGUUACCGUGGCAGAAGGUUCCGACGAGGUAUAGAUCAUAUUUUAACCUUCUGUAUAUAUAAUAUACGAUGUUAUUCAUUAUUACUAUGUACUAAUUAAUUAAUGAAUCUUGAACUGUUAUCCCUCUAGAUCGACGAACCAUUGUCCGAAGCCCCGAGGUCCUUCCAAGGUGAAGACAGGAACAAAAAAGGCUAUCAUCACGGAAGUCACAAAAGAGGGCGGGCCGGUUGCUCCCCAAAAACUGGCAACACAGUACGUGAGUCAGAUCGGGGCAAUCGUAAGGGAGAACGUGCCCAUCAGCAUAAGGGAAUGGAAGGGCAAAACGACUAAUCCAUACGCGCUCUAGGAACCAGAAAAGAAUAUACUGUGGGAAGAAGUUAAGAAACAUUUCACAUUUCCCAACGGAUAUAUUCAAAAUGAUGUGAAAGCGUGGACACUAAAAAAGAUGGCCACACAAUUCCAGACAUUCAAGAAGAUGUUGGAUACCACCUACAUUAAGAAGGGCCGAACUCCAGAUUUUACUGUGUAUCCACAGUGUAAGGACCACUGGGAGGCAUUUGUACAAUACAAGAGCACCGAAGACAAUAAGAAUAAGGUCGCCCAGAACACAGGCAAUGCUGGGGGAAGGAGUACCAUCAUAAGCUAGGGUGAGGUGGUUACGCCAAAGCAAUUCCCAAAUGGAAUCAGAUGGAAAAAGACUUGAUUGAGCGGGGUAUCGUACCAGGAACAAUUGAUUGGCCCGAACCGUCGAAAAAUUGGUAUUACGCUCAUGGAGGUGAGAUAAACCCAGAUGAUGGGACGAUGGUCUUCGAUGACCUGUUACGUGAAGCGGCCACAAAGCUUGACAAGAUUAUUAAAGAUGUUAAGGAUGGGACGUUGAUGGUGUGCCGAGAGAAUGAUGAGCUAACAAUGGCCCUCGGAAAUCCCGAACACCCAGGACGUACCCGAGGGUUCAGGCUUGUUCCAUGGAAGUUCGCAUUCCGAGGCGACUUGGACAAGUACACAAGCCAGAACCGAAGAAAGGAGCAAGAGGAUGAGAGGUGGCGGCGCACGAUAGAAUCCAAAUUGCAAUCUGUAGAAGUAAGAAUGCAGGAGGGAGGCAGUAGACGAAUGGCCGACGCAGUUGGCAGCCCUUCUCAACACCUCGGGAGCAGCUGUGCGUCCACAGGGCUCCCUGAGCCACAUACGCUAGGAUUACCUGUGGAAGAGCAACUAUUCCCUGUGGAUGCCAUCACGCAACGCACCACAUGUGAGCUGCAUAUACCGAUCGGCAACCUCAGCAUUAAGGUACGUAUAUAUACAUAAUAUUUAUGCACCGGAGCUUUGGGAGUGCUUUGGCAAUUUGAAGUUUAAGAACUUCAUUUCUUUUAUAUAUCCAGGUGGCGUACGGGAGUGCAUUGCCAAUCCUGCCAAAUCAUACAUGCCAUGGCAUGGAGCUUCCACCUGGCUAUGCCAGUGUUGGCGUAGAGAGAAUCCUUAAUAGCCAAUUUGAAGGCCUAGAGCUCGACUUCCUAGCAGGCGACGGGUCAACAACACUAGGAGAAGUGGUUCACGGGAUCAUUCUAUGGCGCAAAUGCUACAUCAUCAUCCCCGGUGUGGAGGCACCUCCUCAGAGCUCAAGACCACUCUCCGCAAAUCCACAGCAGCGACCAUCUCCUGAAACAUCCAGACCAUCAUCUCCACCACAACCUGCUCCACGAUCAAGGUCUCCAUCUCCACCACAUCCUGGUGGUUGUAGCGACGACGACGACAACAACACCCUUCCACAAUCACCUUCGUCGGGACUAAGAGCACCAUUUAAGAAGUUGCGACUACUGCCUCCCAAGCUAAGAUAACGUAAGAAGAAAACAAAGGAGCCUGAGGUGACUCCUGAGGAACGCUGGGAGGCAAUGACUCAUGAGGAACGCUGGACCGAAAUCCAAGUGCAAGCUAGUGAGUGGUUGAGGGAACAAAGGGAAUUAAGAAAAGCAAGGGAGAUGGAGCCACCGCCAGUAGAUCGAAGAGAAUUAUACAAAUUCACCAAGACGCAAGAACAAGCCAAGAAGAGUCAACCACUACUACCGAACUAUGAACGAGCAUUAGUAAAGGUUGAUGAGAAGAAAAAAAAAAGGAAAAAAGUCGAGCUGCCAGCUGCACCGCCAAGUGAACUGAAAUGGACCUUUGAGCUAGGCAAGCCUAUGGUUGGCCCUGAUUCGCUAAAGAAGCUAUCAACGAAGAUGUACGAAUUCCAUCAAUGGUACAUGAAGUUGUCUGCCGAUGAGAGGGAGAUGUUGGGCCUUAAGAUAAAAUCGAUAGAUUUUCACAGCGAAGGCGAGGCAGUCCUGUGGCUACGAUUCAAGGAUAUAUACGAAGUGUACCAUCAUGGUGCCCUAGACGUCUCUCUGAUGAGCGCCUGGACUCUGUAAGUGUCCGUUUACAUGUACAUGUAAAUAUUGGCUCAAAUCAUUUUUUGUGUGCAUGUGUCGCCGUACUAAUUAACUUCGUCUUCCAUUUUAUGUAGGAUGCUAAUUCGGACGUGCUGACAUGAAGCGUACCUCCAUAUUGGCUUCAUGGAUCCAUCCAUAGUGAACCAAGCCCAGAUACGAGAUUUUCCAGACAAAACGUUGCUGGCAGUAUACAAUUCUUUAGACAGACAAAAAUUAAAGGAUCACAUACUACUUCCAUACAACUUCAAGUAAGUGUGUGUAUACCGUCUAUAUUCGUUUUCUUUUUCCUUACCUGAUUAAUGUUAGUUACCUCUAAUAUAUAUGAACAUUUACGUACGCAGCUCCCACUGGAUCCACAUUAUUAUUAACAUUGAUCGAAGUCACGUCACUGUCUUCGAUUCGUUGAGGAGAGAUCCGAAGGAGUACCAAGACGUUCAACACACGCUAGACAUGUUAUAAUUCUGGACCUCUAUCUCUAUACAAAAUUUUGUUUCCUAAAUUUUCACCUAAUACUAAUCAUUCAUUAUUUUAAUCCGCAGAGCAUGGAGAGAAUUCAUCAGGGCAGACAGAUCAGGUCAAUUCAAAGAAAAACUUACAUGGAGAACAGACUUCCCGGUACGUAUGAAGUCUGCACAUUUUGUACAUUCUAUAGCAUGAAUAUUUAAUAACUUAAGGCUUCGUUUGGAUGUAGAUAUUGGAGGGCUUGGUAUUGAAUUGGGAACAAUACCAAAUUAGCCUAGGCAUUGAAAUGGAUCCAAUACCAAAGCAACUGUUUGGAUGUAAAUGAAAUUGGCAGAUGGAAUUCAACCAAAAACGAAUACCAAUUCGUGUUUGGAUAUCCUUAACAUCAAAUUAGAAAUUCACUCCUCAUCCUCAUGCACUUCUCAUCUCAUCUUCUUCCGCCCGCACAGAGGUCGAGAGGUGGAGCUUGGGGUUGGACUGGAGGGAGGCCACGGUGGAGCAGAUGGCGCGGCGGAGGAGGGGAGGAGGGGAGGAGGAGAGCGGCGCGCAACUCGGCGAGGGACGGGAGGAGAGCGGAGCGACGGCGGAGGGGAAGAAGGAAGCGGGGCGCAGCUCCGCGAGGGAGGGAAGGAGAGCGGCGCGGUGGCGGAGGGGGAGAAGGGAGCGGUAGAGGACGGGAAAAAGGGAGCGGAGGCCAGAGAGGAGGCGAGCGGCCGGCCGCGAGGAUGACGAGGAGGGGCGGCGGCUGCGAGGAAGACGAGGAGAGGGGCGGCGGCCGCGAGGAAGACGAGGAGGGGCGCCCAGUCGCGAGGAAGAUGAGGAGGGGUGCCGGCCGCGAGGAAGACGAGGAGGCGGAGGGGGGCUCGAGUGACGGGCUGUUUUGAUGAAGGCUGAUUCAUCUCAAUACCGAGGGGGAAGACUCGGUUUUGAGGGAGCGUUGUUUUAGCUCCCGUUGAAUUCCACGGUAUUGGCUCCCAAUACCAAUUCUCAAUUCCAGGGACAUCCAAACAAUGGUAUUCGUGAGAUCCAAUUCCAAUUCUCAAUUCCGAGGUCGAAUACCAACAUCCAAACGAGGCCUAAUUUUUUUUUCCCACAACAGUGCUUAAGACAGGAACCUGGAAAUGAUAAUCUAUGUGGCUACUAUGUCUGUGAGCACAUGCACAAUUUAUUGGGACCCAAGACCAGCAAGGCCAUGGAGCACGAAUUUAAAGUAUGUAAAAUAAAACUAUUAAUAAUUAUUUAUUUUCUACAAUUGUUCGUGUAAAAUUCACAUAUAUGUAUCCAAUUACAGAUGUGGAAUAUUCAAUUGGGACUCUUGAAGAAGGAAAGAGUAGCGGCAAUAUGUGAAGGUCUCAUUGGAUUCCUGGUGGACGAGGUGGUAAAUCCAAAAGGAGACUUUCAUUACGAUGGACAAAAAUUAGACGCUCCCAGCACCUCGACGGGAAGAUCCUCGUAUAUAUAUAUAUAGUUUGAUUUAGUUUGUAUAUAUAUAUAUGUAAUACGUACGCUAAUUAGAUUUGUAUAUAUAUAUAUAUAUAUGUAGUACGCUAAGAAUUGUAUAGUAUUUGUAAAUACUUGUUUGAUUCGUUUAAAUACUAGUUUGAUUGAUUUCAUUAUAAAAAAAAGUUCUCAACUACUAAAGGUUAACUAAAGGGGUACGUGAGAUAUGCACGAAAUUAUAGGCGCCAUGCAGGCGCCUGCAUGGUGCUGUACGCACGCACUUUAGUCCCGGUUUGUAAAACAAACCGUGAUAGUCCCGGUUGGUUUUACAAACCGGGACUAAAUGAGGGUUUUAUAUCCCGGUUGAGGGACCCGUGAUAAAAGACCUCCCCUUUUAUCUCGACGGAUUAAUCCCGGUUGCAUUUUCGGGAGAUAUGCAGUCUACGAACCGGUACUAAUACCGAGUUCUGUAGUAGUGUAUGAAAACCAAUACGGCCACGAAGAUCUGGCUAGAAGACCACGAGCGCGGGGUAAAGCACUUUUGAUCUUUUAUUAUAUUCCAUCUAGUAAUACGCUAAUCUUUUUGAGUGGCGUGUCUGUUAUGAAAACCAUUGUUCCAGAUGUCCACGAGUGAGUGUGCGUUGCUUCGCCGGCUGAAUUAGCGCUUGCUCCGUACAGCCUGAUGAGCAAGUACGGUUUGAUUUACUUGCGCACCCAAAUGGACAAUCGAGCACCAAAGAAGCUAAUUAUUUGUGCAUUUUCUCGGAAAGCCUCCUGAUGUCAACGAGCCCACGUUCUGCUCUUGAAUUUAGACUGGUCCGGUACGGCCUGGCGAGCAAGGACUCUUGGAGUUACAUGGUGCUGGUGACCCGUCGAUCCAGCACUAAAACAAACGUUGACAAGCAUCGAUCAUGAGGGUUAGUGCCUAUAAAUACCCAGCAUACACGGGCCAUCGAGAGUGAUUAUAUUAGAGCAUACACCUAAAACUAGCAAUGGCCACCACCAGAUCGUCCGCUGCUGCCCUGUUCCUCGCCACGGUUCUCCUGCUCGCGGUGGCUUCUGCCUUGGCCCAAGCGCCGGCACCGGGACCAUCCAGCAGCCAAUGCCCCCUCGGCCUUGAAAAACCGCUCAGGGCAAUAGGUUCACUGUCGCGUCUUCAGCGCAUUGAGAUCGCUCGUCAACUCUUGAGCCUGAGCGUGAGUGGUGCUGUCCGGUGCGUCUGCUCUAUUGCCGGAGGGUCCACUUCUUCUGCCCUUGGUAUCCUCGGGCCCCUCGGGCUGGGAGGUCUGCUCAACGUCGGCCUGACGUGCAGCACAGUCUAGGCCUAAUACAUAAUUGUCGCAUUAAGCAUGCAUGCACACUCGCAACAUACCCAGCAUGUGUGUUGCUUAGCGGCUUAAAUAAGUGCUUGCUGCCUAAUUCUUACCGAAAUGCAUACACUAUAUGGAACCCACGUAGUAGCUAGCUAUGCAGCAGCCGGCUAGCUAAUGUGAUGGUCCCAUACUACAUAUAUACUACAGCCGUAAUCAAAUGAUUAUAAAUUUAUAACCAUAAACAAUAUAAUAUAAGAUAAAUAAACGGUUAAAGUCUAACCUGGGAGACCCUUCAUGUCAUAUCGCGUUUUAUAAACAUGAAUGGAGUAAGUAUAAUAUCAGUUUUUAUUUGUUUAGAUACAUCUUAGCUAUUCACGCUUGGAAGGGAACGUGGGCCAGGAUGACCCUAGAUGUUAUAUGGUUCCAGAGUAUAAUAACUUCUAUUGCUCUUGGUUUCAGAAAUGAUGAACAACCACAUUUUAAUAUUAUCUUUUCGAACUUACGUGUCUUGUUUAGCAUAUUCCUCAUAUUCCUUCUGACGAUCCAUGUGGAAGAACCCGACGAACAGCUCGCUGCAGGCUGAUUCCUGCGUGGGGGAGGUCGACGUGGAGGAGGGGGAGCUCAUCCCUAGCCUAGCCAAGGCUUGGUCAGCCAGCUCCUGCCUAGGGCGAUGGCGCAGGUGAGCUGGAGGAGAAGCCACGGCACGGGAAAAGAACAAAAGUGAGGGAGAGAGAAUGGAAGGGGGAAGCUCAGAAGUUCUGUGGGGAGGGGGCGGAAGGCAUGGACGCUGUCACGGCAUGUAGGCGAUGGAAAACGGGCACGUGGCCCGGAAAACGGAUAGCACAUUACAGCGUUAGGCAAUUUGACGAGGAAAAAUGGCGGCUACGGAGAUUACGAACAAUUUUGCGCAGAUUCCGAAAACUGCGGAGUUUUCCAUCCUCAAAGGUAAUGAAUGGAAAAAAUAAGUUACGGAUAACUCUCCCACAAAAGAGAAAACUACGGAGAAUCCGCAAAAACCUCCAGAUAAUCCGUAAAAACUUGCGGAAAUUCUGCAAAAUUUUGUGGAAACUCCGCACAAAACAUCAACAACAACUAAUAUGAGAGUUUUGGAUGGAUUUCUUAUGAUUCAAAGGAAGAACAAGUUGUCGGGAUCGAAACGAAACAGACUAAACUCAUUAAACAUGGCGAUUCAAAUUGGACCACCUGGAGAUCUCCCAAAAAAUCAUGAAAUAAAUCAAAGAGGUAGUACAAAACAAGGGCAAACCAUUUUGCUCAUAACUGGCAUCAUAGCUAUUGUAGGUUUGAAAUGAAAAUUCUUCCCGGAAGGCUAUUUUGGAGUUUUCAGGUAAGCUAUUUGGCCUCAAGAUGGUCCCUACAAAUCCAGGAGAAGUAACCUAAAUUCAUGUUUGGAGAAGUACUAAUUUAUCAAGUCAUCUCCCAACAUAGGUUCAAUGGUAGAAAUCUAAGUUCAUUCACAAGGUACAUGCCAAAACGCAAGUUUUUAAAUAAAUUUUAAGUCCAAUGGUAAAUCAAUUGGGCUCAAAAGAUGCAAUGAUGCUAGAGAUGAUGCACAUGCAUGCUCCAUGACAUGAUUAACUAUUUUGGAUUGUUACAUUCUGCGAAGUUUACCAUCGCCAGCGUGGCAUCGAUCUCCUGGUCCUAACAGGGGCCUUGAAGAUGCCUUAAGCAUUUGCUUUCUGAAGACAAUCUGGCAGCGUCUUGUUUGAGUACGUCCUGCACUAAUGUUGAUCGAGCUCACCGCACUUAUUAGCACGCUCAGCGAUUUAAGUUUACCAUCGCCAGCCAUCUGUUGUUGAUCCCCGCAUCCCCACGAGAUAAUCGAGAAGGAAGCGCCAAAAAAGAUUAGCAUCGGCCAGUGCUCUAUGCCAGGAUCAAAGAUAUGCUGCCAUUUGGGAGACAAUGGCCAAUGCCUGCAGGCGCAGCGCAAGGGCAGUGCAUUACAUUCCCACCAAUAACCAAAUGCCAUUGUGCAAACGGCAAGCUAGACAUAUCAUAUAUAUACAGUAGACGAUGAUCGGCAGCUACGGGCGCGGGAACGUAUCGAUGUCGAGACAAGAUCCAGAAGGAAUGAGCAAGGACGAUGUGAUUGGGGAGAUUGUUACCAUCACCAACACUUUAAAAUCAAAUAUCCGUCUUGGUUUACCGUGUAAGGCGGAGUGCCCACAUCCGCUUCAUUGUUAGCGUAUUACAGUAAUCAAAUCGUUGGCAUUAUUUGUUAGGUUGUGGCUUGUCGCCGGGGCGCCAUACCGGACGGCACCUUGUCGGAGGCGACCGUAAAUGCGGGUACUCUAUAUCCUUGUGAAUGAGGUAGUCCCCGGCCAGAGAGCAGACGACGCGGGAGGUGGAAGGAGGAGAAGCGAGGAGGGAGAGAGAGAGGAGAGCAGCGGAGUCAUGGCGGGGAGGUGGAGGCACGACAACCCGUUCGAGGAGGGCGACGGAGACGUCAACCCCUUCUCGGUAACCUUCUCGCAGCGUGUCUCUCCAUGAUUCCAUUAUCAUCGAGUGUCCACUGGUUUCUCUCUAUUUUCCACCUUUCCUCCGACGAUCUCUAGUUUGAAAUUAUAUCCCCCUCUAAACCUUAGCUAGAAGCCUAGAAUUUGACAAUCGAGCUUUGAUGGUUGCAAUAUUUGGUUUUGAACGGUUCAACACUUUUCGCUUGUUUGAAAGACAUUGAACAAGAAAGUUGAAAGUAGCGUUUUUAUUUCCUAGUUCAAAUAAAGUUAUGUACUUUCAAAUUUCUAUGUUCGGGUUGUUUCCUAAAACUUGAAAUCAUGUUUUGGUUGCAAGACUUUUUUUUUUGUCACUCGUGGAAAUUUUACUUAGUGCAUCUUUUUUUAAGGAAAAUUUACUUAGUACAUCUUGUUGGAAACCUAAGCACUUUGAGGACCAGGUUUAUUUCGGGUCUAAAAACACCAACCAAGCUCGUCCAUAUCAACUCUAUUGGUCCGCAAAUUCAGGCUUAAGUCGGGCCAGGCUCGAGCUAGACUGGCCAUUAUUUUUCAAUAGACUAUGGUGUGAUUUUUUAGCCAUAAAAUUCAUCACGAUGCCCGGCUAUAAACUAUGGUCGGGCCGGCCCGGGCUUGUUUUGCUCAAAUCUAGUUACGGGCAAUACAAGGAGAUACACUUGCCCCGUGGCGUGUGUUGUUUAUAGCAAAUGUGUGUAUUUGUCAUCUAAUAUUGAAGUGUUUAACGAAAGAUCACAAGCACCUAGGAAUUUUUCCUCCAUCCAAAUAGGUUCGAAUCUGGUAAACCUUAUAUUCAAAGGACUCAUAUUUCAAAACUUUGUCACUAUAAACUAAACACAGGCAUCAUUAUUUUGUUUCAGCUCACCCGUGGAGAUUAUCUUUUGUUAUUAUUUUUUCCAUGUCAUUUACUCAUGUUGCCCUUUGUAUUCAUUCUCCUAUGUUUUAUUACUUAUGUUGUUUAAUAUAAAAGCUAAAUGCAUGAUUAGUACAUAAACUUGGCAAGUGAUUGUUCAUUUGAAAAUAACGACUUGGCAAGUGGGUGCGGAUGGGUCACCGGGAUGACACGUAGGUAAAAAAAAAUACCACAUAGGUAGCUUAUUUUUUCUUACAUGUCAUCCCGAUGAUCCAUUCGUACCCACCUGCCAAGUCGUUGUUUCCAAAUGAAUAAUUUGAAAGAUGAUGUAUCUAAGCGCGCCUACUCGCCAGUUUAUAUACUAACGACACAUUUAACUCUAAUAUAACUAUCUAUAUUUUGAGAAAAAAAGAAUGAUAUGGUUAUAAGUUUACCUCAUAGAAGGAUGCAUAGGGUUCCUCUGAAUCAUUUCUUUAAGACGACAUUUCUUUCUAGACAAAAAAACCAUUUUUAAAAGUCAUUUCUUUAAGACGACAGCAGCACGGACUCAUUACCUUUCAGGCGCAAGCCCACACAAAUGCGGGGUCAAGCAGACCGCCGGCCCAGCUGCCUGCUCGCAUCCCAGCCCGGCGGGCGGCGGCUGCUCCGGGCUCCGGGCUCCGGCGCACGGCGGCGAUCCGCAGACCGCGGUGCCCGUGCAUAGCACUGGCCAGUUAUUUGCCCGCCCAUCUCAGACGCUGGCUUCCCUCCGCACGUUGGCGCCGGCGGCGGAUUGGCGGCGCGCGUUCUGGAGAAUGGUCGAGCACUACGGCGCGCGCCGCCGCAACAGUCGUCACCUCUCGCCACGCCGGAGGUACGUCGUUUGCGGGAUUCGGUAUAGGAGAGAAGAACCUCGUCAUGUAUCCACCAUAUAUGCUAUGUCCAUUUCCAGAUGAUAUGAUUGGGUGUUGUUUUUGGCCGUGUUACCUGAACAGCCAUUUCAGUGUCAAAACACCUAACACAUUGCUCCUUAAAUCGGUUAGCCAUUUGUUCCUCUUAACAACUAGUUCUACUUAACCGUCAUGUUCUUCCUUGCUCGUGAUACGGAACAGCUCCAGUGCCACUUCUAUCAGUGGGGUGAAAUUCAGCCAGCAUUCCCCCUGUACUGUUACCUCCGGAGCGUGUCCGACGACUGUCCUGAGUCCCGACCAACCUACCCGUCCAUUUAAACCCAAGUUAGGCUUUUCAGGUGCUUUUGGCUGCCACCGACUUGUUGCUGGCAAAAAGAUUAGUAACUCACUUCUUUAAUAUGGUAUAUGGAAUAAAUUUCUGAAACUCGUUCCGUUAUUGCUAGUGAGUACCAGUGAAUUAUAUAUAUCGUACCUAUAUAUUUUUCACGAUGUCGUUUGUUCUAUCGCUCUAUUCUUUAGCCCAUUUAUAUCGUUGAUGUAUCAACUUAUUUCAGACUCUUGCAGUGUACCAUUCCAUAGAAACCAAUCAAAUGCUUGUGCAGAAUCAUGUAACAAAAGAGAAGGUGAAAAUCUGUUGUGCAUAGCAAAUUAGCAAGCGCACGUGCGCGCAUGCUUGCCAAGUUCUGAAUCCAAAGUUACAAUUUAUUAUGGAGUUAUGGAGCCAAACUUAUUUAUAUGUGUUUCAUUAUCUUUGCUUUAGCCCUUCAUUACUGUUCAAGAAUCUGAUCAUAUACUCAUAUCCUUUUAUUCGUGUAGCAUUCACGCCCAUCUCCCCUCCCUCAUGAACCAGCUGGUUUCUACAAUGACAUUGGUGCAUCUGUAGAUAUCCCACUUGAUAACAAAAAGGUAGUUUGACUGCUUGAAUUGUUUGAGUUAACUAUCAUUUACUAUUUUAUCUGUAUGCAUUGGUUUUGUACUAUUUUUCAAUCAUUCAGCGAAAUUUCAAACUGAUAUAUGUCCACCUGACGUUCGUUCCAUACUUCCACAAAUAAGUUUGGUAUCUUUCAAUUGGUCGAGCUUGUUGAAUCUUACUAUUUGACCUACAAAGUCACCAGUACAGAGUGUAUAUAAGUGCAGUAUGUCACAGUUCCGCAGAAAAUAACUAAAAAAAUUACAAAAGUCUAUCUUGCAAGUGUUUGUACGAAUGUGAAAUCAAAAUGUGAUUAAAAUCUAUAAUAUUCUCAAUAACUCUGUCUGGCAACAAGUCAUACAAUGGACAAAGAUUUUUUAAGGAUGAUAAAAAGGCUAGAAGUUAGUCUCAUGCCAUUGAGGAGGGGUUAGUAUUGGAAUUUUCCAUUUUCCCCAGCAGUUUUCCUAUAUGUUUCUUUAUUUUGAUAUCAUUAUCAGAUCCUUUUUAUGAGUUCAUCUACAUAAUCCAGGACCUAAAGAAAAAGGAGAGAGAAUUUAUGGCUAAAGAAGCCGAGCUAAACAGGAGGGAACAGGUAUAUACUAGUUAAAUAAUUUUUAUGUCCUGCCAGUUGCACAUUACUUUUUUUUUAUCAAGUAUGCAGCUAAUUUUACACAGUUGUGAACUUUACGAUUUAUUCUCUUGAUUAUAUGUACUGUAUAACUUAUGUUCCUUUCUCUAGGAAAUAAAAAGAAGGGAAGAAGCUCUUGCAAGAGGUAACCUUUAUUUCAUUUCAUGCAUGUGCCAUUUUUUCUCUAAAAUGUCCCAUGAAUUUAUAUUGUCAUCUUUCUCUUACAUGCAGCUGGAGUCUUAAUAGAGCCAAGAAACUGGCCACCGUUCUUACCCAUCAUUCAUGUUGACAUUUCAAAUGAUAUACCUGUGCACUUGCAGCGAGUACAGUAUGUUUCUUUCGCAUCACUCCUAGGUAAUAAGCUAGGGCACCAAUUACUUGAGAAUUCCCUCUUUAAGGGUUAUUGGCUUUCAAAAGGAACUGGUGGUUAAUACUUUUGCACAUUUAUCUUGCAGGGUUGGUCAUAUGCCUCUUCUGGAAUAUUUUAUGUGUUACUGGUGCUUGGAUUACAGGGCAUGGUAUGUUCAGAGAAAAAAAUUCUGGGCUGCUAAUACUCUACAAUUUAAAUUUGUUAUUUCUUUUGUUUAGUUAUUAUAUAUGAUCUUCCAUGCAGAUCCUAGGAUCUGGUUUCUUGCAGUUAUAUACUUCAUUACUGGAUGCCCUGGUGCCUACUUUUUAUGGUACCGACCUCUUUAUCGUGCCAUGAGGUACUAUGUUCUAAAUGAUCGUCCAAAUUAUUUUACAAAGUUUAAGUAUUUUAUGAGUACUCCCUCCAUCCCAAAUUACUAUUUGUUUUGGCUUUUCUAGAUACAUAGCUUUUGCUAUGCACCUAGAUAUAUAUUAUGUCUAGAUACGUAGCAAAAGCUAUGUACCUAGAAAAGCCAAAACGAAUAGUAAUUUGGGACAGAGGGAGUACAUGAUUAAAACCUUAGAUUCACCUGAUAUUGUAACACUUUCACUAGGAAGGAUAGUGCAUUCAGCUAUGGAUGGUUCUUCCUAUUCUACUUUGUAAGUUUUCUGUAAAAGGACUCAUAUAGAUCUUUGUAUGGUCUACUUGUUCCAUGGAGAAGCAAAUGUGCUAAUAACUUUGUAUAUAUUGUCUCUGCAGUUUCACAUUGCCUUCUGCAUAUACGCUGCUGUUUCUCCACCUUUCUAUAUGGGAAGAGCAUUAGCGUAAGUCUUUUAGCAGCUUAAGUUCUUUUCACAUGGAUACUCAACUUUUACAUGUUUCUUAUUUUACAAAUAGAUGAAUUAAAGUUUUUAUGAAGUAAUUAUUAUCAAACUGGACUACUGGAGACUUUCCACAGAACAUGUCGACUAUAAGUAAAAACUGUUUUCUUUUUCCAAUUUUUAAAAUUCAGUGUGAUAAACUUGCUAUUUGUUUUGGAUUUCCCUGUUGUGCAUUAUAUUGGUAUUGGGAUUAUAAUUUGCUUCAUUUGUCUUAUCUUAUCAUUGCAGCGGAAUUUUGCAAGCGAUCAGCGAGAUUGGCGAGAACGCUGCUGUUGGGGUGAGUUAAUUCUGUCAAUAUCUGUACCAUGUAAACACAAGUAACUCGAAAUGAACAGUAUGUUUACAUAACAUCAAAUCUAGGCAGAAGUCAGAACCAAAUGGUUAAAACUCCAGUUUCGUUUGUCCAUAUCUGAAUAGUAAAUUAACAAAACAAAGUAUCAGGCUCGCCUCGUCUUUUUUUUAACAGUGAUCCGUCCCAUAAAAAGGCAUCAGUGGAACUAGUCAAUUUCAAGUUACCAUUGGGACCUGAACCCUGGCAUGAGUUUGUGGAUGUUUUGCAUGUAGCGGCAUAGUCUUCGGGUAUAAUUUUUGUGGUAGCACUAGUUCCAUGAGUCUUAUACUCUGAUACAUUUCAAUGCUUACAGGAAGUUUUUUUUUCUUUAUUUCAGAUAAUGUACUUUAUGGGCUUCGCGAUAUUUGUUCUGGAGGUGCUGCUGAGCAUAUGGGUUUUCCAGGUAGGAAUACAGCAUAGAUGCAGUUGAAAACUUUCUUCCACCAUGCCCCUAACCGGUGGUCACAUUGUUUUGAGGCAAAACUGAAUGGUUUCUUGCAAAUGCUUGUUUUUGUGGUUGCAGAGAGUCUACUGGUUCUUCCGCGGAAAAGGCACGGAGGCGCAGAUGAGGCCUGACGCCGCGUCUCGUGCUCCGCCGUUCUGACGCCCUCUCUCCUAGCAGCAAAAUCCGGAGGGGAGAUAAGAAGCAUGUGUGAAUUCAGUUUGCGUUGGUGUGGUCGAGUGGACACCGAUUUACAGUUGGUGAUGGCAGCAGUUGAAGGGUGACUUGUCGAUUAUUAAUGGCACCAGGUGCAUAGCCUUAGUGACAUUUUGCCUUUGUGUGAGGUUCCUUUCUUCCCUGGAGCUGAAAUCCCCGAAAGGCGAAACAGAAAAAGAAAAGACGGCCCAGCGUCUGGCCGGGACCAGGUGCUUGCCAUUAGCCCUUUCGUCAAAGCAUGAUCCAGUACUAGUUGUGCCCCGCUUUUUAUUAUUUUUUUUUGUGAUUAUAAACACACAUACCUUCUUCGUGACGAAUGCUGUAAUUUAUGAAAUUUAAAAGUUGUAAAAAUGUGUGAUCCGAAAGUUUUGUAGUUUAUGAAAGGUUUGGCGGCAGUGUACAGGUAAGCCGCGAAAGCCGAAAGCAGGCAGCGAUUCUGAUAUCGCUAACGCCGUCGGCCGUCGCUGUCGAGAUGGCGUGGCUGGGGCGGCAAAACCAAAGGUCCAUCCUCCACCGGUGCUUCCAUUCGUUGCAGCGGCUGAUGAUGCGUUUGACGGCAAAGAGAGAAAAAAAGAAAGGUAAAAGCUGACGGCCGGACGGGUGACAAAUCCACGCGGAGUCCGCUAAAUUUUUUCCGUCGCCGCUGCCCGUUCUAGACGCGAUGGAUGACGAUGCCGCUCCCGUACCAACUGCUUUGCUUCCAGGCCGUUUUGUUUUUCUACGCGUUGAGGUCUAUCUGGGCUGCUUCUUGUGCUGCACCCCGUUCUGGUCCUCCUCUUUUUUGCUGACCUCGGAGCAGAGGAAGGAAGCGAGGAGCAGAGGGACAGGAGCAUCGAUCGGUGAGGAGGGACAGAAGAAUGGCGGGGCGGUCGCGGUACGACAACCCCUUCGAGGAGGGCGGCGCCGACGAGGUCAACCCUUUCGCGGUAAGCCCGCGGCUCUCGCCGGCCGGCCGGCCGGCCAUGGGCUCCAGCACCUCUUCCUCCCCUGUUUUUCCCCACUCCCCUGAUUCGUUUGAUGGCUUUUGUCGUCUGCCGGUUCGUUUGGGCUUCGAUACUCUGCUUCCUCUGCUGCUGAGUUAAGCCAACUAGAAUCCCGGCUUCUGCGAUCAUACUUCAUUCCAAGUUUAGCGGCGAUGAAAAGAGGAAGAUGUUCCUUUUCUCCAAAAAAAAAAAGAAAAAGAAAGCGAAAGAAAUAAAAUUGAUGAGGUGGUUGCGAGAGACAUAGACGAUGAUCACAGGCUCUUGUAUUUGUGCAAUUGAUUUGUUGUCCUCUCUACCAAGCAGGGGACAUGGUCUAAAAACUUUGGCAGAAAUUUCACCGUGUUACUGCUUUCUUUUACUUCUGUCAGAAACAAGUGGAUUACGAUCGCUUACCUUUUCGAAACUCAUUUUUUUUUGUUCAAAAUCUGCCUGAUUUUGGGGAUAAAGAACCCAUACCAGCAAUAAGCCAAUCUUAUCUUCUUUUGAAUAGAGUGGUCCGAUCGGACAACAUGAAUUAGGUUAACUGCAACUGCAACCCUGCACUCAUACUUCUUUUUUUUUCCCCAGGACCAAGGCAAAAGAGGUGCAUCAACCACUCAGUCCAGCUAUUCCGGUGGCGCCUUCUACACUACGGUGAGUCUGCACUAGGACAGUGCACUGUUGAUUUCAGCAAUAAUUUUUUUUAAUGCUUUCCUACCUGGAUGAUCAUGCGAAUGCGCUUAUUAUGUCGAUGCAGCAAUCACGCCCUGCUCCUCCGAGCACACGCCUUUCGCCUCUUCCUCCUGAACCUGCUGACUUCUACAAUGACUUUUCGACCCCGGUGGAUAUCCCCAUGGAUACAAACAAGGUAGGUAGUUACACAACCUUCUUGAGAUCAGUACUUUGGUUCAUGCAACUAGAUGGGUGUUACUGAUGUGAAUCUAGUAACUUAAACCCUUACUGGUUGCUAAAUACACACAGGACAUGAAGACAAGGGAGAGGGACCUUUUGGCCAAGGAGGCUGAGUUAAACAGGCGUGAGAAGGUAACAGGAUCCAUAACUGAGACUGGAAUUCACCUUUGCAUGCAUUUCUUAGUUUUGAGGAGCCUUCUUUUUUUCCUAAGCGGUGUUUGAAAGUUUUCUCGAGAUGUAAACAAUUGCCUUGUUUCCACUAGUUUCUGUUGAUUUUGGUGUUAACCCUUGUUCUGCUCCAUGUAGGAAAUCAAAAGGAGGGAAGAGGCUGCAGCACGAGGUUGUGUUUCAGUGUUCAUCCCUCGGAUGUUAUUUUGAUAUUUUUCUAAUGUCAUUCACCAAUACUUUGAUUAAUAAAGCAGUUUCACUCACUUUCUCUUGCAGCUGGAAUUGUAUUGGAAGAGAAAAAUUGGCCCCCGUUUUUCCCCAUCAUUCAUCAUGAUAUUGGGAACGAGAUACCUGUUCAUUUGCAAAGAACACAGUACGUCGCAUUUGCUUCACUAUUAGGUACGCUUUCUUUGACUUUUUACCUGAAAACGCCAUUCUUAGUAUUUACCUGUGCUUUAUGUUGUCCAUGAAAUGCCUAUUGGAACCGUCAUUAUGAUACAUACAAUACAAUACAAAAAGUAACUAAUUUGGUGUAUAUAUCCUAUCUGGUAGGAUUGGUCUUGUGCCUGUUUUGGAACAUCAUCUGUGUUAGUGCAGCCUGGGCAAAAGGGUCAGGUAUGUUAACAAGAAUUUGUUUUUUUUCUACUCGUGCACUGAUAACUGAUCUGUAUGGUUCAUGGCCAUGUACACGGUACACCUGAUGAUGCAGAGGCUAUGGUAAUUUUAUUCUCUUAUAUCUGAAAAGAUUCUGUGCUAUUUCGUUACUUGACUAAUGCAGGUCCUAAGAUAUGGUUUCUUGCAAUCAUAUACUUCAUUCUUGGAUGCCCCGGUGCCUAUUACCUUUGGUACCGGCCACUUUACCGUGCCAUGAGGUAAAUGCAAUGUACUCAUAGUUAUGAAAAAUUACUCAUUUUUGUGGGUUUGAAAUCUAUUAAGCAUCGCGUAACCAGAUAGCCUCACAUAGUUUCUGUCUACAACACAUGUUUCCAGGAAUGAGAGUGCUCUGAAAUUUGGAUGGUUUUUCCUCUUCUACUUGGUGAGCUUCCAGUAACAUUUCGGUAUAUUAGAAUGUGUUGCCCGCAAUUAGGUAUAUGUAUCUCACAUGUUCAUGCAUGCUGAUCCCAACAGGUUCAUAUCGCCUUCUGCGUGUAUGCAGCUGUUUCUCCUUCAAUUCUCUUUGUGGGAAAGUCGUUGACGUAAGUUUUCUGCAUUUAGUUCUCAUACUUUGUCUCCGCUUUAUUUCCACUAUCGUUGCGACAUCUUUAUUUCUUGAGGUUCUGCAUCAGAAUUAUAAUGUAAUUUCCUUUCACCUGUCUACUACUCGUCGUGCAGCGGGAUUUUUCCAGCAAUCAGCUUGAUAGGCAGUAGCGUCAUUGUUGGGGUGAGUGAAUUUACCUGUAUUGUUCUAUUUGAAUUCAGUAAAUUAGAAAUCCAUAGGAGAGCAUCUGUAUUUCCUACAAAGACAAGUGAUACAUGCAUCAAAACAAAUUCAUAUCUCACAACAUGUAUACUGUUUUUUCAUGACGCAUAACAAAUAAUUUCCACUGCACGGUACGGUGUACUGUUUUGACUACAGAUCCUCUACUUUGUUGGCUUUGGAUUGUUCUGCCUCGAGUCUCUGCUAAGCAUGUGGGUCAUUCAGGUGAAGUAACUGCUAACUCAUGCUCUGCAUUCAUCUCUUGAUCCUUUCACUUGGUUUCUGAACUGUAAACUUUGUUGCUGCCUGCAGCGUGUUUACCGGUACUUCCGAGGCAGUGGGAAAGAAGCACAGAUGAAGCGGGAAGCAGCACGCAGCGCGGCGAGGGCAGCAUUUUGAUGAGCCGUACAUAUAAGUACAGCAUGUAUACUGUUCAUAGUGUGAAGUGUUUUUAGAUCAACAGGCGUGUAGAGUAGGGUCGGUGUACUGUAAAUCUUCAGAAUUUCCUUACUUUUCCACUGAGUUUGGAUCCUUUAAGUUCAGAUUGAUCAGUCCUGUCAGUAUGACAGUAUUAGAAUGGAGUAAAAACACACGAACCUAGAUGGUUUGUUGCAUAUGUGCGAUUUUGUUCUCACCUUUUAUCAAUUAUUUCCUCGGAUUUCAGCAAAAAUAAAGUUGUAAAAAUGUUACCUAAAGGAUUCUGAGAAUCCCAUUUGUGUAAAAUUGUUCGGCCUCGCCGCCUCGUGUCAUGAAAUUCCUUCACAAAAUACUCCACUUCUAUUGAUGAGGUGACAUCAUUUAGCUAUUUGUUGCAUUUGAAAUUCUUUUUCCUAUUAUCAUAUUAUUAUGUGAUGUUGGAAGUUGCGUUCUGGUGAAGAAUUUGAGACUAGCCCUUAGCUUAUGCGUCCAACAAAAAUUCUGGAACCCAGGGGUGUUUGGAUACUAUGUGCUAAACUUUAGCAGUGUCACAUCGGAUGUUCGGAUGCUAAUUAGAAGGAUAAGCUAAUUAUAAAACUAAUUGCAGAACCACUAGGCUAAUUCGCGAGAUGAAUCUAUUAAGCCUAAUUAAUCCAUCAUUAGUAGAUGGUUACUGUAGCACCACAUUAUCAAAUCAUGGACUAAUUAGGCUUAAUAGAUUCGUCUCGCGAAUUCGACUCCAUCUGUCAAUUAGUUUGUAAUUAGCCUAUGUUUAAUACUUCUAAUUAGUAUCAAACAUCCGAUGUGAUAGGUGUUAAACUUUAGCGGGUGUAUCCAGUUUACUUUGAAUUUUAAGCCCUAACCUCGCAUGGAAUGCUGGGCCUACUGUGGCCCGUUGUAGAAUGAAACUGAUGGGCCGGAGGAGAGGGGGAGAAAAGAGAAGAAAUUUCCCCCCCAAGGGCCGUCCCGGCCAUCUUCGGCCACGUUCACGGCCGCCGCCUAACCUCGAGUUUGCUUCUUUUCAACUCGUGCGGCGGGUUUCUGGGCUGGGCGGCGAGGGCGGCACGCCUGCACCAUCUCGCUACGCCUACGCGUCGUGGCGGGAGCCACAGACCUCGCGCUGCGGGUGUUCGACGGAAUGCCGCGGAGGAACGUCGUCACCGGCGACGCUCUUAUCAGGCGGGGCAAGGCAUUUGAGAUGUUCAGAGACACGAGGAGGCAGAAGGACAAUGUUUGGGCUUGUUAUUUGUGUGACAAUAUUGUUGGGCGACAAACAACCAGUUUCACCAUUUCAACAAUGCGUCUUGCUUUGUGGUGAUUGAUUAUUGGUGAUAGGUGAAUAAUCAUGUAUCCUGAGUUCCUGACGAUAGGUAACUACCCUCUUUGAAUUGAAUUCUUUGUUUUCUUAUGCUGAGUCGUUCCACAUUUCGGAGAAGGCAAAAACGUAGCGGGAUGGGUAUCUUCAUCAUUGUCAAGGAAUAAGAAUAGAUUCCUCAGAAUUUAAUUGAUGCCACAUUCGUUAAGCAGUCGAAGCUUAAGGGCUGGUUUGCAGUUCCUAUGAGUCCAGUUAGUUUCAUGAAUUUUUACAAAAACAUGCAAGCCUUUUUGUGUUAUGGCUCAGUGAUGCACCUGAUUAUCAAAAUCUAGGAAAAAGGUGUUCUUUUCGAAAGCCGUGGGGAUGCCAAAUGGUGCCUAAGUAGUUGAUGCUCAUUGACCAGCAACAAUGAUAUUUGCAUGGCUUAUGUUUCAUGGAAUAGCAGCUAGCAAUUUAUGUAAAACUUAGUUAUAUUAAAUUUCUACCUUUUAUAGAAGAAUUUCCAGAAAAUACAUUAUCCUAAACUAGAAAGCCAAAUAUGUGCUAAAACUUGAUCGGAGAUAUCAAAACAUUGCAUGUACUUGUUGGUCUCUAUUCAUUGUACGAUUACCAUGCUGCUUACAGGAGGGUGGAAUGGAGUCAGGGAUUCGGCUACCAUCUGCCAACUAUACUUGUGCUUCCCAAAAUUCAGACAAGACAGGUUACUGUGUUGUUCACAUCAUCAUUUUUUGCACUUGUGCAAAAUUUAUCCAGCUUGCAUGCUUCCUUAGUCAACAUCAUCCUUUUCAAGCUAAGCAAUUGCAUAUUUAUUGUGAUAUUAUAUAUUCUAAAUAACUAUUUUUGUCGAGCUUAAUAACAAAUUCCUGUGAUCUAAAUGUGGAAGCUGAUUUGAUAUACAGAGUCAUGUUUCUUGUGCUCGAUAUAUCCAUGCACCUAUGGAGGAUUGGGUAGCAUCUCUAUUACUUUCUAUGCAUUUUCCCCCAUCUGCCCUCCAUCUUUUCAUUUUCUUCAUAAUAACAAUUCCAACUUUUUUUUUCCAGUUGCAUUACUAUCCUUUUUUGUUCCAGUUUCCAAGCACCAAUAUAGUAUAUGUAUUUGAGAAACCUUUCAAUGUCACAAGAAGGUAUUAUCUUGUCCUAGUCACUGAAAUAGCUAACAAUAUGCUUAGACGUCUUUUAUCAGGCGCAAGAUUUGCCUAUAUAUGGCUGAUUUUUGUAUGGUUUCAUGCACUGUAUGUCCUACAAACAAAUUUUCUUCUGCUUUUCUUCUCCCUCAUUACUACAAUUGCAAACUUUUUUCCCUGAAAUUUCGUGUACACAAUCAGAUAGAAUUGAUUCUUCAUUCAGGUUGAGGCUACAACUAAACAGCAAUGAGUUUAUUAUAGUUAUUCUUAAUUACAAGCAUGCCAGCAUCAUAAAAAGUUCUGUCACAUGCAUAUCAAUCGGCAGCGCUAUCAAUAUUCGACUACUUGUCAAGCAUCCUAUCGUGAAGUACCCCUUCUCAACAUCAAGUCCUUGGUCUGCUGCAAUCUGCUCCACCACUGUCUGAACUUGAUAGGCACUGACAUGAUCCGGAUCCAGCAAGCAUGCAAUCUCUGUGCAAUCACCAUGGAGAGUGCAAGAGCUUGCACCGAUGGAAGCCCCCCACCCCUUCCGCUCACACUACGGGUAAUCCUCCUUACAACUGCAACAUCCUUAGACAGUAUCGGCACAUUAUAGUUCUCAAGAAAAGGUGUAGCACCUACUGUUGUGGCUCCUCUUUCAGAAGAAACAUUGUUUGGGCCCUCAUCAGGGCUAAUUGGCAGGACAUCAGGGAGCAUGCUACCUGACCACUGGCUGCCCAUAUAAUUUGGACGGUAGUAACCAAGCUCACGCCUUAUUGCACCUACAGACUUGCUUGCGGGGUGGGCUGCUGCAUAGAGGAGCACUGGGACUGCACACGAAGUUGGGGGAGAAGGAUGAAAACAUCUAUAUGGCUGAUGUUUAUAGAAGCUUUAACACAUUUGACAUACCUCUAAAAUCAUUGCCAGUGUCUGAAGCCACCUGCUUAGCCAAGGAAACUGCAUCCUCCAUUGCGGAUUGACCCAAGGGGUGGAAGGACAGGUCAUCAUUGACACCCAUCCUAGGAUGUGCUCCUGAAUGCAAAUUGAGGUUUAUGGCUGAAAAUGCAGCCUCCAUCAUCGCAAAUAAUACCUUCCUGAUUGGGCUAUAUAUCACUUCACCAGUUGAGCUGUCAUUGACGAUAUAGGAGACAAGUGUGUAGCGUACACGGUUGUAGAGACAAUCUUCAAACUUGCUCAACACCGCAACUUGCAGGUCACUUCUUGCAGCGCAGUCAAUUGCAUCAAUAGCCAUAGCGUUGAGGCUUUCAGAAAUGUAGAGCUUGCAGCAGAUAAACUUUGAGUGCAUCAUGCUGAGAUUGUCGUUUGCCCUUAGAGCAGGUGGAGAAGAUGGAACCUGAAUCGCAUUAGCUUUGUGAGGUGUUCUAAGUAGGUGCUGGACAAGUCAACAGUGAAGUGGCCAGUAUAGCCUUCCUAUGUCUACUCUCACGAACUAUGCAUAUUUGAGUCUUUUCAAAUCAAUCUAGGCUGUAGGAAGAUGGUUACAUUGGCGAACUAUGCAUAUUUGAGUCUUUUCAAUUGUUUUCAAUUUACAGGUAAGGGGAAAAAAGGAAACUCAAACACAGUCCAGUAAGAUAGAACUUGUUCACACUUCACAGAAGUGGAUUCAACGAGCAGGUCCUAAUGACCUAAUGUGGUUCCUAACAACAGACUUUUUUGAGAAGUGGGUUUGGUUGUGAUAUGAGUGUUAGAUUAAUUCACCAGAUAAGAAUUGGAUCUUCAUAUGAGUGUUAGAUUAAUUCACCAGAUAAGAAUUUAGUUCCAGACUUCCAGUUUGACUUUUCGAUUGUUCUGAACUUGAUGGGCAAAAGACAAAUUACUCUGUUUUCUGAUGACGAACUGAAAUCGGAAUAUUUUUGCAGGAGAAAUGUGGUGCUGAGCUGAAUAAUUGACUAGACAGCAAUCCAGGCAGCACAUGAACAGAACAUUUUCUCAAGGAGCAUCUCUUGGCAGAAUUUAUUGAGGUAGGUACAAUAGGAUGUUUGGUGCAGACUUUGGAGCAAAAUACAUAGAUUCAAAUCAUCUUGACCUUGGGAGACUAGGUACUAGAGAAAGCAUACCUUGUUUGAGUGAGGCUCCAUGCCUUGUUCUUCUUGGUCUCUGUGUGUGGUUCUAUGAGUCCGUGCCUGCUCAGUGCAAUAAUGAGAUACUACGGAUUGUGAUAAGGGCCUUUUAAGUGAGCUACAUAUUAUGAUAAGGUCCUUGCAACAAACCCUUUUGUUGUCUAGUCACUUGUUCUUUCGUGAAUCAAAUUUGCAUGGUGCCAGCCAUGCAAGGAUGUAGCAUGUGCUUAUCAGUCAUGACUUGCUGGGUCCCUCUGCAUCAUGAACGAGACAGCAACUUUUCAAGUUGCAUCUUGAGAUCCGCAUCUACAUGCCAAAACUACAACAGGGUUUGCAUUUUACAAAGUUCUCAGUACUGUUGGUGUGAAGCCUCAUCAAUUCCAAUAAUCUAUAUCCAUUUUAUCUUUAUCAUGCAACAGGAACUACUAUAGUAAAAAAAUAGUUUGUUUCCUCACCUUGGUUAGUAGGGCACCAUUAAUAAAUUGAAUUAUCUUGACUUGAUUGUUUUUCUUCUAUAAUAUAUGAAAAUAACAGCCUAUUUGGGUGCUCAAGUGUGAACUACAGCCUCCGGCCAUGGAAUUGGGAUAUAAUGUAGUGUAGUAGACUGAAUCGAUACAUUCCAGCAAAGAAUCCUAGGGAACCUUUCUAUUUACUUAAAGUGUUCUUAUUUCAUGAUGAAUGAGUAGCAUCAAUAUCUGUUGUCAGUCUACAUAAUUCAUGAUAAAAUUAAAGUAUUUUAAAUUCAGAGUAUACAGCGAGUUUUUAGGUGGUUGCAAAAUCCUCUGCUGUUUACACUAUGAUGAGUAAUACUUGUGCAAGUUGGACCAGCUAAUUAACCAGCUUGCUGCCAGUGUUGCUAAUCUAUAUUGCUUCAAUGAUGCUUCUACUCAACUUAUUGAUGUUAUGUUGCUCUUGAUGGUUGAAAACAUGAUUGGUAAAUCAUCAGAGAAAAUGUUUUGCCUCUGCCUGCCUGACGCCCCUCCCGUUGCUUCGCACCAGAGCUCCCCAUUUCUGAUGUGCUAUUAUUGCUAAAGUUUUCCAGAAUUUACAUAUGCAGAAUCAGGCAUGAUUGGUUCCUGAUGCAGUCUGGAGCCACAACUAAAGAGCAGCAUGCUUGCAAUUACAAACAGGCAUGAUUCGUCUGGGUCAGUCAGUCUCACAAAUCAGCAUGAUUCUAUUACAUUCAUAUCAAUCAGCAGCACAAGUUAUCUUCAAAUACUUGUCAAGCAUUCUGUCCUUAGUCAAGUCAGUGAAGUACCCCUUCUCAACUUCGAGCCCUUGCUCUGCUGCAAUCUGCUCCACCACGGUCUGAACUUGAUAGGCACUGACAUGAUCUGGAUCCAACAAGCAUGCGAUCUCUGUGCAAUCAUCGCCAUGGAGAAGUGCAAGGGCUUGCACCGUCGGAAGCCCUCCACCGCGUCCAGUUAAUCUUCGAGUAAUCCGCCUCACAGUCGCAACAUCCUUGGAGAGCACUGGCACAUUGUAGCCCUCAAGAAAAGGUGUUGCUCCAACUGUUGUGGCCCCUCUUUCAGAAGAAACAUUGGUUGGACCCUCAUCAGGGCUAAUUGGCAGAACAUCAGGGAGCAUGGUACCUGACCAUUGGUUGCCCAUGUGAUUUGGCCGGUAGUAGCCGAGCUCACGCCGUAUUGCACCUACAGAUUUGCCUGUGGGGUGGGCUGCUGCAUAGAGGAACACUGGGACUGCAUACAAAAUUGGGCAAGAAGGGUCAAGAUAUUUGUGUGGCUGAUUUUUAUUGUUGCCUAUCACAUUUAACAUACCUUGAAAACCAUUGCCUAUGUCAGAAGCCACCUGCUUAGCCAAGGAAGCUGCAUCCUCCAUUGUGGCUUGACCCAAGGGGUGGAAGGACAGAUCAUCAUUGACACCCAUCCUAGGAUGCGCUCCUGAGUGCAAUUCGAGGUUUAUGGCUGAAAAUGCAGCCUCCGUCAUUGCCAACAAUACCUUCCUGAUUGGGCUAUAUAUCACUUCAGCUGAGCUGUCAUCGAUGAUAUAGGAGACAAGUGUGUAGCGUACGCGGUUGUAGAGACAAUCUUCGAACUUGCUAAGCACUGCAACCUGAGGAUCAGUCUUUGCUGCAAGAUCAAUUGCAUCAAUAGCCGUGGGGUUGCGGCUUUCAGAAAUGUAGAGCUUGCAGCAGAUAAACUUUGAGUACAUCAUGCUGAGAUUGUCCUUUGCAUUUGGAGCAGGCAGAGAAGAUGAAACCUGGAUAGCAAGUUGUGCGUGAGGUUUUGUAAGUAGGGACUGGAAAAACAUUGAAGUGACCAGCAUAGUGUUCCUAUGUCUACUGGCAUCAGUUCGGACAGUAACAAGAUGUUUUUAGCCAGUUUGUAGCAGAAUGAGUACAUUGACGAACUUUGCAUAUUUGGAUUUUCUCGGAGACAAAUACCUUGUUUCCAAAUUACCUGUAAUAGUUUCUAUAAAGAAAAAGAAAAAGAAGAACUUCUUGACAGGAAUUAUUUCGUUGAACAGGUCCUUUGUGAUUCCUAACAACAGGCUGCUACUUGGGAGUUGAGCCUUUAUGUCAUAUCGAUGUUAGAUUACUUUCCCAGAUAAGAAUCAGGUAAGUUAAGUUUUCUUCUGCAAAAGCUAAAUUACUCCAGUUUUCUGCUGACAAAUCAAAAUAUUUUUGCAGGAAAAAUGUUCCACCGAGCUGAAUUCUUGGGACCAAGUUUAAAGACAGCAAUGCAAGUAGCAGCACAUCAACAGGUAAUUUUCUCGAGGAGCAUGCCUCUCUUUUAGCAUAAUUUCUUGAGUCAGGUUUAGGAUAUGAUGUUUCUUGUUUGAUGCCGAGAGAUCCGAAUCAUCUUUGAACUGUGGGAGAUUAGAUGCUAGAGAGAGAGAGAAAAAGCACCUUGUCUGCGUGAUCGGGCUCCAUGCCUUGCUCCUCUUGAUCUCCCCCUUUCUCUCUCUGUGUGGCUCUUCAAUGAGUGCUUGUUCCUGCUCGGUGACUGAACAGGGGCCCUUUUAUAGCGGGAUAUGCAUCAUGACUCAUGAGGGGUACUUGCUAGGAAACCCUUUUGCGCUCUGUUUACUUGUUUCUUGCAAAGUCAGUUUACCAAGGUCGCAUCCCAACGCCAUGUAAUUUGUAAGGACGCAGCAUGUGCCUAUCAGCUUUCUGACUCAUCAUCAUCAGCCAGCGCCACCCCGGCCCGGCCCCUGCAUCACGAUUCACAAACCGCAUGCGGCGACUUAACAAGGCUGAUUAUCUUGAGACCCACAGAAGCAUGCCAUCACUCGAAUAUGUAUGCUAUAAGCUCAUGAUUAUCUUUAGGCCUUGUUUAGUUGGCCAAUUUGGGAGAUGCAAAAUUCCUGUUCCAGCACUGUAGCAUACUGUAGCGUUUCGUUUGUAUUUGUGAAUUAUUGUCCAAAUAUUGACUAAUUAGGCUCAAAAGAUUCGUCUCGCAAAGUACAACAAAACUGUGCAAUUAGUUUUUAAUUUCGUCUACAUUUAGUACUCCAUACAUGUACCGCAAGUUUGAUGUGAUGGGGAAUCUUCUUUUUGCAUAGUGUCAAAGUUAGGAGUUGGGAGGUAACUAAACAUGGCCUUAGCUGGUGGUGUAGCCCUUGGCAGCUUGCUUGUGUUCGUGAAUCAUGAGUCAUGGAUCUUGUCCGUUACCUUCCAGUGCCCGCCAGUACAAUGUCAUUGUCCACCUUGAGCACACGGUUUCGCAGAAAACCAUUUUCCAGAAGAGACGACAGGCUGAUAGCUCUGUGUGGUGUGUCAUUGUGUGCAUCCCGAAAUAACAAACAAUAAGCUGUAUUGAUUCGAUUUGCCACGCAUGCAAUGUAGUAGUAAGUUUUUUUUUUCAACAUUAAAUGUAGUAGUUAUUGCCGCCUCGUGUGCAUCAACUGUUGAUCCGUCCCGUAAAGGCUUUGCAACGGAAAGCAGUUGGAUCUGUGUGUGUGGUGUUGGUGUGUACGUCCAUGACCGCCCUGCACUCUCUUUGGAUUCCAGGACGAUGGCGACAAGAGCAAGGUCACUGAUAGCUGCCCUUCUUUCCUAUGGCAUAGCUGUACCUCUUCUGAUUUCGUCACCGCUUGGGAAAAAAAAAUAUCCUGCUUCGAAUGGGAUGGCUGCUCUAGAAAUUCAUCCGGUUUCAGCUCCAAAUUUGACCCUGAUUUUCAUCUGGUUGCCAAGGUUACAGAUAGUCUGGAAGACUCGUGCCAUUCAGAGGUGUCAGGUCCCAGACCCGGAGGCAUCCGGGGAGUAGUCUGAUGGCGUGAGGACAAGCAGCAUGUGUGUAUGGACGCUACGGACAAGGCCACACGGGAUACGGAAGGAACGGAAAAGACGGAGAGGCCUCGUGCUGUUAUCCGCUCCGUCUCCCCGUGGAUAGGAUCGGUGCUCCAGCCAGUGGCUGGGCCUGCGAGGCUGCGUAGUUCGUGGGGUCGGGGCGGGGGGUUCACGUGCAUCUUUUACUUUGAAGCCUUCUGGUCUCGCAUACUGUCGUUUUCCACGCCCAAGUACAGCAGCACGACUAUGCAUCUGACGUUCAGGACAACAGGAGUUCUCGUGACCCAUCUUCUUUUUAUUUCCUUUUACCAAGCAGGUCGUCGUGGUAACAACUAACAACUACCAAUAGUUUUUUCUUUUAACGGGAAAUCACUGUCGUUGAGUCACUGUCCUUUGAUCUCCAGGGCCAAGGGCCGACGAGUACGCGAUCCUUUGAUCUCCAGCUCGCAUGAUGCAGGCCCCAAUAUUUGUGUUGCGUAUUGUGCAAACUUGGGUGAAACGUGCAGUGGCGUUGACGUUCACGAGGGUUCCAGGGGGACACGGUCGCACGGAUCGGACACCAUCAUGUGCACGCCAAUACGCCACGCGCUGGUCCACACCGCGUUCGUCGGCGGCCGUGCCCGCCCGUGUGUGUAUAUGGGUCACACUCACCGCGAGAUCAGUGCACACGAUUAGUGGGCGUUUGUUUCAUAGGACAGUUCUAACUGUGAUAUCUGGAUACUAAUUAGAAGUACUAAAUAUAGGUUAAUUAUAAAACUAAUUUACAGAUGAAGGCUAAUUCGCGAGACGAAUCUAUUAAGUCUAAUUAAUCCAUGAUUUGACAAUGUGAUGCUACAGUAAUCAUUGCUAAUGAUGAAUUAAUUAGGCUUAAUAGAUUCGUCUCACAAAUGAACUCAGAGCUUCUGCAAUUAGUUUUAUAAUUAAAUCAUAUUUACUCCUUUUAAUUAGUAUCCGAAUAUUUGAUGUGAUAACUUAAGCCUAAGAUCUAAACAAGCUCUACUUCAGCCAAAAGUGGCUUGCACUGCGUCUCGUCUCGAGCCGUGCGUCACCCCGUGGCCUUUGACCAAUUCGCUGAAAUUCCCUGGAAUACCUGCCAUUCCGGUGCAUAUCGGCAAAAUAGUUUUUUCUAAAUUCUGUGCUAACCGUGAAUAACUUCGCAGCCCAGAUAACUGGUUUGGUCUUUCCCGUGCGUGCAAUUUUAUAUGGAGUUUAUAAUACAAAUUGCAUAUUUUUUCCACGGGCCAGCCUUUUUUUAAGACAAUUUUUCACCGACAAGCUUAUACCUUCGCAUCUUGCAACAGAAGAAUGGGUCAAAGGGGCCCAGCAUGUAACCACCCGCCCGAUCGAUCCUCAGAGGAUUUCGAGCUUCGCAUCUUGCAACGGAAGAAUGGGCCGCCGGGGCGCAACAUAUAACCACCCGGUUCAGAGCAUCUCGGGCUUCGCCAAUGGGCCAAAGCCUUAUAUAUAAUCACGUAUUUUCUUCACACGAAAAUGAAAAUUAUUUUGUUUCAACAAUUUUGACCCAAAUUCAAGAAUAGAAACCCCGCAAAUUGCGAAUACGAUCGCUAUCACAGCACGACUCCGCCAAUUCUGCUUUUUUGUGAAAUAAAUCUAAUUCUACUUUGGGUCUCGUCCUUUUUCAGCUAGCAUUUUUCGAUCUGCAGAUGAAUUGGGCAAAAGCAUGUCACGAUUGUCCUUGCUCGUAUAGACGUCCGUAUCGCCGCCCGCAGGCGCACCACUCAAAGUCUCAAACUGAUAGCUUAGUGACAAACCAAUAAUGAAGUAUGGCGUGCAGAGCAUGCUUCAAGUACAGAGGGAGCAAGAAAAAAUGUAGGUGGCAACAGAAAUUAAAACAUCAAUUAAUCAAUUGCGAAAAACAAGUACAACACCUGCAGUGUCCGCUAACAUUUAGUUACACUGCCGCAAGAUUAUUCAAUGGUGGCUGAGAGUAAGUGUAGCUUCUCCAAAUCUUGCCUACAUAAAUCAAAAUCUCUGGUUGCCACAAUUUGUCGUCAACAACUUGAAAGCACAACAUAACAUUUCUUUUUAUUUGACAUAGUUGCUUGGCCGCAGAAAGGUGGUACAACUCUGGUGCAACCAACUAUGCCGCCUGUGCUGGAGCCGCCUGUAAUGGAAUAUCAUAUUUUUGAAACAGUAUUAGAAUAAAAACAAAAGCUAUAGUUAGUGCAUUGAGAUACAGAGCUUAAUUUUCAUAGCACAGGAAGCAAGACUUUAGUUUCAACAAGCUAUUUCUGCUCAAUCACUAACCAUAACCAUAACCAUAACCAAGUGACUAAUUAAUUCCUAGAGACUAGUUCGAGCUUUACUAUAAACAAUUAAAUGUUCAAAAGUACCUCUGCCUUGUCUUCCUUCUUCCCCCCAGUGAAAAACUUGAUACCACCAUAAAUAACAGCACCCCACAUAGACAAGCUGGCUAGCACAAACUGCAUGAUGACAGAAAGCAAGAAAACUAAUUUCAACAGACAUGCAGUCGAGUGCCCAAAAAAUAAAAAACUAUUUAAACUGAACUUAUAUUCUUUUGGAGAUAACAAAAUUCAACUAUCAUUGAUGUAAUGUAAAAACACAAUCAGAAGCAGACCGUGUAAACAAAAUUACAGAACCAUAUAGAAAAUCAAAUGCAGCAGAUAUCAUAUAACAAAACCACUGUAAGACAUAAAUCAACUGCACAAGGACAAUGCUUGGCUGAGCCUGAGCAUAUAUGAAGUUCCUAAAAUUAACUAUAGCACAAAAUUUAUUUAUUUUUACAAAGCAAAACUGCAAAAUUGGACCAGAGGUCUAGCUUCAUAUUAAUAUGUUUAAAUAAAGGUAAGCAAGUAUAGAUUGGUUUUGGUCAGUUAUUGUUUAGAGUUAACACCAACAAGGAGUAAUUAAAAAUCACUAGGUGCUAACCUGCCUAGCCUUGCAUACAUGUGGAGUGGUAGGACAGGGAAAACAGGGAGGAGGUGAAACAUUCACUGGCUUUCGAAACACUACAAGUCAACAUAAUUUGGCUAGAGGCAUGCAUGUUGGGUAAUUGCAAUCAACCAGAGGUGCAUAGACAAAGUACUUUACAUGAAACAUGACACUUUCAAGAUGGAUCAACGUCAUCUAGAAAGAAGUUCAAUGAUACAUGCACGUAAGAAAUCUAGUACUGCAAUGAAGAAUUAUAGCUAAAGAAAGUGCAUGCAGUGCCAGUCAUUUUAAUGAAUGUCACUAUGAAAUGCAUUUGUUAAGGUACAUAAUAUUGGAAUCAAAUCUUGUUUUCAAUCAACAGGAAUCAAUACCGCAAGCUAAAAGAAAUAUCGAUCGCGGUGAUGAAAGGCAACAAACAGUUAUAAGACCUGUAAUAUCUGUGAGACCAAAAGGAACAGGACUACCAGAACUUAUGCAGUUUUCACCCAUAGGAUAUUCAACAGCUUUUCGUUUUUUUUCGUGAAUACGCAGGAGAGCUGCGUAUCUUUGUAUUAAGAAGAUGAUGUAAAAACUUAGUACAACGCGGGCCGUCUGGGCGCACGCACACGGUUAACAGUUUGUUAGCUAUUACAUGGGAGAUCAACAACCGUUUGGAAUAAAAACGAAGCUCAGGAUGACACUAUCCCGUUCCCUGAACUUCUGCUGGUGCCGGCCAGCCGAGGGUUCUACAGCUUUUCGUAAGCACGCAAAUGAAUUCAUGAAUAAUGUGACUGACUCUCAUCAAGAGAAUUCAUGAGUUCAUUAGACAACCAACUCUCCUAAAGUGCAAACAAGGAAAACUGUGCUUGCUCAGGACGAUAUAUAAUCCUCCAUGUUGUCAUAACACAAGCAAGAAUACAUAAUUUAUGCUACAUCACGCAAGGGAAAUGCAACUUUUAUGAAAUAAUCUGUGCAAGGAAAACAUACGCUCCUUUCACUAAUUGUACCUCUACUCCAAGCACGAUGAACGUCAAUAACUCAAAUGCCACUAGAUGCAACGGAUUAAAACAAGAUAUUCAGAGGGGAAACUCACGUGCUCUUCCUUCCACUUGCUCGGGCUCAUCGGGUCCUUCCAUAAGGGCACCUUCGCAGGCCCAUGGCCGUCUAGCAAGCACACGAAAUGAACCCAUCAUCAGCAAGGUAAACCAUCAAUCGCGACGACAUGUUGCCCAAAAAAGAAAAAAAACAAGUAAAAAAGCGCCGAUUAAUCGCAGGACGAUCUUCGCAUGGACAUCUAAUAGUCUAACCGCAUCGAAUCCCAUAUCAAAUCGCAGCCAAGGGACCUGGCGAAACGGAUCCAGGAACGGCCCAAUAGGGCCCCCGAUCCAAACGACCGGCGCAUGCGACUCCCGGAUCUGGGAGGGAGGGAGGAAAGGGGAAGGGGAAGGUGUACCUGCGGCACCGGCGAGGCCGCGGCGAGAGACUAGGCGGGCGAGGGGGGAGGAAGUGGAGGACGCCGCCGCCGCAACGAGACGAGAUGCCAUCGCGACGAAUCGACUCGUUUCAGGUUCGGGUGUCUCGCUUCUUCUGCUGUGGUGGGUUCAAGUCAGUGGAGGAGGCUCUUCUAGCGUCUAGGGUCCCGGAUUUUAUUUUGGGCUGGGCUGGGCCGGGAGUCGAAACGGAUCCAGUACGCUAGUCCGAGUAUAUUUCUUCUUCUUUUUUUAAAGACAAAUUUCGGUAUGCUACGAUUUGGUUACUGGUUUAAUGAGCAUGUAUACGAAUUUGAGUGGAAUAUGCAUAUUCUGAAACUCCUACUCCCUUCGUCCCGUAAAGAAUGUCCAUUUAGAUUGAUCAAGUUCGAUCAAGUUUACAAUAAAAAGUAUCAAUAUUUGUAACACUAAAUAGGUAUGCUAUGAAAAUAUAUUUCAUAACGAAUCUAAUAAAACUUGCUUAGACAUCAAAAACAUUGAUAUAUUUUUAUAUAAACUUGGUCAAACAUAAGAUGGACUUAGGAUAGAAUCAAUGGGAUACUUUUUGCGGGACAAAAGAAGUAGGUUUGAAGGCUCCUCUUACAUCCUGGCUCCACCUGGGACCCACGUAUUCUCGAGUGGGAGGUGGGACUAGGAUGGUAAAGAGCCAUCUAAUUUAGCCUAGCAAAUUCAAGGAUCGGCCUCAAUAAGAGCUGGAGUUAUUAAAUACACUAUACAAUUUUGAGCUAAAAAUAGAUGUGCUGGAUCGUGAAGGAGACAGAAGGACCAUGAUUCAUUACCAUCCCUAGGUGGGACCCACACACAUUCAAGUAGGACCCACGUACUCUUCAGUGAGGCCCACGGUAUUUGUUGAGUGGGUCUCAUGAUCUUUCUUAAAAAAAUUAUCAAUAUUAGUUAAGUAUAAAAUAUAUUUAAUUUAUUUCCAUGUAUAAAAUAAUAACUAAACUUUGUAUACUAUAUUCAACUAUGGUAGCCUGUUAACCGCUGUUAGCACGUCAAGUUAUGAACCGCAAGCGUACGGAUUAGUUGUAGCUCUUCCUUCAGAGUAUUCUCCCAAGGUUUAUCAAUCCAUGAAACUUAUAGCACAACAUCUAUUUCAACUAGCAUUGUUAGUAUUAACUUGGUGUUUAUGAGAGAUUCAUAUCCAAUCUACUAAGCAUAUACAGACAGAUAACAGAUAGAGCAAAGAUAACCAAUCUAGAGCAACCUAGACUAUGCAUAUGUUGUAAUUAUGAGCAUGGAUAACAAAGCAACACAGAUAUGAUCUCAGUAAAAAACAUCUUUAAAUCUACACCUCCCGAAACCCUCCACCUUACACAAGAAAGAUCUUGUCAUGAUCACCUCUAUCAGCGCAAGCAGGUUAAGGGCAUGGUCAUAAGAACAUGUCAUACUCAUCGGUAGAUCAGACAUGCAAAUCUGGUCACCACGACAACACCCUAGACAAUCUAUCAUCGAUUCCUAGAUUGAAAACCAAGCAAACCCGAAUAAGCAUAAAACCAUCAAAGAAGAUAUUUAGAUCGCUAAGAACAUGAACACAGAUAUUACUUCACCAUGAAUGAUUGUACAUCACAAGAUCACCACUAGGAUUCUACCUUGAUCUUGAUGACUUCUAGCUCCAGAACUCCAGCGUAGUCUUCCUCGUAGGGUGAUCACGCCAGCAGAGGUUCGCCUACGUUAGCCCCUAGCAACUGCACGGCCCUCGGCUCUCCGGAGAGGUGUCCCUCAAGCUCUUUCUGCUUCUCUGCUGCUUCAUGUUGAGUAUGUCAUCUUCUAUAUAUGGGGCUCGAUGGAUUUUUGGGGUAUUUAUAGUCUAGAGAGUGCAUGGCAAAAAUUGAAAGGCGAGGGGGUGAAGGAAACCCCCAGGCCGAUCGCCCUGGGCCUUCCUUUUGCCCUCUCGUGUCCUGUUUCAUCCCCAAGUCUUCUCUGGUACUUUGAAGUCUUAUUUUCACUUGCACAUGGGCUUGGCACGUUGGUUGCUUCGGGAUAAGAUUGAUCUUCAAUGACUUUCCAAAUCUUCGCUUGAUCUUCUUUGAUUCGUCUUUGAUCCCGAAGUGAUUCUUGCUAUAUCUUCACAAACUUAGUCCUUAAAUCUUCUCGGAGGAUUGCUUGCUAAAGAUGGGCGUCGGAAGGCUCAGAUCAGCCUAGGCUCCUCUACGCCAAUCAACCUAGACCCUUCUUGGGCCCGUUGGCCUCCGUCUUCGUCUGGUUCGAUGCUCGUUCAGUGCUUUAUCCAAAAAUAUACUUUUAGAUCCAAUUUCCUGCAAAAAUAUAACAUCCUCCAAAAUAUGUUGCACAUGUGAAAAUGACCGAUUUAUUAGGUGUGAUCAAUAGUUUAGGUAUUAAAUUUAUGUCAUUAUUGAAGAUGAACAAGGGUAAAAGUGUGUCAAUAGCGAGCAUCAACAUAGCCUUACUACUUUUUGACAAUACUUUCAUAUUAUAAACUCGCAAAAUAUGAUUGAGUUGUUCACUCGUUGCUAAUUUUAUCUUUUAUUUCUAUCAAAACUAGAAAUCGGUUGUCAAUCUUUUAGCUAUAUCUAACGCCCAAAAGUCAGUGAAUUCGUACGCAAAAAGUUAUACAGUGCUCGAAUGAUCAUUAUGAUAAAAAAAUUGUUUCGAUUUAAUAUUGGAUGCGAACAAUUCAAUUUUAGAUUAUAUUUUAUAUUUUUAUUUGGUUCGAUGCAUGAUGCGAUGCUACUUUGAGCAUAAUAAGGUAAUAAGUUCACUUUUUAUCAUUAUUUCAGGUUAAUAUCUUUUGUAUAGGCGCGUAUCGCGCGCCAACCUGACUAGUAUAUGCUAAAAGGAUAUCAUAUCUAGUCUUGUCCAGAAGUAUAUGUAAAGAGUCUUGCACAUUGCUCGGUCCUACGUAUCCACCGGAAAGUUCUCGCGGCCCAAUGCAUAUAGUACGGUGGAAUCACGAUGCACAAUGCACAACUUACAACUUCUGUCUGCUUAUCCAUCAACUCUGAUACUUAACGAAGUACAGUAGCAUGGAUAGUUUAAUUUCGGAGGUAUUCGUGCUGAUUUGUAAUAAUUAGGGAGCUUAUCACUGCUAGCUCCCGUUGUAAUCAAGUAGUGAUAAAUAUCUGUGAUAGUUUUAGUUUUAGCAAUGUUUUUGUAGCAGUGAUGGAAAAAAUCUGCAUAAUCUUUUUUAUAAAUUGCAUAUACGCAAUGAAGUUAAUUUUUUCCCAUUUUAUACUUUAUUCUAACCAUGCAUUUUGCAUUCCAAUGUAUGCUAGAAUCACAUGACAUAUCUAGUCUGGUCCGCAAGCUAGUGUCUCUAUAUAGUCUUGCACAUUAUUGCUCGGUCGGUCUUGCCAACUGGAAAACUCCUGCGGCCUAAGGAAGAAGCUAGCUUAUACUACGAUGAAAUCACGAUGCAUUACUUACAACUUCUACUCAUCCUUCUACCAUCAUCCUUAACCAGACGUUCCCAAUGCAUCUCAUCCCGAUUGGAACACGAGGCCUUACUUACUAUAUAUUAAAUUUAGCAAGAAACAUAUUAUAAGUACACCAGCAAUGAAAGACCUUUUAUCUUGUGAGGAACCAUUAAACACCUUUUUUACAUUUUUUAUACGGGCAUCGAUGAAGCUAACACUCAAUGUCAUUGCUUUUUUAGUGUCAAAUACUAUUGGAACUAGUUAGCUUAUAACAAUUUGUUAAGAACCACAUUGAUGUUCAUUAUAACAAGUCGAUGUAGUAGGAUUAAAUCCAACCCAUUACGAGCACAAUAUAAAUUUUGUUAUAGGGACUUUCUAGCCAUAUACGGACAUUUACCUUUCUUUUGGGAUACACGUGCUAUCAAAAUCCUAAUUUUUAAUAUUGGCUAUGCACGACUCAAAUUCUGAAGAUCCAGAUUCCAUGAAACCUUAAUGCACUUAGGGGUGUCAGUUGCUACGAACAAUCGAUUUCCAGGCUUUGCAAGGCUUAAAAACGACUCAAAUUCUAAAGAUCCAGAUUCCAUGAAACCUUAAUGUGCUUAGGGGUGUCAGUUGCUAGGAACAAUCGAUUUUCAGGCUUUACAAGGCUUAAAAAUCUAGUUUUUUCAUUCAUUUAGCUUGCUUUGUCAUGGUGGAGCUGAACAAUCAAUGUAUCUCCUAUCCCCAAUAGAAACAGCUCCCUAUUUCCUAGUGAAUUCUAAUCAAUCGCCAUACUAUGUUAGCAAUGAAAACAAGUCUAUGCAGUCCAUCUAUAGUUAUUACAAAACUUGAUAAGGAUAAGGACUCAAUCUUGAUGCUAACCUACAAGCACUUGGCAUGCGCUAAGUAAGAAAUAUUAUCGAUAAAUUAAAAACAUUAUCAACAAAAACUAAUAAAAAUAAAUUUACGUAAAGAAAAUUAGAGUCCCAUGAAUCUAAACCAUAAUGCAUCGGUCUUAAUUCUAGAGUAUACCUGAAAGACAUUUCGGUCAAGGUUAAUCGAUCAAAACCUGAGAGUGCAAGGAUCAUCCUCUUAGUGGCAACUUCAUGCAUAGUUUCAUAUAAAUACUUGUUUCAUUAUAUAUCGCUAGGUUAGCAAGGCUAAACAAAUAUUGAAUUGCAAUGAAAAAUAUGAAUUAUACAUGGAUAAGUUCCCAAACCUCCAAUUCCUAAUAAAACAACAAUAGUUUCUGCCUAAUCCUUUGUUUGUUGUUCUAGCUCAGUUGUAUGAUGCUAUAUUUCCUUUGAUCUUUCAUGGUUUUGAAUCAUGCACCGGAAAAACUAUUUAUAGCCUCAAGUAACAUUAUCACCGUUCACCAGCUUGCGUUUAUGGGUGUCAAUGCACAUGGCCUACAGUAUGUGAUGGAAUGGGAUACCAAUUUAUUUAGGUGUUCGGUUGGAAGUUAUUAGAUGGGGAACAAAACCAUUCCACGCUCCAUCUGUCCGAAUCAACCCAUCCCUCAUGGGAGGAGUAGCUUCGCGCACACCUAGCUUUUAGUGGUGGGUGAGCAGAGAAGGCAGAGAUCAAAGUGUUGAUGACGAGGGUGGGUAGCACCAGCGAGUCUCACGGGUGAGGGUGAGGUGAGACGGGGCAGCGAGCCACAUGGGAAAGGAUAGGUGAAUGAAGUGACUAUGGGCGACGAUAGCUAGGGCCAACGAACGCGAACCUCUCAGCCAUAGGCAAGAUCAGGCCAAGCGUCAGCGAGCGCGGCCACCACGUAGAGCGGAGGACAAUUUUGAGUAGGGCAGAGGAGGGAGAGAAGGGGAUGUCAGGUGCCGCAUCCCAAUCCCUAAUUGCUUGUUUAGUAAAGUUCAUCUUGCUUUCUGAUUCUCUCCGAGAAGUGAUUAUCUAGGAGAGUGAUUUUGUUUCUAAAAGUGAUUCUAUAUUCCAUUCUCUACAAUAUAAUUUAAGGAGGAAGAAUCUAAUUCAGGGAGUGAAUUAGGAGGAACUACUUUUUUUCCAGCUCUAGCGUAGUUUAUAUCUAAGAAUCAUUUUCAAAAUCAAUUUAGAAUCACUCUAUGCAAAAUAUUAUUUGGUAGCUAUGCCAAAUAGGGCUUUAUCAUGGAUGGUUCUAUCUCCUCGACCAAAUGCAAAACGAGACAACCAUAUCCCUCAAAAUGGAACGAGAUCUCCCACCGUGUACUAUAACCAAAACAUAUUUUCAACUCGCUACACAUUUAUUAAUUUAUAUAUACUUCCUCCAUCCCAAAUUGUAAGAGGUUUUGGCUUUUUGAGAUAUAUUGCUUUUUCUACGCACAUAGAUGUCCAUUAUGUCCAAAUACAUAAUAAAAUCUAUGUAUCUAGAAAUGCCAAAAUGAUCUACAAUUUAAAACGGAGGAAGUACAUUGCUUUGCUAUUUUGUGCCUUUGAAUAGUGCAUGGACCAAAACCAAAUGGCGCAACACGCUAUACAGAAGCAUUGACACCACGUGUCGACAAUCAGGAUGUCAUUCAACCCUAGUGCAGUUAUGCCAAUAAAUUCAAAGGAUCAAGAAUCAGUGUCCUAAUAAAGCAAAGGAGGACAAGGAAUGUGAUGUGGUUGUGUGUGUCGAAGUUAAGACUUCCAACUAACAAGCCAUGGAUUCAAUAAAAAAAAGUCAUAAUGAAAAAAAUCCAUAUAAUUAAGCGACCCAAUCCUUACAGGGACUAAAGUAUCCAUGAUACGUAUCCUAAUUCAAGGUGAAAAGUAUCAAGUUUGGUAUUGCCAAAAAAAUUUUAUAUGAUCCACGCCAUGAUCUCGUGCUAAGUACUAGUAGUAGAGAUACUGAGUCACUGGCCUACCAUCUUCAGUUCACUCAAAAGAAAACUAUUGAGACCCUUUGUAUUGUUUUUUGAGGGACGUUCGUCUUACUAAUUUUCAAAUGACAUUAAGAGUGCUCAUUGCUUAUUAGCUAUGUCACGUUCUAUCAGUGAACAGCACUACGUCUAUAUAUCUUAAUUGGUCUCAGUUUUGAGAGGAGAGCGGUGCGACGUACAGGGGUGGUACUCAAGUAUCUUACGUACACCACGACAACUCGAGGUUAAUAAACACAGUGCUGUAUAUAUAUUUCUAAUCUCCAAGGACGAAACAAGCAGCACACAAAACCCAUCCAGCAAACCAAUUUGGAGGAGGCAACAGACAGACCAACCGCAAGGAGAUGAUGAAUACUCCCUCCGUUGCUAAUUGUAGAUAUUAUUAUGCACCUAGACAUACAUUAUAUCUAAAUGCAUAAUAAUGUCUAUAAAUUUAAAAAAAACUAAAAUGAUCUACAAUUUGGAACGGAUGGAGUACGUACCAUUGAUUGUUCGAUUGUUUAUCACCCAAACUUAUAAAAAGAAGAAUGUAAUGUGCAUAUGCAUUUUCGCGUGACGAGUCUACAGACCAACGGAUGCACGGCUUGACGAGUCUACGCAUUUUUUUUUUGAUGAAAAGAGUCUACGCAUUUUCGCGUGAAUGAUACAAUGUGCAUAUGCAGAUAUGCUACACAUUUGAUGCUGCACAUUCAAUUUUCUCCUGCUACUCCGUCUUGACAACCGGGUGCAGCAAGGACGGCGGGAACAGCCUCUUGGCCCCGGUGGCCUCCAGGAUCCUCUGCCCGAGCGGCCGGCUCCCCCUGGUCGCCUCCUGCUUGUACGGGGCGCGGGACAUCCCUUUGCCCUUGGUUAUCUCGGACUCCACGUACCCUGCCGUGAGUAUGGUGAUGCCGAUCGACCUCCGAGCCCAGCUCGGCUCUCAGCGUCUCGUAGAACCUGAGCCCCGCUGCUUUGCUGGCCUGCCCAUCGUGUCGUGUCGUGUCAUGCGUAGAGAUGAAUUAACAGUAACCCAAAAUGAACGACGAACAUGUACACAUGGCAGAUGAUCAAUGAUCCAUCUCAGUUUCUUUGCUUACGUUGUAGAAGGCCAUCCUCGACGUGGCCACCGUCCCUGCCGCUGAGCAAGACACGACGAGUUUCCCGCUGCUGGCCUUCAGGUGAGGCAGAGCGUAGUAGGUUGGGUAGACAGAGCCCCAGAAAUUCACAUCCUGGAACGCGUAACGAAUGCUCAAAACAUGGCCUCUUACUAUAAUACUCCCUCUGCUUCUUUCACCCGUCACAUUUAAUUUGUCCUAAGUCAAACCUAUUUAAUUUUAAGUAGAUUUAUAUGUAAUACCAAAUUUGUUUAAUUGAAACCACCAUGGAAUAUCUUUUGAUAGUGCAUAUGUUUGGUACUCGUUCCGUCCCAAAUUGUAGGUCGUUUUGCCAUUUUGAGGUUCAUAAUUUUUACUAUUUAUCUAAAUAUACACUAUAUCUACAUACAUAGCGAAAUUAUAAAUUUAAAAAUAGCAAAACGAUAGGACGGAGGAAGUAGUAUAUUUGUUAUUUUUUUGACUUAAGACAAACUAAACGUGGCUUAGGACAGAUAUAUCUCAACUGGUAUUGCAUAAUUGCAAUAAUGCAAAUUAGCAGUAGUUGCAUCUACACAUGCAAAGUUAUGUUAAGUACCAUCAGUUUGGUGAAGGCAGUAAUGUUGGUGACUUGAUCGAAGAAGCAGCUGGACCAGAUGCCGGCAUUGGCAACCAGAUGGUCCACUGAAGGAAAUAGUGAUCAGAGACAUGGCUGUGUUAGUGUGUGUCCAAGAAGCUACAGAUUGCAUUCAGGGGGCUUAGCAUGAGCGAACGUUUGCCGAAGUGAGCGACGGUCUCCUCGACGGCGCGCCUCGACUGGUCGGGGUCGGUGACGUCGGCCGGGAAGACGAAGACGUCCGGCGCGCCGCGCUCCAGGGCGGCGGCGGCGACGCUCUUGAGCGCCUGCUUCCUCCGGGCCACCAGCGCAAGGCACGCCCCUUCCUUGGCGUACUGGUAGGCAAGCUCCUGUUCAUGCAUGUAUUUUACGAGGAAAUUUCAGCAAGCAUCACUACGAGAUGUUUGCACCACCAGGGUGAGAUGUUACUGACCUCGCCGAUGCCGGAGGAGGCGCCAGCGAUGAGCACGACCUUCCCUCACAAACGCCCGCAUGGACAACAGCCUCACCGGAAGGAAGAGCAGGAUGUAGAGCAGGAUCACCAGCGCGGCGGUGGCGUGCAUCACCACUCUGUGCGAUCGAGCGCGCACGGCCGGGGUGAUGGCAUAUAUGGUGUUGGUGCGGAGGCACGCGGCUGAUGCGCCUCCGAUCCAGUCACAUUGGGGAGCAGAUGUUUCAUGUUUGUCGUUUCCCUAUUUAUUUUCUUUUACUAAUGGAUGGAGAUAGCCGUGCCACAAGUACAGAUUUAAAAAAUAUAAUAAAUAUAAACUCGAUCGAAACCUUUAUUGUUUAUGAUAUAAAUACACACAUGAUAAAUAAAUACAACUACUGUUGUUUAUAUCUUUUAUCAAAGAUGUCUCACACAAACUAAUGUUUAAAUUGUCAAUCGUUAUACAGGGAUAUAACGGGGAAUGUUAGGUUAAACUAUUAUAAUAGACGGAGGAAUGUUAAGAAUAAAAAAAUCCAAUACUCUUACUAAUGAAUUGAAAAAUAACUAACCGGAUGCCACACAAAACAUAAUUCCCUUGCUCCGUAUGGAUGAAUUGGAGUAAACUGUGAUCUAACAAACCAACAAAACCUACAUCAACCUCAGAUCCAUAAAGCUAUACCAUAGCAAUCUCAAAAGACACAAAAGCAGUACGUAGCAACAAAUGAACACAAUCGUCUAUACUCUUUCAAAAAGUGAGUUCUGGGACAAAUUUGGCUUAGGGGAGGGGUGGUCGAAAAGCACCUUAUAUAUGCGAGAUAGAGACCGGAAAGGAAACAAUUAAUUUGAUUGAUAGGGCCAUAUGGUUUAUAAUUGGAAGGCCUCGACGUGAUUGGUGAUAUGAUUAUUCCGAAUUAACCGUUAUCUAUCAUCAAUCACCAGUCAAUAAAUCAAUUUUAUUGGUGGGACAAUGUGCUCGUACCUGGAAGGAUUUUGACAUCUAUAUCUAUAUAUGCUAUAAAGAUUCAAAAUAAUUGAAAUCAUCUCCCACCUAAAGUACUCCUCAUAAAGGGUCCACUUAACAUGAAAAAAAAGGUAGGAUAAAGUGUGACAGGAGGAGGGGGAGACGGAAAAGUCAAUAGAAGGAAAAUAAUUCUGCCAAAUCUCACUGUUUUGUUUUUCACCGCACGCUCGGCCUUACCCGCUCGCCGUACCCGCUCGACAUCGCCGCUCGUCCCUCCCUUCCAUCACGCUCUUGUUUCCUUCUUUGAUUCAUUCAAUCUCGUACGAUUUCCUUCUUUGAUCGAUACCCCUCUCUCUCGCCGAGCCCGCCGCCCGCCUGAAGCUCCCUCUCGCCGAGCCUGCCGUCCGCUGGUUUGCUUCGGGGAGUCCUCGGCGGUUUAGCCUCGGGCCACGCGGUAAGGCUGCCGUUCGCCAUCUUACGCGCGCCUUAACCAGUUCGUGUCACUGCCCCCAUCUCCUCGAGCCCGCUCACCUUUUUCUCCCUAGCAGAGCAUACGGCGCUGCCGCCGGCGCCGGCCGUGUCCUCCCUAAUCUUCCAGGUAAAUAGGUUGAUCUGCUUCCUCCCUCUUUUCCCCCGAGCAGAGCAUAAGGCCGAUCCCGCAUGCGGUGGUGCGCAGGUCUUCGAGAACGCGCCUGAUUCCUUCUCCGCGCUCGUCACGGCUGGCUCCACCACCCGCAUUCCUGGCUUGCGGCACAGUCGCGUCCACGACGCCGCUGGCCUCGCGCACAUGCCCUACCCCAUCGCAGCCAUGCCAACGCACCCGACCCGCUGCUUCCGCUGGAGUGCAAAUUCUUCGACCACCGGAACACCGACGUGGAGCCGUAGUAAGUGGAGGACGUUCUACCACAAGCAGGCUUGCCCAGCUUCCUUUCGUCAGGUGGGAGGCCACGAUCGCAAGGUUUGCAAAAUCCUCUUUUAUUUCUCUCUUCGAUUUGGCUGCUUUCCAUCUUUAGCGAAAACCAUCCACUUGGUUAGUUUGUUCUGGCACAUUCAUUGCCUUUUUUAUGGUCUACGGAUUCAUGGCACCACGAUUAUUUCCCUCACCUAGACACAAUUUUAAUUUUAUCAACGCUUAUUUGAUAAAAUGCUCAUGUGAAACUGUGAUGCAGAGUGAGACUGAGAAUGGUCCCAGGUGCAUUCCCAUCGCUAGAUGCAGGGUUGGCUAGGUUAUCAAUUUUUUAGAAGGUCUUGCUAUGGAGGUGUGCGAUGUGCCGGUGUGGAAAAAUGUGAUGCUCAGACCUGCAUGUGGAUUGAGCUGUUGUGGUAAAAUUACUUGAUACCCUUUUGCUUGUACUUAUACAGUUUUCAUUUAUUUUGGAAAACGAUCGGGACAUUGGAACAGAUUUAAGAUUCUUGUUUGCUCAGCAGAUGACUCAAAUGCUCUUAAUGGGAUGAUGAUGACAUUUGAAGAGUUAAGUUCAGGAGGUUCAUCGAUAUGGAAAAAUGUAUAUGUGGCAAAAGGGUUAUGUAGAAAAAAAAGGUAUAUGUAAAGGAUCACAAUACACUCCCGUGAAAAGCCUGCCAGAUUUUAAACUCAUUGUGUGACUCGGUGAGUCGGUGUAGAUUUUUUUCCAUUUAGUCCAUUUCCUAAUUACUGUUGGCUAAUAAUUGUUGAUAUGAUGCCAGAAUGCUUAGUGCUUAAUGAAAACGCACUUUAAGUGGUAAAAAGUGGAAACCAUUGCAUAUCUUUCCUUAACCUGCAGGACUAAGUUAAUUAUAUCUACCGGUCUCAAUAUUUUUGCUUGGUUUUCUUGAGCAAUGGCAUUUUCCUCUUUAUGAAAGUUUAGCCAGGUUACAUAACUUUUGCUGGUUGAUUACUGUUACUUUUGGUCUGUCAUGAGUGGAAUUUUAGUGGAAAGCAAUUGCCGGUUUGUGCUUCAGUUAAAUGAUGCAUCUAUAGGAUUCCAUGUUGUAUAGCAAGCACAUGUUUUCACAUGGUGCAAUUUCCCAUAGCGGGCACAUGUUUUCACUUAGUGCAAUUUUCCUUUACACUGCUGGCUUGCAUGAUCCCCGUCCAACAAUUUGAUCUCUAUAAUAAGUAUAAACGAUUGUAUCUUUAUUACUCCCUCCAUUCUCUUUUGAUAGUCCUAUUUCCUCUUCGCACAAUAAGAAACCAAUACUACUUAUCAUCCAUUUAAUCAUGCCAUUAAUUAUUCCUCGUAAACAAGCGAUUCAUUAAAGCUUCGACUCCUUGAUGCUUAUGUAACCAAUCUCACGUGGAAGAAUGAAGAGUCAUGCAUGAAGCUCGAGACAGCCAUUAAGCGGAUGGAUAGUGGACUAGAAUAAGACUUUUUUAAAUUUUAAAAUAUGCCUAUUAAAAGAGAACGGAGGGAGUACUACCCUAGAAUAUCCAAUUAAAUAAAUUUUUGUUUCGUACUGAACUCACUAUGACCUGUUACUGGUGGUAGCCUCCGAUAGGUGCGUUUAUUUUGGUUUUUAUUUAAUUUCCUUUGUUUCUCUACGUCUAUUUAUUAUUUAUUACACAUAGGGGCCUGCAAAAUUGAUUACUCUGGUGGGUAAACUUCCUAUCGACAAAGAGGUGUAUUCAGCCUAUAAACAAAGGUGUGCUUUUACUAUCAAUUUGCUGCAUAUUUUUAUCUGAGUUUAUAAAUACUUGUGCACCUUGAAGCUGUAAAUCUUUAAUAUAAUGAGAACUAAGCAGAAUCAGCAAAGAGCUUCAACUUUGGUGUUCACAUAAAUUCGAUGUAAAGUAUGUUUACCAAUGGACAGGAGCUAUAGAGGGAGAAGCUGCAGCCAUUUCCUCGAGGGAGCCGAAUAUUUUGCGACUGCGCUGAUGGGUGCCAUUGCCCUGUCUAGGUAAACUUCACCAUCUGCUCCAAAGACAUCCAUUGUUCAGAUACACCAGUUUUACCAUUGUUCCUUAUGUUACUAGGAUCUUAUUCCAUGUGUAAACCAUGCUAUGAAUUACAUCUUGCUUGUAUUUAUUUCCUGAAAAUAUAAAGAUUUUGAACAGCUUUAAUCACGUAGGUUUUUCAGGAUACCCUAUAUAGAUGUAGUCGUCACUACAAUAUAGUUAGAUUACUUAUUAGUUUACGUUCUAUGGUGCUCGAUUGCUCAUCAGUAUCAGUAUUUUGUUUGCGCGUAAGACAAGAUAAUGUUUGUACCUCUCAGUUUCCAUGUGCUGUUUGCACUGCUCGCAUGGGAGUGAAGGCAGAUGGCAUCGACGUGGUCGUCCUGUUCAUGCUUUGGAGCUCUUUACGCUGAUUAGGACCUGGAGCUCCUAAAUUUUGAUGUCAUAUUGCUGCUUUAUAUGUCUGCCGGCUUUGCUGUUGGGUCUAAAUUGCGUGGUGCUUCAGUGCUUCGUUGAUUGCCGCCAUGCAUGAUAAGUUGGUUGAUGAUGUAAUACUUGUGGAGCUGGAACCAGGAGCAGCCACUCAUACCUCCGAUACAUGCAUAUAAACAACGAGGGUUCAGUGUUUGCUGCUUAAUGGUGUUCCAUUUUUGUAUCGUUUUGGUUCUCCUAUUUUCCAUUUUGCUUGUCCAAUUUUGCAACAAUGGUGUUCCAUUUUGCAUCGUGUACUAGAUUUUUUUAAUAUGUUGUACGUGCAGUUUAUCAUAAAUAUAAAAUUAUUAAGUAAAAUUAUUUAGAAAUAUACAUAUAUAUUUGUUUACACGUGCAUGCCGCACGUACACUUUACUAGUAACAGGAAGGAAUCAACGUGAUUGGCGAUCUGAUUGUUUUGGAUUAACCGUGAUUGAUCAUGAAUCAAUAUAUCAAUUAGUCAAUCAAUUUAAUUAAUCAAUUUGAUUGGUGGGGAUCGUGGCCUUGUAAUUAAAAAGGUUUCGACAUAAUUGGAAGGGAUCCAAUUGGCUAACUGGAUUGAUUUUCCCUUGUUGGGACUGGAGAGACCUGGUCAGUGAUUUGAUUAUUCCGGAUUGAUCAUUUAGUUUGAAUUGGAAGGUGUCGGUGUUUAGACCCGGCAACCUACCGAGGGGGUGCUCGAGGUAGUGUUUAGUGCAUGGGCUCGUCGAGAUUAUGAACUCGAAAGUGAACUCGAACACACGAUUUAGACAGGUUCGGGCCGCUAGAUUGCGUAAUACUAUACGUCAUGUGUGUUGGUUGGAUUGAAUUGCUUUAGAGGGGGUCCUUGCCUCGCCUUAUAUUGCCGGGGUAGGGUUACAGGUCAGUUGUUUACAAGAAUACUAGUCGGAUUCGACUAGACGAGUCCUACUCUAAUUGCUACGAGUAGUUUUCUAAUUCUCGACUAGUUCCUAUCCUGCCACGUAGACUACGGUGUCCUGCACUGUAGCCUCCAUGUCUGACACGUCUCGGUGUCUAGCCCUGUAUCUAGGAUUGUCCAAACCUUCUGGUGGGCCUAUAAAUGUAUGUAUGACAAGCCUUGAGUACUUUUUAGUCAAAUGCAGCAGUUCCGAGUACUUUUGUAGGCUUCUCCGACUAGUUUUGGUGCUCUUCGAGUAGUCCAUUGGGUUGAGUCUUCAGACGUACUUGAGCACUGCCAUGCGGCUAGAAUGUGCUCAAGCCUCAUUUAACUUGACCUUGAAUCUUCAAUCUUGAAUUUUAUAUGGAAGUCGCACUCCAUAUGGUGUAGCCCUCGAGCCUUAGGUUGAAUCGAAGAAUCAGGCUGAGGGUCAAUCUGUAAUUUGCAUCUCUUUUUUACUAAAACCCAAAGAAAAAACUUUUUAGCCGAUGGUAAGUGGCACACAGCCCCCGAGGCGUUACACGACUAAGGGUCAACCUCUUGUCAACGUGAUCGUUCAUCAACAGUAACCUUUUCUCUUUCGAAAAUAAUGAAAACUGUCAAACAGGUGCGAAAUCUUCGGGACAUUAAACUGGAAUAUUCCCUUUAAUCCCACUACUGUUACUGCGCUGAGGUUAUAAAUAACGGAGGAAAACAUCCCUUCCGUUUUACCUAUGCCAUCCGCUCUUUCAACUUCCGCACUGUAACCCUAGCGCCACCGCUACCCGAUCCUCGAGCUCUAGUGCUGCCAUCCCCCACCACUUAGCCCCCGGGUUUAUGCGGAAGAAGACCCUCAUGGCAACAAGGAUGGGGAAGAAGGCAACUGCAUCCAAGGUGGCGGAAGGCGGGGAGAAGAAGGCAGACAAGAAGAAGGAGAUCCAACCACUGGCUCCCAAGUAUGGAAAGACUGACCAGAUUGCGCCGCCAUUCCUUGCAUGUGCCUGGAAGCGCUUAUCGCUGAAGGAAGAGGACAUGAAGGCACUGGUGGCAGCCAACCUCCUCCAGGAGAAAGAUGUCAUCAACUGGAGGUGUGCAUUCAACAACCCGUGGCCGCUGGAGACAUCUAGAAACACAACAAAUCUCUAAAGCAUCAACUGAAAGGUAUUUGGUCUUCUCCCUUUGGCCUUUGAGUACUGAUUCUGCUUAGUGAUACUAAAUUUCUGUUGUGUUAUUCCUGUAGUGCUCGAGAUAGCAAAGGAAGAUCUCCAAGUCCGAGUUGUUGACUGGCAAAACUCCUACUACCGGGUGACGGACCAGCAUGACAAGUUGUCUAUACAAGAACUUGGAGCAUCACCUGGAGAAGGAGAAGAAGAUGCGCGUAGACAGGGAGGUCGACUUGGUCAACACCAUGAAGACCCUCCAAGAGCGCGAGGCUGAGUUGGAGGCUACAAAGCUUGCUCUAAAGGAGCUAACUGAGCAGCUCAGCCCAUUGUAGACAUGGUGGUGCCCCCAGCCGAAGGCAUGGAGUCCGGCCCUCUGUCUGAGAUACUCAAGGAGGUGCAAGCCAAGUUCACCGGUUACGUCCAGAAGAUAGCAGAGUCGGUCUCGAAGCAACUGCUGGCCUUUGUGAAGUCCUUUUACCUGCAGGCAGACCUAGCUGCUAUUGCGGAAGGGAUCGCAGAGGACUGCUCUGAUGAGCAGUUCUUGCAGUACCUGCAAGAGGUGGAUCCUAUCGCAAAGGAAGUAGCUAGUCAUCUGGUCCUUGAGUAGUCUUUGUAAAAAGUGAUCGUUAGUUCUUUGUAAUAUAAAUAUGAUAUGAAUGAAAUGUAAAUUAUUCGAAGUCGUGUUGCAAUUUUUAUUAUUGUCGACUUGUUUUUAGUGCAUCUUACAAACUACCCUGAUAACUGCUUGUGCGGUAGUCGUAAGUAUCUGCACACAAGGCUACUCUGAUAAGUCUCUUCAGAUACACGGUGUAGAGUACAUUUAGGAUGUGACUCCUUUCUGCGGAGUACGAGCACUCAAGGCAUCUGGGUAGUCAUACUUCUGAGGCGAGUAGACUCUUCAGGACUUCUUCAAUUGGAGCCUAUCUUUGCAACCUCUAUGGGUUGUUCAAAUGUUGAGCUCUCAAAAGCUUGGAACUACAGACUUCUCUAGAUGGUGUCUCGGAUAGUCUAAAUAAAUCCCAGAGUGUUGACGACUCCUUUCCUGAAAGCUGUCGGGAGACAGACUUGUCCAGUGAGUUGAAUAACUCAUGAAUCUUCUUUGCAGACUUGUUACUACAAGCUGCAUAUAGGCAAUUUUGCCGCAGAAGCUGAAUAGCUUUGUACAGGCUUGUUAUUACAAGCUGCGAUUUGGAUGAUAUUGCCCAGGGAGCUAAAUAGCUCUGCGAACUUGCCUUCGCAAACCGUAAUCAGGUAGAAAUAAGUAGUCGUUUUACGACGAAAAAAUAAAUCUGCAUUAUGGAAUUGUAAUUGUACAACUAAGGCCCAUGGCCAAUUUACAUAAAUAGGUAAACUCAAGGAUAAAAUCGACAAAGUGGCUCGAUGUUUCACGAGUUGUCGAUGUCUUACCAGAGAGGUGUUGGAGCCUAUACGACCUACGUCCAGUGACCUUGGAGACGAUGAACGGUCCCUCUCAUGGUGAGUUUAGCUUGUGCAGUCCCUUGGUGUCUUGGAUACGCUUGAGAACCAUAUUGUUUGUAUUGAACGAAUGUUCUUUGACGUUGCAAUCAUGAUAGCGGUGGAUUCCUUCAAGGUACCUUACAGACUAGAUGAGUGCUGCACAGCGAGCUUCUACGAGGCUGUCUAAGUCUAGAUGUCUUGUUUCUUCUACUGCGCCCUCCUCGUACUACUCGACCACUGGAGAUUUCCACAUGACGUCGGCAGGGAGGGCGGCUUCUGAUCCGUAGACUAGAAAGUAGAGCGAUUGCCUUGUAGGCUUGCACGGCUGGGUGCAAAGCCCUCAGAGGACAUUGGGUAGUUCCUUGAGCCACUUGCCCUAUUUAGCGUUUCCAAUAUUAUGUAGUCUUUUUUUGAGAGCCUCCAGUAACAUCCCGUUGGCUCGUGGAUGAGCGAAAGAGACAUACCGGACAUCGAUCCUGCUGUUCUCGCAAUAUUCUCAGAACUUGUGGUUGUUAAAAUUGGAGCCCAGAUCUAUUAUAAUGCGAUUUGGGAAGCCAUAGCGGUGGACAAUUUCAUCGAGGAAGUCGAGUACUCUAUCUUCCUUGGGGCAGGUUACUAGCUAUACCUCAAUCCACUUGGUAAACUUGUUGAUCGCCACCAGUACUCGGUUGAAUCCUCGAGGUGCCAUAGGCAGUGGGCUAAUCAUGUCUAGUCCCCAACAAGCGAAGGGCCAAGAGGGUGGUAUGGUGAUCAGCUUGUAGGCACGAAUGUAUUGUUGCUUGGUGAAGAAUUGACAUCAUUGGCAUCAACGGACUAGUUCCUCGACAUCAGCGAGAGCUGUAGGCCAAUAGAAUCCUGCUUUGAAAGCUUUGCCCAUGAUCGUUCGUGAGGAUGCGUGAUUGCCGUAGAUGCCUUUAUGAAUUUCCUCCAGUAUGUCCUUGCCAUCUUGCCGUGAGACAUACUUAAUGAGUACUCCUGAUGAUGCGCCUCUUCUGUAGAGCUUGUCUCGGACUAGAACAUAGUUCUUGCCACCUCGUGAGACUUGCUCUGCUUCUUUUUUGGUUGGAGAUAAUUUGUGCUCCUUGAUGUAGUCGAUGAAGAGGGUUCUCCAGUCUACAUUGAUCAUCAUAACCUUCCGGUCUGGUGCGUCAUGACCUCAAUCGGUGGUUGUUGAUGGCGCUAGCUCCGUUAUGGAUGGCUUGUGUAGCUCAUGGACGAAGAACCUCGCUGGAAUUUGAGCACGAGUAGAUCCGAGCUUUGAUAGGACAUCUGUGGCUACGUUGUUGUCGCGAGCCACGUGGUGGAACUCCAGACCGGAGAACUUGAUCUCUAACUUCUAUACUUUCAGGCAGUAUACAUCCAUGUUGUCUUCAUGGCAAUCCCACUUGUCGUUGACUUGAUUGAUUACCACCAGUGAGUCGCCGUAGACCAACAAUUGCUUGAUUCCUAGCAAAACUGCCAGGCAGAGCCCGUGCAGAAGCGCCUUGUAUUCAGCUUCAUUGUUGGAUACCUCCUAGAAGAUUUGCAAGACAUAUUUGAGCUGUUCGCCUUUGAGAGAUAUUAAGAGUACUUCUAUGCUAGCACCCUCGAGCUUGAGUGAUCCGUCAAAGUACAUAACCCAAUGCUCUGGGUGCUCUGCCGGCGUUGGUAGUUGAUUUUCCAGCCAUUCUGCCAUAAAAUCAACUAGUUCCUAGGAUUUGAUGGCAGUCCUCGACUUGAACUCCAUGGACAAUGCUCUGAGUUUUACCGCCCACUUGGAUAUUCUUCCUAUUGCAUCUCGAUUAUGGAGGAUUUCUCCCAAGGGGAAGUCUAUGAUGAUGAAGAUGUUGUGUUCAUGGAAGUAGUGUCGUAGCUUCCGCGAGGUGAGUAGUUUUGCUUAUAGCAGUUUUUGGACUAGCGGGUACUUGGCUUUGGAAUCUGACAACACCUUGCUGAUGAAGUAGAAGGGCCUCUGUACCUUGUAUACAUGGCCUGGUUCUAGUCUUUCAAUCACGAUCAUCGUGCUGACAACGUUGGUAGUCGUGGCGAUGUAGAGCAACAAGUCUUCGUUGGGAUUUGGCGUCGUAAGGACCGGUGGCUUUGAUAGGAAGUUUUUCAACAGUUACAGGGCUUGAUCUGCCUCCUUGGUCCACUAGAAUUUGUCUUGCCGCUUGAGUAGUUUGAAGAAGGGCAGUCCCCGUUCUCCAAGCCUUGAGAUGAAUCUGUUAAGGGCAGCUAUGCAUCCAGUCAGCUUCUGGAUGUCCUUGAUGCUUGAUGGGGCGUGCAUUUCAGUGAUGGCGGAGAUCUUCUCGGGGUUGGCUUCAAUCCCUCGGUGACUAAUGAUGAACCCAAGUGGUUUUUCGGAGGGUACGCUGAAAACGCACUUUAUUGGGUUUAGCUUCCACCAGAAUUCUCGCAAGCUUGCGAAGCUUUCUUCCAAAUCCGCAAUCAAAUCAUCGGGAUUUUUGGUACGCUUCUGCAUUAUGGUGUAGCUAUUUCUUGAAGCACUCUUGGAUUGCCCGUUGAUAGUAGCAUCUGCAUUCUUGAACCCGAAGGACAUUGUUGUGUAACAAAAAGCUCCGUAUGGGUGAAGAACGCAGUCUUGAUUUGGUCUUCUUCCUUGACAGCUAUCUGGUGAUACCUCCAGUAGCAAUCAAGGAAAUAGAGUAAGGCGCAUCCAACAGUCGAGUCGAUGACUUGAUCAAUCCUUGGGAUCCCGAAGGGUUCCUUUGGAUAGUGCUUGUUGAGGUUCGUGUAGUCGACACACAUCCUCCACUCGUUAUUAUUUUUUUUCGCACUAGGACGGGAUUGGCAAGCUACUCUGGAUGAUAGACUUUUUUUAUGAAGCCUACUGCGAAUAGUUUGGCCAGCUCUUUUUUGAUAGCUUCCCUUCUAUCUUGGGUGAAUCGUCGUAGUCGUUGUCUUUUUGGUGUAGCUUUUGGAUCCACAUUCAGUGAGUGCUCGAUCAACUCUCUGGGCACCCAGGGCAUAUCUGAUGGCUUCCACACGAAGAUGUCUCGUUGGCCCGGAGGAAGCUGACGAGCACGUUUUCCUAUUUAGGAUCCAGCCUAAGCCAAUCACGGAUGUCCUGGAGCUAUCACUAGUCUCAAGGUCAAUGGCCUUGAUGUCUACUUCACUUGCCGGCUUGACCUUGGUUGCCCCCAACUUCUUUUCUAGGAUCUCGAGUUCUGCCGGGGAUAGUUUCUUGGAAGCGGCGAAGACUUGCAUCAUUGAAUUUAGCACUUGAGUAGUCGCUGCUAGCUCCACGGCUUUCGUGUCAAGUCGUAUGAUCUCUUCAAGUCUUCGCGCAGGGAGAGUACUCCCUUGGGUUCUGGCAUCUUGAAUACUAGGUACACGUAAUGCGGGAUGGCCAUGAAUUUGGCCAAUGCAGGUCUUCCGAGAAUAGCGAUGUUUCAAAGUCUGGCACCUCGAACCGGAUGUACUAUAUCCGGUAGUGUUCUUUAGUCCCAAAAGUAACUGGCAAAACCACCUAACCGAGGGGUACAGCCGCGUUGCUUGGGACAAUCCCGUAGAAUGGAGAGUUCGUUGGGGUGAACAUGUCAGUAAUGUCGAGGCCCAUCUUCCUCAAAGUCUUGGCAAAGAGUACAAUGAGACUGCUACCACCAUCAAUGAGUACUUUGGUGAGUCUGGAGCUAGUGACUACUGGGUCUAGGAUGAGAGAAUACUGUCUUGGGUUUGAGAAACUAGUCUAUUGGUCCUUUCUGGAGAAAGUAAUUGGCACCUCGGACCAUUUGAGGAACGUAGUUGUUGCUGGUUCAAUAGACAUGAUCUAUCAGAGGGCAAGCUUCUGGGACCGCUUAGUAGCAGUACCCGGUGUGCCGCCAAAGAUGACGUUGAUGGUGUUGGAAGGGUUCUGGAAUUUGCCGUUGUCACCAUUGUCUUCGUCUUCCUUGGCAUUGCUCUUGUCUUUAGUUCCAGAAUGUUCCGGCAGAUCUUUUAUGACUCUCCGUAGACUGUAACAGUCCACGCAGAGUGCUUAUGGUACGAGUGCCAUGGGUACUGCUUCUUCAGGAGCUUGCUGAAUGGAGUCAUGUCUUAAUUCCUGCUGCCACCUUUCUUGGAUGGCUGUGACAUUGUCGCGACAGUAUUAUCUGGCUUCCUCUUGCAAUUUUGACCUCCCGAGUAGUUAUUUCUGUUGUCAUUGUUGGGGUGAUCGUUGCGGUUCUUGUCAUUGCGUUGACCAUUAUUCUGAUUAUUGUUGUUCUGGCCCUUGUUGUGAUUAGACUCAAACCUUUCGAUCUCCUUAUCUUCUUCAUCUGCCCACGCCUGUAUCAUGAUCUUAAGAGAUUUGAUAUCAUCAAGGCAUCUCCUGCCAAAAUCCAGGAACAUUCCAUGGUCAUAGAGACCGUUCUGGAAGCAAUCUAUGGCGUCGCGCUCCGUGAUGUCCAUGAUUGUGGCCUUCUUGUCGAAGAAACGACGUAGGUAACUACGCAGGGUCUUGGCUUGUUGUUGUUUGACUUGAGACAAGUCGAUCCUUUUGCCAGGACGCUGCAUUGUCCCUGCCAAGUUGUUGGUGAACGCCACCUUAAGAUCCUUCCAUGUGUCGAUGGAGUUCUUGUCUAAUGAUUCGAGCCAUGUAAGUGGCGCCGUCUCCAUGCAGAUGACCUUGGUGUCGUCGUUCCCCCCUGCUGCCUGUACUGACAAUGAGUAGCACCACAGCCAUUGGAUUGGGUCCUGCUUGCCAUCAUACUUGGUGAUAUCCAGAGGUUUGAAUUUCUCGGGUAGAACUGUCCUUACUCGUCUUGAGAAGGCGGGGAACCCGUCAGAAUCCUCUCCUAGGUAUUCGACUUCUUGCUCACGAUCGCAGUGGCAUCCGUCUAUGAUUGUACGGGCGUCGCGGCCGGCGUUGAUCUUGUGUCGGAGAUCCUGUACUGGGCAUUCAGACUCUGGGUUGGGCUCACGGUGGCCACGCCCUCCCGAGGGUCCUGCCUGACUACCCUCUGUUCCAGCUUGGCUUGGUCUGGCACCACCGAUUUGACUUGGUUUUGAUGGAGUGCGCCUAUGGCUACUGCCAUACUAGGAUGGGGUGUGUGGAACUGAAUGUAUUGGGGUUUGCUGAUCGAGUUGUUCAUACGCGCACUCUGCCAAUUCAGCCAAUUGCCUAGUGUACUUGUCCUGUGGCAUUGCGUUGGUAAUAAGAUCAAUGGACGCGAUGGUGGCAAGAGAAGUACGAUGUUGACACGAUUGAACUGCUUCAAACGCAUGAUCCAAGUUCAUGAUUGGGAGGUUUGCUGCAAGGCGGCAGCAACGCUCUGCUCUUGUAGCGUUUCUUGCUCGCCAUUGAGUUCUUUGAGCUUCGGUUUCUUCUCCGACAAUGUUGGCGGCGAGCUCAUCCUACGAGACAUCAUUCGAGUGACGUUCAUGCUGCGGAUUUCUCUGUGGUUGCUCUUUCUCUUCACCUUCUUGUGCAGCGAAUAGCUUCCCAAACUUGAUAUGAUGACCUCCGUGCAGCCGCCUUCUUCGUAGAUGGUUGACAGAGGAGUUCCCUCCUGGUAUGGGAGGGUAUCAAGGUAGGCAAUAAGGUGUGAGUCGUCGUUCUUGGCAAGAGCAGGUGGCUUCAUAUUGGGCUAGUAGAUGAAUCUGCCUUGUGGUGUUGAUGUGAUUACCAGGCCCCGCUGCGGACCUGAUAAAGGGGUCUCUUCGUUCGAGCCCGAGUAGUAGUCGGAAUCCUCGAUCAUAUCUGUGUCGGAUUGUGAUUUGGAUAGUGUAGCUUGGUCAAUAGCACCCAUGUUUUAGAGUCCGAAUGGGAAUUGACUUGGGUCGUAGUCUGAUUCACACGAUAGCUUAAGCGUUGGCUCGUGAAAACCAGUCUGACUAGCGGGAGAAGUCAAGUUGUACUCGAACUUGUCCCCCAGCCUCUGACUAAGUCAGAAAUUGAAAAUUCGCCGAAUUUCUCGAUGAGAUCCUCCGGAGCUUGAUGCUGAAGCUUCAUGGCGUGCUGCUUCUUCUCCGGGGCCAGCACAAUGUGGCGGUGGAAGUUUCCAGCGCCAUCUGUGAUGCAAACCCAGGAGUCGAAGAUGAGCAUCGCGCCCGCUUCGAACACGACGUUUGGCUCGAUGAUGAUUUGGGCCAUCGAGUUUGCCAGUGGAUUUUCUGCGAAAUCCCCUACCUGGCGCGCUAGCUGUCGGUGUUUAGACCCAGCAACCUACCGAGGGGGGUGCCCGAGGUAGUGUUUAGUGCGUGGGGCUCACCGAGAUCAUGAACUCAAAGGUGAACUCGAACGCACGAUUUAGAUAGGUUCGGGCUGCUAGAUUGCGUGUGUGUUGGUUGGAUUGAAUUGCUUUGGAGGGGGUUCUUGCCUCGCCUUAUAUUGCUGGGGUAGGGUUACAGGUCGGUUGUUUACAAGAAUACUAGUCGGAUUCGACUAGGCGAGUCCUACUCUAAUUGCUACGAGUAGUUUCCUAAUCCUCAACUAGUUCCUGUCCUGCCACGUAGACUACGUCGUUCCGUACCGUAGCCUCCAUGUCUGACACGUCUCGGUGUCCAACCCUGUACCUAGGACUGUCCAAACCUUCUGGUGGGCCCAUAGAUGUAUGUACGACAGAAGGUCCUAACCCAAACACAUUGAUCGCGAUUUACCGUACCCAUGUAGCAGGUGGGGCUGCAGAUAAAAAAUCACGCGGUGAUAAAAAUUUAUAAAUAUUAGACGCGGUAGAGUGGUAAUAUGCAACGGAUGCUGGGAAUAUUCCAUUUCGCUCUCACCCUCCAUCGUCCACUUUGGCUACUUUGCGCUGUCAAAUGGGGCUGAUAGAGAGGUACGUCGUACGAAGUACAAAUGUAGAUAGGAAUUGACUUCAAUUAGUAUAGAUUAGGCAAUGCCACUCAGCUGGGAUCGAUCCUGAAUCCGCAAUAAUGUGCAUGCUUUUUUUUUUUGCAUUGUGUGGAAUGAACACACAAAAAAAGUCAGCUUAGGCUUUUGGCAAUUGGCUACCGGAGCACCUCCGCGUGUGAUAGCACGAGAUAACCAACACCCGCGUAGAAGAAAAAGGAGUGCGAUUAGGUGGGAUCAUGGCGUGCGGCGCCUAUGUUGCCACGCCGCUUACCCACCAUGCUUGAGGACUUGAAGCUGAAGACAUGGCGGUAGACGCUAGGUCGCUAGGGCACUAGCGACAAGCCAAAUAAAGUUUGUUGUACUUGCUAAUCAUGUUGAGGGCAAUGUCGAGCGGAUCCUCAACCUCACCUCGCUGCUCCAAGCUAGCUUAGCUCUAGACCACGAGCUAACCUCUGCAUGGGGUUGUAGCCUACAGUACAAUGCCAAACUUUGCAAAUGAUGUGUGCGGGGCAAUUGCUGCUCCUUUUCUCGUCUGCUACUAUUAAUAUAAUUUGGUUCAACCCUAAUCUAUAUAAGUAGUUUAUUUGCAUAGCUAAGUAUGAGAUGUGAGCUCAUCUACAUGUAGUUGGGAACAACCUGAUGGAGUUCUGGGGUGACUCGGGUGGCGACCCAAACCUUAGCCGCCGCCAUCCCCCUUCCCCCUCCUCUCCCCCUCGCUGUCGCCGGAGGGACCUACCAGAAGCUCGCGCGGCUCCCAAGGAGGAUGGCGGUGGGGUCUUUUUGCCGAGUUUCCUGGCUAGCUGCACCAGAUCUAGGUGGGAGGCGGUGCUUGGCGGCCACGGCGGCACCGCGUGAUGGUGGCCCUAUCGCUCCUUGGCGCGGGUGGUGGCACCUUGGUGGCCGGCCUUGCAAAGGCGGGUGCGGCGGCGCGCGGUGGCGCACUAACGACCGGCUCAACGGAGGUGGGGGAGGUGCGGCUGCGACAGAGAGUGAUGGAGUAGAGACGACAUGGUGCGGGCUCAACGGAGGUAGGGGAGGUGCGGCAUGAUGGAUGUGUGAUCUACGCAUCCUGACCCUAGGGGCCUUGCUCAACCACUGACGGUGGGCGCCGCGUUCUUGGUGGGCCCGGUCGGUGUGGCCGCUGUUCCUUGGGAGCUGGGCGUCGGUACCAUUGCCUCCGGAUCCGGAUCUGAGCAUCCCGCGGACCCUAGGGCUGUCCUCCAUCAGUGGUAGCCACCGCAUCCCUAGGUGGGACCGGACGGCUUGGCCGGCGUGGCUGCGAGGGGAGCGCAUUGGCAGGUGCGGUCACCGGUCAGUGCUAUACCCUAUACGGCUCCACCUUCGUGCGCUGGGGAGGCAUGUCCUCGCAGAUACGAUGAGUUUCAACGGCACGUCAUUCUGGGCUGUGCUCAGGGGAAUGGGGCUAAGGUGAAAGCCUCUACCUGCUUGCAGGUCGAUGAUGGUGACGCCUUCGGGCGCCGCAUUACCUCCUUGGAGGCAUCAAUCUUUUGCCCCCUCUUUCUCUUUGCCGAGCGAGCUUCCUAGGUGAAAACCCUGACUAUGUGGCUGGACGACGGCUACACCUUUUGUGUCGUUCCCUCGCUGGAGGUGUCGUCUUGGAAGAUCAGGCUAGAUUGCUAUCAUCGAUACUCUAGGCCCGUUACGUGUCUUCUCAGCAGGUGUGUUGUGAGGAUUCUUGAGGCCAUGAUCAAGAUCGACUCAGUUCGGUUCCUACAAGACAUGGAUCGACAAGCAUCAGUCGAGCAUUUUACUGCAGGACGUCUCUAACAUCAAGAGUUUCUAAGUAGAUAAGUGAUGUGAAGAUUUGUUGCUGCAUGAGAACAAAGCAAGUUUGAAGCAAGGACGUAGAAGAAGUUUGAAACUUAGUAUUUCUAGUUUUCAUUCUUAGCCUUUGGUAUUUCUCUUGUUUGUUGUGUUCCUCAGUUGUGAGAAUUGGAAUCUAAAAACUCUUGUAAUUUUUUGGCUAUAUAUAUCCAAAUGUCGAUAUAGAGGCCGGAUGUUAUCCAUUAUCUAAAAUAUCAUAUUGUUGGAGAAGGAUCAGCCAUUUAUGCCACUGUUGAUGAUCAAAUUCAACAUCCUCAGUCACUUAAACAUGAUGAUGGGUUUAAGGCCAGUCUCACUGCACAAUUUUGUUGCACGGUUACCAAGACUGAGAAAUUUGGUAACUGUACCAGUUGAGUGUCAUGGGGAUGAAACUCCUCCCUCUCCUGAUGAAACUCCCCUCAUAAUGACCUUGCCAAGUCAGUAAUUUUGCUGAUGUGGCAAAAAAUUUAGUGCUCAUUAAAUUCGCAUUGACUGGCCUAAUUGGCCGAAUUUUGAGUAAUUUGGCUAAUGAUGGUGCAAUAUAUUUAGCUUGUUUAUAGCUGGAUUAGUCACUGGGUUUAUUUAAUUCGGCUCUGAGAUGAUUAAUGUGGCCGGAUGAUUAAGUGCUUGAUUGAGUAUGGUGUUUAGCGCAGAAUUAUUUGAGCGGCUACCUAAGCUCUGCAUGCGCAUCACACGGUUUCUCGUCAUCGAAAUCUGAAAGCAUCGCAUAUUAAGCAGCUGCAGGGAGGACGAACAAGAUAGGCAAAACUUGAGCAUCAUUGUUAUCCGUUGCAAGCGUAUACGCAUCGCAGUUGUUCACUUACGUUUUGAACUUAAUCUCACUCUUUCCUUCUCGAAAUCUCUCUCCUCGAGGUGGGCUGUUGUUUAAGGUUACCAGAAGAUCCUAGGUAAGAUCGGAAUAAACUAUAGAACUUUAAGGUCGUCAUAAUGAGAUCAGCCGACCCAACAAUGAUCCUCCAGAUCACAAAGGUGUAAAAUGAUGACACACGAACAAGGUUUGCUUGGAGUUGGAGGGAUAGUCACUGUAGCAGCUUGCUCCAUUGACGUUGACCCCGCCCGACCCCAGGAACACGUACGAGAGCGCAAUUGCUACCGUUUUGUUGCACAUGCGAGACGCGCCUUGGCCAGUGGCCACUAUCUCGAGUCGUCCCUAUACUUUGGUCGCCAACAGUCAGGUCCUGCCGUGUGCUCCAUUUCCCGCCGAGCAUAUAUAUUUCAUACGCUGCAGGAUAUUAUAUGCGUCAGAAUUACUCAGCCGUGGUCCAAUUGAAGACCAGCUUAUGCGAAGGUACGUAACAGCAGGUAGAUUGCUACACUUAGCAGUUUUAUAGGUCAUCUCAUGCAGUACCGCAUAAAAUUUUUCUGAUGUGGAGGAGAGAGGGUGAGGAGAGAGAAAGAAGUUGCUGUUUCGCGAAACAACUGCCUCAUAGGAUUUAGGAGUAUGAGACGACUACCCCACCAUUGUACGAGUUGUGGUUGCCAUACAACUCAUAAUAUUUCUUUUUUUCUAUGCACAAAUUAAGAAAAUAGAAUUACUAUGAGAUAAUUUAAAAAGACAACACAUUGUACAUAUUGUUUAUUAAGUCGUCUCAAAAUUACGUGUCACUGCAUGACACCACCUAUUAGAUAACAUCAAUGUAUUUACCCUAAGGAAAUAAAUCAACGAGGAGAUACAAGUAUAUCUUUCUUUAUUAUCUUCUCGUUUUCUUUCUACCCUAACUUUUUUCAAAUCCUAACUGUUGUUCUUCUCUCACCUCAAAACCCUUUGGUGUGCACGCCUUGAUGGGGAUUCCGGGUGAGCAUUACACGGAUCUACUACCACGCUGACCGGUGAGUGCACACGAGGUGCUAAGUGUGUGAUGCAUCGUGACGCGCCGUGAAUUAACGUCAACAUACUUUUUGGCCAAUCUAUCCACAAUUGCGGCAGUGCAAUCUUUAGUACCAAUGCUUGCUUCAAAACAACCCGUGUAGAAAAUAAAACAGAACGAAGAAGUGUUAGGAUUAACUUAAUCUAUCAUUAACUUAAACAGGAUAUUAGCUUAGCCUAAUCAUGAUCACUAAUCUUAAUUAGUGCGGAAUAUUUAGAUUAGACUAACCAGAGCCUUGAACCUCCAUGAUUUGCCUCUAAAGUUGAUGUAGAUGCCGAUGUAGAAGUAGCAGCGAAGAAUCUGACCACCAAAUCAAGAGUAAAGACUCCCAAUUUGAUGAUCCGUGGCCUGAACGUGGGUACGAGCUUCUACCCCUUUCAGUGCCCUUAGCAGUCAGAUUAGAUAUAUUCUUGUGGAAGAACAGAUCCUGUUUUGGGUGGCUAAUCACAUCAUUAACUCAUUAAUUGCGAUUAGGAGUCCCUCUAAUAUUUAUAGCACCGUAGGGGUAGGGCCGUACCUUCUCAAGAAGUUAGGAUUGCGCCGACUAUAGCAAUAAACUGAGAUAUUUUAGAUGAUCAUUAUCUCGUGAUUUAUCUCUAAUUAAUCCCGGAUUAAAUUUAAUUAAUACUUUGUGAUUAAUCAGAGAUCAUAUUCCAACAAGAAAAUCCACGUCCAUCUUGGUCACAGUUGUCAGGUUUUGUACUUGGUAGCGACUUAUUACAAACUAUUCUUAUUUGGUCUUGUACAAAAUUUCGUCUAGAUUAGCUUUACAAAUUGUCCAUGUAUCUAUUAUCUAUCUAGGCUGGAACUCUGAUACAGACAUCCCAUUCACAGAGAACACAGCAGCGGCAGCUGCUGCCCUUUGGUUACCCGAGCCUCCAGACACAUUAUCCCGCUCUUCAGAGUUCAUCAUCUCGCUAUAUGCAAAGGUGAACGCCGGCUUCGAGGGUGCCGCAAAGCUUGCCUCUUGGCCGUGGAGCAUCAUGAGUAUGUCCAGCAUGGUGGGCCUGUCUGCCGGGUUCUCCUGCACGCAGAGGAGCCCGAGAUGGAUGCACUUGAGCACCUCGCUCUCCGGGGCUUGGCAGUCCAACGAGGGAUCCAUCGUCUCCAGUGGUGUUCUCUUCAACCAGUGAUCCCAUACCUAGUAAUAAGAUCACAAUGCAUGCAUUUUUAUUGGUGAGUGGACAACAUGAUCUCAUCGGCUCAUCGCACUUCAUAAAACAAAAGAUUAGGAGCUAGGAAGCUCACGUAGCUCAGCAGAUUGCCAGGUUCUUCAAGUUCUGAUUCAAAGCAUGUGUCGGUGUUUCGCCUUCCCGUAACGACCUCCAGGACAAGUACUCCAAAGCUGUAAACGUCCAACUUCACCGACAGGUGCCCCAGGACUGCGUACUCGGGCGCCAUGUAUCCUCUGGCAGACAAGAGAACAAUGAAGUUCAGAUCACGGAAUGCUGUGUGAUGAAGAACACAGAUGAACAACAUCUUACAGUGUUCCAACAACUUGGCUCGUGACCGUAGUCGUCUUGUCACCAUUGAAAAGCCUUGCGAGGCCAAAGUCCGAGAUCUUUGGGUUCAUGUCAGCGUCUAGCAGGACGUUGCUGGCCUUCAGAUCGCGGUGUAUGAUCUUGAUCUGCGAGUCCUCGUGAAGGUACAGCAGACCUCGCGCUACCCCAUAUAUUAUACGGUACCUUGUCUCCCAGUCUAACAAUAGAUUUGACUCUGCUGCAGGUGCUGCAAAUUAAGUGCAAAGCAAUCAUAAAUUAGUGUGGAUUGCAGUUUGUUUCUUCAGUGUUUGUUUGUUAUCCUUUUGUUAAAAGAGAUGGAUUGCAGUUUGUACCAAAAAGGAAGGUGUCCAGGCUUCGAUUAGGCAGGUACUCGUAUACCAGUAGCUUCUCCUGUCCCUUCAAGCAAACGCCGAGGAGCUUUGCAAGAUUGAUGUGACGAAGCUUGGCAACGAGUAGAAGCUCGUUUCUGAGCUCCUUUAGGCCUUGUGCUGAAGCUUUAUCCAGCCUUUUCACAGCUAUCUCCCGUCCAUCAGGCAAGAACCCCUGAAAAUAGGUAAGAUUUGCAGCUGGAUCUUAUAGUAAUACAAUAGGUACAAAGUUAUACUGCGUGUAGUUUCAAUGUCUUUAGCCAUUGUACGACCUUGUAUACAGCGCCAAAGCCUCCAUGCCCGAGCUUAUUCUCUUUAGCAAAAUUUGCCGUCGCCCUCCUUAAUGUUGUCAGGUCAAAGAGGAGAGACCCGGCAUCCUCAUCUUCCUUGGCAUCUGCAUAGACAAUUGGACAUGCUUGUUGCUAAUUUUUUCCAGAACCCUUCCUUUGCGCCACUUAAAAUACUGAAGCUAUAUGUUCUGACGGCAGCAGAAGUGCAGAACAUCACUCUUUCUACUUCAAAUCAAUUAAAGAUUUGUUUGCAGAACUCACAUUGUUUUGCUUGUCCUUUUCUCCAGAUGUAGAUGAUAAACGCGGACGCAAGGACAACAACCAGGACUCCAAGGACAAUGGCCAUCACUGUUGCUGCGUUCCCUGAACCCUUUGUCCUGUUUGCUGCAGUUACGUGCAGAAAAGCUAUUCAUCAGUCUGAACUUAAAUUGGAACAUUAUAUUGUUGUGGAUAUAUCAAGAUAUUGCUGUGAGCUCUGAACCUAAUCUCGUUUCUCAAAUCAAAAUUAGGCAGGCAUAAUAGAGCGUACUGUUCUGGCUUGCCGGAGCUGGCGGCGGCGGCGCGACAAGGUUGACCACCAGGCUGCCGUCGUAGAAGGGGUACACCUCGUACCUGAGGUUACACCACACCGCGAAGAACUGCGCGCCGGACGUGCCGUUGAACAAGCGGGGCAUAUUGUCCCUGAGCCUGCCGAGGCACCCCUGGCACGUCCCCGGCGCCAGGUCCGGCGUGCACUGCACCAGCCCGUAGAUGCUGUACACCAGGUCGCGGUUCGUCGUGGCGAACCCUUCGCCGGAGGUGAUCACCCCGGCGGCGUACCUCCUCGUGGAGUUGUGCGCCGCCCAGCCGGCGAGGGCGCCGAUCAGGUCGGCGGCGAGCCCGACGUACUGGCCGGGGUUAGAGGUGAUGUUGAUGUCCUUGUUGACACCGAACGGUACCGGCGCGGCGGCGGCGGCGGCGGCGUCCGGGUCGGCGAGGAAGUCCGUGUCCGAGUACCUGAGGAGGCAGCGAUCGUAGUAGAUGGACGCGUCCCUGACGCCCCUGCAGAAGCCGAAGGUGAUGUUCGGGGCGAGCGAGAGGCAGGACGCGCAGCUGGUGGCAUUGACGUCGCCGCGGCAGAGCGCGAGGCCCCACACCUGGUCGGGGGCGGCGCCGAGCGUCUCGGUGGCGAAGCCGACGGUGGAGCUGGACGCGUUGGUGGCGAGGGAUCCGAGCAGGGAGACGACGUUGGAUUGGUAGGUGGAGUUGAUGCCGUAGGAGGUCCUGUUGUUGCAGACGUAGUUCAUGAGGUUGAAGGCGUGGCUGCGCCCUGGGUGGUGAGCGGAGAAGAGAGCUAGGAGGAGGAGAAGAGCGGCGGCCAUGGUGUGCGUGGAAUUUACGGUUACAUUUCCCGUCCUAGUGAAGUAGUGAUGAAUAUACCGAUUUUGUUCUGAAUUCAGCUCCAUGUGGGGCCCAUUUGACCCGAGCGUUGACUGAUUGGAGUUAGCUCGAUGAUGGUCUUCCUUGAUCACGAAUACUCCCUCUGUUUUACAUAUCACAUUAGAUUUGUUUUAAAUCAAGUUUAAUCAAAUUUGUAGAAAAAUAAAA
Molecule: long non-coding RNA, 102940 nt
Filed under: Setaria viridis
Lineage: Eukaryota; Viridiplantae; Streptophyta; Magnoliopsida; Poales; Poaceae
Description: long non-coding RNA (SVIR_LNC010228)
Source: RNAcentral